AGAUCAAGGCUGCGUACCGGCGUCUUGCCAGGGAAGUGCACCCUGACGCCGUCGGAGGUGGCGACGACGAGGGGUUCAUCCGGCUGCACGCCGCCUACGCCACGCUCGCCGAUCCCGACGAGCGCGCUCGCUACGACCGGAGCGUGGCCUGCCGCGCCGCAGGGAUGACGAUGCGCCGGGCGGCCUCGACGUCCUCACCGGCGUUCCGGCGGAGGACGUGGGAGACCGACCAGUGCUGGUAGGACGUACGGCGUCGCAAACACGGCUGCCCCCCAUGGCGCCCAACCGGCAGCUGCCCGGUUCUCUCAGGCACGGCGCUGGACAGAAGGUCUUCCUGACUAUCGUGCAACGUACGAUCAGGAUUGGACGGCCCAGAUUAGGUGAUGGAGACGUGGGAGCUCUGUACACAGCAAGAGGCGUUUUUAAAGAUCUCUUGUGCGUCCAGUCAGUAAAAAUGCAAAUAUGUAAACUACUUGUUAUUUGCCUACUGUAAAUUAACUGUCAAGGAAUAUAUAGCACUUCCUCAUUCACGGUUUAAAAGGCUUGCUUAAAAAUCUCUAGAACCUAUGUAGUUAUCGACAGUUAUGUAAUAGGCUGAAAAAUAACAUUAACAAUACUCAUGCGUCUAAUGAGUUAAGAAAUUAACACGACAUAUGUAUACAUGAGUAGUAUUAAUUAGUAGGAGUGAUUGCGUUGACGUCUUAAACUUUGUCUAUUAUAAAAACACACGUAAAUUCAACUAUGUCUUUUAAACCGUAACGGAGGGAGUACUCUAGGUCUCUUUGGUAAUAGGAGGAAUUAGUUAGCUUUUUCUUCUUCGCAUUUUGUCUCUUUGAUUCUGCACGAAAUUAAUGACCACAAUACAACAAUCCAUUCCAGUCACUUGUUAAGGUUGGCAUGUCAUGGUUUUGGAUAGGUAGGAAAAAGAUUGUGGGGACAAAUAGCCACAGGGCAAAGUAAGGAUAAAUGGUCAAUGUGUCAAGGCGACUACUCUCACAUGUUUUUACGUCUUCAAUUUAACUACACGGAGUAUAUGUUUUCAGGGGCGGAUGCAGGCUGACGGAAAGUCCCGGGCCGCCUUCAAGAAUUGCCUAUAUUAGGGCCUUGUAUCUUUAAUAAUUGUUACAGUUAACAAAGAAGUUGGGCCUAAGGACCUGGGCCCAGGCCUGGGGUCUUAAUUGUGUACACCCGAACCGUUGACUAGACAUGCAAGCAUGGCAUGGGACCCGCUGUCAGCGACACAAUGGCAGUGAGGCUGGGCGUGGCCAGUUUUUUGUGAAAACCACAUUUUUAUUUAUCACAAAAAUCUCCUAACAUUAUUUGCUGCGGUGGAAUCUCAUUUUAAAAAAUGAUAAGAAGAAAAGGAGUGUUCCGUGCCACGAACCAUCGACCUCUCACUAGCACAUAGACUGUCCUAGCCGCUUCACCCAUAACACAUUCAUAUGUUAAGUGGAUAAGUAAACAUAAUGUAGUUAAAAAGAUUGCCUAAAGCAAAACUAGAAAAAGAGCUCCUAAAUAAAGAGCGUCUUUGUUCAAAAUUUCAAAUAAUAGUUAUAAAUAAUAAAAAUGUUUUUAUAAUUAGAAAAUAUAUAAAUAUUCAUAAUUUAAAAUUUAAAAUCAAAAUGUUUGUAUAAUACAAUUUCAUACAUACAAAUAAAAAUAUUUCUGUAAUUACAAACAUUUCAAUAAUUAUACGCAUGGUAUAGUUCAAGAUUUGCAUAAUAAAACAUACAUAGCUUAAGUUUUAAAUGUUCAUAUGUGUAUUCAGUGAUGGAUAAUAUAUAAAUUAAAUAACAUUUUUAAAUAUGAUUAAUGAUCUAAAAUUAUACACAAGUGAAUAGUAAAUGUUUGUAUUUAUCAUUUGUAUAAUUUACAUAUAAGCUGCAAAUGUAUAGUUCUUGUAUUUAAAUAUUUAAACAUUUUUAUUUAAAAUAUAUUUUAAAUGUAUGUAUUUACUAAACAUUUUUAUAUAAUACAUGUGUGUACAUUUAUUUUUUUAAUUUACUAAUGAUUAUCCUUGUGUGUACUAUUUAUAUCCACUUGAAAAAAAUAAUUAUACGACAUAAAUAUAUGAACAUUAUUUUUAUUCCAUACGUUUUAUAAAUGUCUUUAGAAAAAACUAGUGCGCGCAAAAUGUGCGGCACUAUUUGCAACUCAUUUAAGCCUCUCAUGUGUCCAGUUUAUAGUACAUGAAGACCUCUUAACAAUAUUGUGCAGAAUAGUGUGAGUGGCGGAGUUAAUAACUGAUAACUCUCCAGUUGGUCGUGAGUUCAACUCGUUGAGGCCGUCUUAUGUUUGUUUAAUUUUUUUACUACUGACAGCUGGGCAUCAUGUCUCAUAGAAGCGGAAAAAUGUUUUUAUGAGAAAUAAAAAAAUCAAGGGGGUUUUUGCAAAAAAAAGGCCGCACGCAUUCAUUCGUUCCUUUCAGUCGUUAACAGCGAGGCCCAAAAAAAGGUCGUACACAUUCCUCCAUUCCUUUCAGCCGUUAACAGCGAGGCCCANNNNNNNNNNNNNNNNNNNNNNNNNNNNNNNNNNNNNNNNNNNNNNNNNNNNNNNNNNNNNNNNNNNNNNNNNNNNNNNNNNNNNNNNNNNNNNNNNNNNNNNNNNNNNNNNNNNNNNNUUAACAGCGAGGCCCACACAAUGCUGGCGCUCCAAGUCAUCUUUAUUUUUUUAUCAAACAUGAUUUGCAUCGUAUUUACACGUUCAAACUAAGUUGUUGCACCAGUUCAAUGUCUGUCACAAGUUCUAUCACCAAACUAACCAUUUUAGUCAAUUCUACCAAUCCUGCCCCCCCCCCCCCNNNNNNNNNNNNNNNNNNNNNNNNNNNNNNNNNNNNNNNNNNNNNNNNNNNNNNNNNNNNNNNNNNNNNNNNNNNNNNNNNNNNNNNNNNNNNNNNNNNNNNNNNNNNNNNNNNNNNNNNNNNNNNNNNNNNNNNNNNNNNNNNNNAUAUUUUCUUGGAUGGGGUCUGGGUCGUUUCUAGUUGCAAUUAAACCAGGCCAAGUCAGCCUUCACGUAAGUUGAAGUAGGCGUUGCACGUAGGUGUAGCAAAGCCCUAGAAAAUAUAUUUUAAGAUUCAUCAUCGAAUGAAUAUUUUUCGAAAACAUCUCAAAAGGGGCAUCUGAUUCCUACAAUUUAUUAAGAAUAAGAUAAUUGCCUUUUAAUUGGGGAUAAUUAGGCGAAAACACGACAAUUUGCAUGAUUAUUUAAGAAAAAAUAGUGAAAACCACAUAUACCUAUGCAUACCGCAUGAUUGAUUAAGGGACAAUAGUGUAGAAAAUCCGACCGUACGAUUGAUUAAAGGACAAUCACGCAAAACAAACGAACAUGAUUUAUUAAGCGACGAUCAUGCAAAAAAAAACCCACCACAUAAUUGAUUAAAGAACAACCAACCAAUAAAAAUGACCACACGAUUGAUUAAGAGACAAUCGGGAAAAAACAAACAUGACCGGACCAGUGAAGUCGCCACCCUCACAGCUCAAGGUCGCCACCCCAUGCUACGCAAAGUCGUGGGUCUACCUCCUAGAGCCGCCAUUGCAAGGCCGCCCGAGGCUGCUGCCUUGGCCUACAUCCAUCGUUCUGAACCGUUGCCUCGACAUCCACCCCCUGACCAGGAGGCAACCUUGCAAAACUACCGAAAACCUACUGCUCUACAUUCGUCAAAGUUUCCAAGGUGGACCUCCAAGAAGGAAACAAUAUAGGUGUCAUCGCCACCCUCUUUGACGACGUUUGGGCCUUCACUCGAAGAUCACAUGACACUUGCGUCGGUUGAGGUAGCCUGAUACGUCUCCGUCGUAUCUACUUUUCCNNNNNNNNNNNNNNNNNNNNNNNNNNNNNNNNNNNNNNNNNNNNNNNNNNNNNNNNNNNNNNNNNNNNNNNNNNNNNNNNNNNNNNNNNNNNNNNNNNNNNNNNNNNNNNNNNNNNNNNNNNNNNNNNNNNNNNNNNNNNNNNNNNNNNNNNNNNNNNNNNNNNNNNNNNNNNNNNNNNNNNNNNNNNNNNNNNNNNNNNNNNNNNNGUUUUCAGCAGAAUUGCCAUGGUGUUGUUUUUGUGCAGAAAUAGAAGUUCUCGGAACGUCCUGAAAAUUUACGAAGAUUUUUUCUGGAAUAAAAGAAAAAUACCUGCGCAAAGAUCCACCGGAAGGGGCGUGCCAGUGGGCCACAAGCCCACAUGCCGCGGCCACCCCCUAUGGCCGCGCCGUGCAGGCUUAUGGGGCCCACGUGGCACCACCACCCCCAAUCUCAGCUUUGUAUCUUCCGUUUCGCCUGGAAAAAAUCAGAGAGAAGGUUUCAUCGCGUUUUGCGAUACGGAGGCGUCGCCACAUCCUGUUCUUCAUCUGGAGGGCAAUUCUGGAGUCCGUUUCGGGCUCCGGAGAGGGGAAAUCGUCGCCAUCGUCAUCAUCAACCUUUCUCCAUCGACAAUUCCAUGAUGCUCUUCAUCGUUCGUGAGUAAUCUCAUCGUAGGCUUGCUGGACGGUGAUGAGUUGGAUGAGAUUUAUCACGUAAUCAAGUUAGUUUUAAUGGGGAUUGAUCCUNNNNNNNNNNNNNNNNNNNNNNNNNNNNNNNNNNNNNNNNNNNNNNNNNNNNNNNNNNNNNNNNNNNNNNNNNNNNNNNNNNNNNNNNNNNNNNNNNNNNAAGAAGUGCCUAUGGACAAAUCCUAUAAAUAUAACUUAAGGCAACCAUUAGUCCAUAGGAAUUGUCAUCAAUUACCAAAACCACAUAUGGAGAUAUAUGCUCUAACAGCUCCGUUUGUAUUGGUUUUUGCCCGGUUUUUCGUAAAUUAACUCGGCAAUUCUCUUCUUCUUAAUUAAACGAUGAGGCAAAACUUUUGCCUCCGUUUAGAAAAACAAUGCCUAGAGCGGGAGACCUGGCGUACAAAGACCUGAAAAGUGAGAUGCUCGACAUCAUCCGCGACGAAGGUGGAGGCGACGGAGGAGUAUAUGACUAUUAGGACCGACAUGUGAAAGACUCGGAUCCUAUCCAGUCCAAGAACUACCCGCAACAGAAGACCCACACCCAAACGGGCAUGCAACCGUCAUAUAUCUAGAGCGGUGUGGGCACACAACAACAACAAUAUUGGCAACCGAACAACAAGAGGAGGAGGAUGAGGGCGAGAAGGACAAUGAACUAGAUGGUACAACCGGCAAUCCAAAGAAGGGUAGAGGAGAAAGUUUUAACAUGCGGGAGGGCGAGUUGCCAUGGGAUGCAUGGUUGGCCACUAGCCUCGAUCUUAUACAUUCUGGAACAAAAGGGAACAACUUUUUGAAUGCGAUGGAGAAGAAGCUCAAGCUGGAAGAAAGGAUCAUGAUCAAAGAGAGGAAGGUCGCGAUUGAGGAACAGAAGUUGAAGAUCGCCGCCAAUGCGGAGGACAUCAAGAUGUUGUCCUUGAAUAUAGAGUCUCUGGAUGCCGACGCAAAAAUGAUCUUGUAAUCCGUCUACUACCAAAUAUCUCAGCGCCAAAAAUAUGCAUUGAUAGCGGGAGACAUUGAGGACGCGGCAGAGGCGGAAGCAGAGGCUGCAUACGCGGCGGCGACGACUUCUAGAUCAGCAUGAAGAUGGUUCGGGUUGCGAGUCUCGCAAUGUAGAAUAUUACAUGGACUGUCGUACUGAAGUUCACUUUUGGAUUCGGGCAUGUAAAAUCAAAGUAUAUGUGUCUGUUUUUGGUUUUGAAUGUGGCAUACGAUCUAACGCUAGUGUGAUCCAACGUGCUGUGUUGACCGGACUAAAUUUUAAUUUUAAAUUAAUAGUGUUACACGUACAUAAGUUUACACGGGUUUUACGCGCAAGUAGAUUUUGAUUGGAGAUUAAGGGGGAUGGGCCCCACCACCCUUGAAAAUCAGGGGUGAAAGGUUAGUUAGGAAGGAAGAAUCCUAGUCAGCUUGUAAUCGUGUGUAACUCUUUGUAUGUUUAGCAUUUUUUAUUUCAAAUUGCCAUUUAUAGAAAGGAAUACAUCGGAUAGAGCAUUGGAUGACGUUAGUAUCCGCACACUGGUCCCCUGUCUGUGGAUAGAUACCGGAGGAAAUUUGAGGGGUCACUGUUCAGGGUGGACACCGCCCGGGCCGGUCCGGGCCCGGUCUGAGCCGUCGUUUGGACCCGCCGGUGGCGGUCCGGUCUGGAUCGGAACGAGUAGUGCGGCGGUCCUGAUUUUAGGAACCAAACAGGUAGUGAUGAAGCUCGGCGCGGACCGGCGGUCCUGACGGUCCUGAUGGCGUACAAUCAUUGCCAUGUGGGUCCAGGGUGUCGGAGCGGUGGUCGAAGCAGCACGAAGGUGGCCCCAGCUGGAAAAGACGAACCUGAGAAGCGGCGGCGUGGUGGCCGGUAGCACGAGGCACGUGAGAGAAAGGGAGUGGCACGACCGCGCGGGUGAAAGGGCGAGCAGUUACGUGAGGGAGCGGUGGCGCGACGGCGCGAGGUAGAGGUGCGGCGACACCAGGGAGAGGAAGGCAGAGCAGGGGAGAGGAAGCAGACGGCGACACCGGGAAGAGGGAGGCACAGCAGGGAAGAGGAAGCAGCCGACGGCGCCGAGAAGAGGAAGGCAGAGCAGGGGAGAGGAAGCAGACGACGACACCGGGGAGAGGAAGGCAGAGCAGGGGACAAGAAGCAGCCGGCGGCGCCGUGGGCAUGUGAAAGUGGAUGACAGCUAGGUCACGCAUCCAGGAGGAUCUUUAUGUACACGGCUCUCGUGAUUAGUUCUGACUGGGCUGGGCUUCCGUCCUCCGAGCCGGACCGGGCUUUAACCGGACCGGACGGUCCAAAUUUCGGGCUCCUUUCCAUAGACCGAACCGGUCAAGUUAUCCAACCACACAUGUCUACCCUUACUUAAAUUUCAUGCAAAUUUAGCAAAAUUAUACCGGCCCACCAGGACCGCACGGUCCGGUCCAUAGCGGGCUGCGAGCCGGACCAAAAGCCCGCUCGUUAUGUCCACCCUGAGUCACCGUUGAAGAUGCCCUCAAAUGUAUGUCCGUGAGUUUCUCUCGUUUGUAGUCAUUUUGUCUAGCAUACACGUUCCUCCUCGGUUUAUAAGUAAGACGGUUAUGGGAUCGAGGAAUAGCCAUGAUCUCACGAGACUCAAAUCUGAAAAAACAGUCCGAAUAUCUCUAACGAAGCGAAAACAAGCAGUUGCAUGCCUGGUUCUGCUGGUGAUAGGCCUGUGAACUUUUAAGUUUCAAGCAAGAGCACGUCAUUUAUUAUUAUUAUUAUUAUUAUUGAGAAAAGAAAUACGUCUGCGUCUUGUGACGUGGAGAGUCUACCCGCAGGAGAGGGAUACAGACGGAAUUGAUUCACUANNNNNNNNNNNNNNNNNNNNNNNNNNNNNNNNNNNNNNNNNNNNNNNNNNNNNNNNNNNNNNNNNNNNNNNNNNNNNNNNNNNNNNNNNNNNNNNNNNNNNNNNNNNNNNNNNNNNNNNNNNNNNNNNNCGGAAUUGAUUCACUAGCUGGUGGGCCGAAGACGUGGUUGGCCCAGCGAGCGUUGCGGGUGCGCCCGGAAGCACGCCGCUCGAUUUAGCUCAGCGUCGAUCAUUUAGGCUAUGCUUGAUUCAGUUUUUUUUAUCAAUUUCUCUUUUGAAAAGCUAAAAAGUAAUUAAAGAAAUAAAUGUUUAAAGCAAUUUUUAAAAAUCUGUAGCUUUUUUAAUACUAAUUUUAAUGUUGGAUACCUCAACUUUUCAGUUUCCAUUUUUUUACAACAGCUUUUUUAGAAUCUAUAGCUCAACCAAACACAACCUUAAUACCAAACCGCGAGCCUGAAGACAUCUUUGCUGGUCAGAUACGCUCAUACAGAUCGGUGUGUCACCGAGGACGCACACACGAAUUGUUGUUAGUAGAUUACUCCAAGGCUAUUCGGUUUGCAGAGGUAAAAGGUCAACGUAUCGCUGUUAGUUGGUUACUUCGAGGCUAUACUCUCUUCAUACGAAUUUGUGAUUGUGAUGGUUGUAACAGUAGUAACUUAGCGGAAAUUCACACACUAGAGCGACAUAAAAUUAGUUGUACGAUUCUCACAUCUACCAAAAUUAGCUAAAUUGAAAAUGACUCACAACAUUUUGAUCACGCUUCACAUGCAUGAUCUUCACCUCUCUGNNNNNNNNNNNNNNNNNNNNNNNNNNNNNNNNNNNNNNNNNNNNNNNNNNNNNNNNNNNNNNNNNNNNNNNNNNNNNNNNNNNNNNNNNNNNNNNNNNNNNNNNNNNNNNNNNNNNNNNNNNNNNNNNNNNNNNNNNNNNNNNNNNNNNNNNNNNNNNNNNNNNNNNNNNNNNNNNNNNNNNNNNNNNNNNNNNNNNNNNNAGUUUCAAGCAAGAGCACGUCAUCCAAACAAACACGUCCAUAUCUUGUGAUGGAGAGAGUCUACCCGCAGGGGUACGGACGGAAUUGAUUCACUACUGUUGGCGUGUAUCAUAUACCUUUCGGACACGCUAGAGCGGGAAUGAUUGACGUCAGCACUACGCAAGCAGCUAAAAAAAAAACUCCUAGCAGCCGCAGUAAGCAGUCAUCAGUGCAUCAUCAGGAGAGUGGAUUUUUCGGUUUUAUUUCUAAACAUUCAAAAAAUCAACUUUUAAAGUUUCAAAAAUAUCUGAAAAGAAUACACAAGUAUUUAUAGAUGUAUACUAGAUGUGUGUGAAAUUUCAUCACAAAAUAGUUUUUAAGUGGCAUGUAACAAAAAAAAAAUCAUGUGAUUUUGUAAUGAAUAGUGCAUGUGCUAGAAAUACGUGUUUUUGGUCUUUUUUUUGUAGCUCACAUAAUAAUAUAUUUCAUCAUGAAACUUUGCAGACAUGUAAUAUACAUCAUUAUAUAUAUAUAUAUGUAUUUUUUCAAAAUAAAUAAAAAAUUAUAAUUUGGAAUUUUGUAUAUACAAGGCAUUUCUGGCUCCAUCAGUCCAUACUAUAAGGUGUGUGUGUUUUUUAAAAUUAAUAUCUGACCAAGAAUUUAACCAACAAAAUAUGAAUUAUGUGUCAAGCAUUUAUACCAUUGAAUUAGUAUUUAAAAAGGAAGUAUUCAACAAUAUGAUUUCCCAGCCGCAUGAUUUAAUUGACGGUCAAAUUUAAAUAUCAAAAAACAUGUGUGCCGUACGGAACAUAGACUUGGUUGUAGGUAUGUACUCCCUCUGUUUUUAUUCCUCCGCAUGUUUAGCUUUGUCUCAAGUCAAGCUUCAUAAAGUUUAACUAGUUUAUAAAAAAACAUUAGCAUGUACAAUACCAAAUCAAUGCCAUUACAUUCAUUGAAUACAUUUUCUAAAUCUGCGUCGGCUGGCCGUGCGCUUGUUGAUUUCACCGACGGCGAGCGGGUGGAAUUUUCCUCUCCUCCUCGUCUGGUGGGCCCUACCUUUAAAGGCCGUUUCAUGGGUGGGAAGACAGAUAAGUCAAAUACGUGUUCAUGCAUUGUGGGUAACCUACAAGUAGAGGAACGCUUUGGCUAGCUCUGGCUCCCCCUCCCCCCCCCCCGGUCGCUACCAACUCCCCUCUCAUCCACACCAGCCGUCAGCAGCCAACCCUUCUGGGUGUUUAAAUGGAUCCGGUGUGAUCUUCUCAAAUCCGGCUCGCUCAUUGCUGCAGAUUGUCAUGUUGCAACUCUCCAACUGUUUGAUCCUAUCGUUAGAUCGACCGACUUGGUCAUCGAGGGUAUGGGUCCAGGCUCUCGCUCGUUCGCUGAAGUCCUGAAGCAGGGCCUCGAGAUGGCUGACCAUAGAGGUGGCAACUCGAGUGCAGGUAUGUCAGGUCAGUCCAGGGCCGUUGUACAGAAAACCAACUCCGGAGGAGCACGAAAGCAAGCUCCAGCCCCGGUCCCUAAAGAUCCCGCCCUUGCUCCAAGGCCCACAAAAUCUAUUGCCCCAACUAUGACAUCCUCUCACGUGCAAUCCUCCUAUACCGCUGAAGUGGAAGUGGAACAAGUCCUAGAUCCCAGGUAUAAGGAUACGAUUUGCUUUAAUUGUGGUGGCCGUCGGCACUAUGUGCGUAACUGUGUGAAGCCUAAGUCUUGGUUCAUAUCUGAGCAAAACCAUAAUGUCAAUAAAUGUGCUGCUUGGUCCAAGGUUCAACCUACAAGUGUCUUUUUUGGUAGUGGUGCUAGAGGUCUUGGUUUUUACCAUGUGGAUGUUUGUGUGGCCAAUGAAUCCAAUUGGCUUAACUUUCAAAGUUGUGUUGUGGUGAACAUUCUCAAAGGUGAGGUAGAUAAAACUUUAUUGAGGAGUCUUCUGACUGAUUCCUUUUGCAAAACUAAGCACUGGCCUUGGCAGAUUAGAGACUUGUCAAGCAAAACUUUCCUUGUUAGGUUUCCACGAAGAGGGUAGACGAUCUGAUUGAGCUCCCUGGUUUUUGCCAACCUCAAGAUGUUUCUGUUAAAAUGACUGAAUGGAAAGGUGCUUGUGACUCUUCUGGGGAGUUGAUUGAAACAUGGGUCCUUAUUGAAGGGGUCCUCUUAAGUGGUGUACCUGGAAGGUGUUUGCUCAGGUUGCUUCUAUGUUUGGUGUUCCCACUGAUGUUGAUUGGAAUGGUAUGUUUAGGACCUUUUUUGAAAAUGUCAGAGUCAAGAUUGCUUGUAGGGAUCCUACCAAUCCUACAAAAAUCCUUUUACAGGGAGCUUUGGAAUCAACCAAUCAUUUUUUAAACAGUCGAUUCAAAAAGCAAUUAAUCUAGAAAUAUACCCGAGUGUAUUUUGAAAACCCACAACUGAAUUUUUGGAGACUGCACAUCUUACUGCAAAUGUGAGUGUGGAGUUUAUGAGAAUAUGUUGUUCACAACAAGAUUUGUGCAAAGCUUAUAAAAUUACCAAAUUUCUGUUUGUAAGCCAUAUUACUGCAGUGUUCCAAAUUAUCCUGCCAGGUGUCAUUUUGAUCGAUACUUUAUCAAACCUGGUUACUUUGGUCCAUGCAACAUUACAACACAACACGAUGUUACACAUGACAGAUACAAAGGAUAAUAACCUCCUGGCCUCCUUUUAUUUCUUUAUGUUACCCAGGUUUACACACAACAACUCAACAUUCAGCACCAAUGAUCUAAUCUUAUUCCCCCUUAUUAUAUUGGAUCCAAUGAGAAAAAAGGAUAACUGUGCUUGAUCAUAUGGAAAUAUCUGAAUAUAGACCAUAGCAAAAGGGGACUAGUACACUUCCAGUCAAUUUCGGCAUUGGAAACAAUCACCAAUGAUCUAUAGAAAAUUCCCAUUGUAUAUUUACAUGUGCAUGCAGUUAAAAUGACUUGAGACAAAUAUUGUGGGAGCUGAGAACACCAAUUCAGAUCCAUCUCCUUGUAGGAGCAGAGAACAAGGACAACUGCUCAAAUUUAGAAGUUUCAAUGUAGGAACAGAGUCAAAUUGGACACCUUUGUUUUAUCUCAUGCAGGAUAAGCCGAUCUCUAAUUCUAGAUACAAAAUCGAUCAACAGAGAUCGCAUCUAGGAAUGGAACUCAAGAAUUUGGAACGGAGCUGAGGGGAGGGGAAGAAAGACCUGGCCAUGGAGGGGGGAGGUGCGAUUGCUAUGGGAUCGGAGCUCCAUGGCAGAUUGGAGGUCUUGGAGCUCCAAGUCAGCCCUAGGCGUUGAUGGAAUAGAAGCGGUGGUCCCAGACGCGCUCACCAACGGUCCUGCAAGCCCGAGAAUGUACUGAUGCGCCCGGUGUCUGUGCACCCGUGGCCUGCUCACGGGUGUGACGGGGCGUCCGUGAGGGACGCAGCUUGCUGGAUGGAAACUGAAAGGAUGUGGAUGUCGCCUAGAGGGGGGGUGAAUAUGCGCUUUAAAAUAAUUACGGUUUAGGCUUGAACAAAUGCGGAAUAAAACUAACAUUUAAUUUGUCAAGCACAAAACCUACAACAACUAGGCUCACCUAUGUGCACCAACAACUUAUGCUAAGCAAGAUAAACAACUAAGUGAUAGCAAGAUAUAUGACAAUAAACAAUAUGGCUAUCACAAAGUAAAGUGUAUAAGUAAAGGGUUCGGGUAAGAGAUAACCGAGGCACGCGGAGACGAUGAUGUAUCCCGAAGUUCACACCCUUGCGGAUGCUAAUCUCCGUUGGAGCGGUGUGGAGGCACAAUGCUCCCCAAGAUGCCACUAAGGCCACCGUAAUCUCCUCACGCUCUCGCACAAUGCAAGAUGUCGUGAUUCCACUAAGGGACCCUUGAGGGCGGUCACCGAACCCGUACAAAUGGCAAACCUUGGGGGCAGUCACCGAUACCCGUACAAAUUGCUCAGGGCAAUCUCCACAACCUAAUUGGAGACCCCGACGCUUGCCCAGAGCUUUACACCACAAUGAUUGAGCUCCGAGACACCACCAAGUUUCUAGAACACCAAAGCAUCCACGAAGAACAAUAUCUAGGGUACUAAGUACCAAAGGUAAUAAGCUUCUCAAACUUCACUUCCACGUCUCACCGUGGAGAACUCAAACGAUGGAACUAAUGCAAUGGCAAGGGCACGCGGAGUGCCCAAGUCCUUCUCUCCCAAAUCCCACCAAAGCAACUAAUGCUAGGGAGGAAAAUGAGAGGAAGAACGAAGAAGAACACGAAGAACUCCAAGAUCUAGACCCAAGGGGUUUCCCUCACUUAGAGGAGAAAGUGAUUGGUGGAAAUGUGGAUCUAGAUCUCCUCUCUCUUUUCCUUCAAGAACUAGCAAGAAUCAUUGGAGGGAUUAAGAGUUAGCAAGCUUGAAGAAGGUCAACAAUGGGGGAAGAACACGAGCUAAAGAGAUAAGGUUCAAUCGGGAAAAAGACCCCCUUUUAUAGGUGGGAAAAAAUCCAACCGUUAAGCCUCACAGCCCGCAUAGCGCGGUACUACCGCUCAUGGAGCGGUACUACCGCUCGGUAGGUUCACCAACCAUGUUGAGGCCAAAAAGUAUGCAAAAAACAGCCCGACGGAGCGGUACUACCGCUUCUGGAGCGGUAGUAAAAAAUUACUACCGCUUCUGGAGCGGUAGUAAAAAAUUACUACCGCUCCGGGGGCGAUACUACCUCUCCGGGGGCAGUACUACCGCUACACGAGCGGUACUACCACUGGCACCAGGAGCGGUACUACCGCUGGAUACUGAAACUGCUGUAACUUUCGCAUACAGACUCCAAAUUCAACGAAACCAAGUUUGUUGGAAAGCUAACGACAUGGGCUAACACGAUCUUGAUAGAAAUAUCAAUAAGAAGCAAGUGAUAAAAGUCCCAUAAGAAAAUGGUGAGAACCCUUCUUCGAAUAAGACCGGUAAAAACUCCCAACAUCGAAAACAUCAUAGAAGAUGCAUAUGGACUCCGUUUUCAAUGAACUCGAGCUUGUCAUGAAGAUGAACAUCAGCUCUAAAACUCACAAAAAGAAACAUCAAACAAGAACCAAGAAGUAUGAUGCAAGGAUGCAAAUGGUUUGAGCUCUCAAUGAGCGAUACGAUCAAGCUACUCACUUGAGAGCCCCCCUUGAUAGUACGACAAUCUAUCCUAAAACAGAAAACCUAUCAAGGGCAAACCUAUACCUUGCACCUCUUCUAUUGAGCUAGAUGGCGAUGAUCUUGGCUUCCUCAAGAUGGACCACCUUUCUUGAUUGCGUUGGCUUGAUGAAGACUAGUUGAUUGCUCCCCCAUACACACUAUGGGUGAGCCGCUCUUCAGCAUAUCUUCACAAGUCCAUUGCCACCAAAUGGACGGCAAGAAUCAAGCAUGAUAUAUUCGUGUUGAUCCACUUGAACUUGCACGCUGCAAUCUUGAUGACGAUCACCACUUGACGUCAUCCUUCAUGGGUUGUAUGAGAUCUUCCUUUUGACGCAAGCCCAUGGAAGCACACCUAACCCCCACAUAGAACUCUCACAAAGACCAUGGGUUAGUACACAAACACGUAAUGGACAAUGCUUACCAUACCAUGGGAUCACUUGAUCCCUCUCGGUACAUCUUGUACGCUUUGUGUGUUGAUUAUCUUGAUUUACUCUUUGUCUGAGAUCUUUAUCAACCUUGUGUCUCUAUGACCAUUCUUUGGAUAAUACCUUGAAUACCAUCUUGGUCAUCAUAUAAACUCCUUGAACCCAACGGAUGGACUUCAAGAAGUGCCUAUGGACAAAUCCUAUAAAUAUAACUUAAGGCAACCAUUAGUCCAUAGGAAUUGUCAUCAAUUACCAAAACCAUAUAUGGAUAUAUAUGCUCUAACAAUCUCCCCCAUUUUGGUAAUUGAUGACAACCACUUCAAGAGAGUUUAUAUAAGGAAAUAAGCAUAACCAAGCGCAUACAUACAAAGCAAUAAUGCAUGCGUGCAAGAUGUAAAUGCUUACGCAAUAAAAGCAAAACCCUCUAAACAUAUCCAAAGUAAACUCUCUAAACUUCUCCCCCAUUGGCAUCGAUUGCCAAAAUGGACGAAAAGUUUAGAAAACCAAUAAAGUAGGUGGUCCUCCAAAAAGUGUGUACUUCUCAGCAAACGAGUGCAAAGAGAUACACAAAUACAAUGAUAAGUAGUUGGAGGAAAACAAACUAUAUUGAUGACCCAAAGAUUGCAAAUAAAAGGAUCGUAUGCCACAAAGACAUACAAAAAAUAGAGGCAAGCAAUCAAAAGAUACCAGAUGGAACAAACAAUCAUAUGGUCCUUCGAACCACAUGAAUAAAAGAUAUUAUGAUAAAGGAAACAGAGUGUUUUAUCAAAACUAGAAAAGCUCCCCAUGAUUUGUGCACUAAUACGAGAUUUUUGUAUUUGAUAUAAGUGCACAAAAUAGGAUCGUUGCUCCCCCAAAAUUAAUAAAAACACACAACGAGUGCAAGAAGAUAGAUGAGACAAUGAGCAUACCAAUUGCACAAAACAAAUGGUUGAAUAACAUGUAGAAGAAGCAACUUAAGAAUAGGCUCAACCAAAAUAAUGUGUGUGAGUCAUGGCAAAGCACUUGAGAAGACUAAGAUAAGGAUGAGCAUUACUCAUCAACAUAGUCUUGAUGAAAUGAGAAACAAAGUGCAAGACAUAUCAUUCCCACACACACAUACUAGAAAAUGGGUUCACAAGCUUACUAAUAAACAAAAUAAGAACCAAUGCUUGUGACAACCCAUGGUGAAGAUAGGAAAUAAGAACCUUGUCGAGAGGAGGAAUACCAAUCGAAAUGGCAAAACCCUCAUCAAGACAAGCAUGAGGAAAAAUAAUCUUCACGGCCAAAGAGUGCAUCAAGAUGUAGGAAAAUAAGAUACGCACUCAAGACAAAUCCUUUCACGAAGCCACCAAAAACUGAAAAAGGAAAUGCAACGGUGGACGUGAAAGAAAAGAGGAUAUCAAUAAGAGAUGUAACUUCUCUCAUGUGUAAAAGAUUCUAAGUAGAAGACAAUCAUGAUGAUAUAUAUCCACAAAGAAGGAUGUACACACGAAAUGGUUACAAGAAGGAACAAACUGGAUAUCCAAAAGGAAGUCAUAAAUAUAUCAAUAAGAUCUUUUGCUUUGAAGCAUAGCACAUGGCCUAAUAUUUUCUUAUUGUACAAUAUGAACUUCCAACAUACGAACAUCAAAGACAUCCCAACUACUAGUAAGACAUCAUCGUUCGGAUGCUUUGUGAAAGGAAACAAGUACUACAAGAACGAAUCAAGAGAUUCAUGCCAUGAUGCAACUUGGAAAAGAAAAGACAUGUUGGAGCCUUUGCAAGAAAAGAAUGCAUGAAGUGGAUACUUGUUACCGAGACAACAUUGGAUUGAUGUAGUAGAUAGUUGUUCUUUGAUCAUCCUAACUUGGCUCCAAUAAUCACAUGGUCUCAACACCUACCUUAUAGGUGAGCCGAGCAUCCAAUGCAUCUCCAGUUGUUCCUGGAACAGCAAAAAAACAAAAUGGUGCCCAAAUUCAUUGGGAUCAAAGAGUUAGAAAACCAACGAUACAUAGGACAAACUCCACAUACAUAUGUGCAUAUAUAUAUGAAUUUGAAUUUCAUGCACACUUUAGCCAAUUUAUGACAAGGUGGAGUUUCCCCUAUAUAUUGGGUCAAAGAAAGAAAGAAAGCAAAAGAAGCUGUAUAUAGUAGAUAUGCAUGCUCAAGACUCUCAAGAAUCAACUCAACACAAAGUUGAUAAGUCACCAAAAGACAAGGCAUCAAGUGAUAAUAAGAUCCCAAACAAAAAAAACUAUCACUUGAAGGAUAUCAAUUAAAAGAUACCUCAAGGAAUGAGAUAUCCAUUGACACAUGCCAAAUAAAAGGAAACAAGAUACCAAUUGAAGGAAAACAAACACGAGGUAUCUAAUUUCCAAAAGAGAGCUACGUUCCAACAAACCAAACCCUCAACAAAUUUUCAUGAUGGCACAAAGCAUCAUAAAGAGCAAGACUUGCCUCCCAUCAACACACACUUGAUGGGGAUCAAAAGACUUUAUGAUGGGUGAAUAAAGAGAGUGUUCUAAAGAAAAUAGGAUAGCUCCCCCAAGGGACGUGCAUUAUAUAGGAUUUGCAUUUAAAUACAAAAUGCACAAGAUGGGAUCAUCACUUUCUCUAUAUCUAUAAAAACACUAGACAUGUUAAAAAAGAUCCACAAGAGGCAAGGAAGACAAACGAAAUACAAAAUCCAAUGUAAAGACGAUUAGCAAUUCCUACCACAUGAUGGGAAUACCAAUUGUCAAGGACAAGAAGUAUUUUGGAAAUGAUACUCAUUGGUAGAUCACAAAUAUAUCCAAGAUCAUCUUUACCCAUAAAACGCAAGCAAAUGACACUUGUAGAGCUAACAUGCCACCUAGGAACAAGAUAAUUUACAAUAUCAACACUAAGUGGCAACACCUCAAAUGUACACAUUUUCUAUGUUUGUAAUAUGCACAUAGCAUAUUACUCCCCCAUAAUGUGAUACACCAACAAUAUUAACAAGUGGCAAACUAAAACAAACAAGAGAUAAUUAAUGGACCAUAUAGAAUUUGAAUUUCUCUUGAGUAAGACAUACCACAUAGAAACUAGAUAAUCUUGAAAUAUCAAUACUAAGUGGUAUUCCCUAUGUAUACACAUUUAUAGGAUUGUGAGGUGUGCAAAGCACAUUACUCCCCCACAAUGGGAUAAUCCAUUAAUCUCUCACAAGAGCCAACAAAGAUACAAACAAGAUGCAAAAAAGGCUCAAUACAAGACUCACAUGUACAUGAUAUGCAAACCAACAUACACAUACUCGAUUACUCAAGAUAAGCAAGUUGGAAGCACAACAUAUACAAACACAUGCAAGGUACAAAACCACAACAUGCAAAGGGGCAAGCAACUAACAAUGUGAACAGUUUAAGUACAAGUUACCAUAAGGAGGCACAUUGGAUAUAAGAUAGAAACUCGAUAAUCCAAAUGACUUGGCUUGAGAUAAUAUGAAUUAUGAAGACCCCUUAAUUCUUAAUUAUGUAUCCAAGUCUAUAAUGUCCUCCACAUUCACCUAUUGAUCAAGUUUGAGCUUGUUGGUCCCCAACCACGUUGGGUUCUAAGAGGUUAGUCACAAUAGGCUUGGCAACCCAAAUGGUACUUUUCUUGACACCACUUUGAGUACCAACAAACUUGGCAAACACAUUGCCAACCUUAUACUUCCCAAGAGAAUAGAUAUCAUCAAUAAUGAUUGGGUUGGAUAAAUUACCUCUCGUGCAAGAUGAAGCGAAGUGACCCUUCUCACGACAUAAGUAGCAACAUCUACCCUUCAAUUUCUUCCCUAUUAAUUUCUCAACAUGAGGAGUGUUGGCUUGGGUCUUCUUAGCAAGGGGCAUUUCUUCAAGUUGUAAUUGAGUAUGUGAUUGAACUUGUGGCCGCUUCCCUUGUUGCUUGUGACUUUGGGGCUUCUUGUUUCGUGGGCAAGAUCUAACAUGGUGCCCUUCAAUUUUGCACUUGAAGCAAAUAAUCUUGGCCGAAUUCUUGACUUGUUCUUGGCCCUUCUUCUUUAAGUUUUUGGACUUCUUUUUCUUGUUGGAGUUGAAUCCAAGCCCAUCUUUGUCAUUCAGGGAUUUUUGCCCACACAAGACAUUGUUGAGUGUGGACAUCCCUUCAUGACUCUUUUCCAAGUAUUUCUUCAAAGAAGUGACUUGAGCCUUGAGCUCUUCGAUUUCCUCUACAUGGUUAGUAUCAACACAAGUACUAGAGGAAGUAUAAGCUUCAUUGUUAGAGCAACAAGGAAAGGAAAGUAAUUCAUCACAAAAGGUAGCAACAUUAUGAGUAGAAGAAUUACGAGGACUAGCACAUGGCAAUAUAGCAUUUUAACUAGAAGUAGUGCCAUUGUCCACAUGAGGCUCACUUGAUGUUACCUUGGUAGUAAUAGCCUCAUGAGCUAAUUUUAGCGCAUUAUGGGAUGCUAGAAUAUCAUCAUGAGAUCUUGUGAGCAUUACACGGCUUUCUUCCAAUUUCCCAUAAUUGCUAGAUAGCAACUCAAGUUGAGCCCUUAGCUCAACAUUCUCCUUGAAAAUGGAUGCUUCACAAGAAGUAGAGUUAGUAGCACAAGCAUCAUCAUUAGCAAUAAGAGGAGAAGGCACCUUGGCAAGCUCUUUAGCAUAUGAAGCUUCAAGUUGAGCAUGAGACUCGGUGAGUUCGAUGAGCGAACUCUUAAUAGCCAUUCAGCUAUUUUCGAGGUGCUCAUAGUGUUGGAAUUAUGCCCUAGAGGCAAUAAUAAAUGUAUGGUUAUUAUUAUAAUUCCUGUAUCAAGAUAAUAGUUUAUUAUCCAUGCUAUAAUUGUAUUGAAUGAAGACUCAUUUACAUGUGUGGAUACAUAGACAAAACACCGUCCCUAGCAUGCCUCUAGUUGGCUAGCCAGUUGAUCGAUGAUAGUCAGUGUCUUCUGAUUAUGAACAAGGUGUUGUUGCUUGAUAACUGGAUCACGUCAUUAGGAGAAUCACGUGAUGGACUAGACCCAAACUGAUAGACAUAGCAUGUUGAUCGUGUCAUUUUGUUGCUACUGUUUUCUGCGUGUCAAGUAUUUAUUCCUAUGACCAUGAGNNNNNNNNNNNNNNNNNNNNNNNNNNNNNNNNNNNNNNNNNNNNNNNNNNNNNNNNNNNNNNNNNNNNNNNNNNNNNNNNNNNNNNNNNNNNNNNNNNNNNNNNNNNNNNNNNNNNNNNNNNNNNNNNNNNNNNNNNNNNNNNGAUCAUAUAACUCACUGACACCGGAGGAAUGCUUUGUGUGUAUCAAACGUCGCAACGUAACUGGGUGACUAUAAAGAUGCUCUACAGGUAUCUCCGAAGGUGUUAGUUGAGUUAGUAUGGAUCAAGACUGGGAUUUGUCACUCCGUGUGACGGAGAGGUAUCUCGGGGCCCACUCGGUAAUACAACAUCACACAUAAGCCUUGCAAGCAAUGUAACUUAGUGUAAGUUAUGGGAUCUUGUAUUACGGAACGAGUAAAGAGACUUGCCGGUAAACGAGGUUGAAAUAGGUAUGCGNNNNNNNNNNNNNNNNNNNNNNNNNNNNNNNNNNNNNNNNNNNNNNNNNNNNNNNNNNNNNNNNNNNNNNNNNNNNNNNNNNNNNNNNNNNNNNNNNNNNNNNNNNNNNNNNNNNNNNNNNNNNNNNNNNNNNNNNNNNNNNNNNNNNNNNNNNNNNNNNNNNNNNNNNNNNNNNNNNNNNNNNNNNNNNNNNNNNNNNNNNNNNGACAUACGGGAUUAUACGAAUCCUUGGCACUGAGGUUCAAACGAUAAGAUCUUCGUAGAAUAUGUAGGAUCCAAUAUGGGCAUCCAGGUCCCGCUGUUGGAUAUUGACCGAGGAGUCUCUCGGGUCAUGUCUACAUAGUUCUCGAACCCGCAGGGUCUGCACACUUGAGGUUCGACGUUGUUUUACGCGUAUUUGAGUUAUAUGGUUGGUUACCGAAUGUUGUUCGGAGUCCUGGAUGAGAUCACGGACGUCACGAGGGUUUCCGGAAUGGUCCGGAAACGAAGAUUGAUAUAUAGGAUGACCUCAUUUGAUUACCGGAAGGUUUUCGGAGUUACCGGGAAUGUACCGGGAAUGACGAAUGGGUUCCGGGAGUUCACCGGAGGGGGGCAACCCACUCCGGGGAAGCCCAUAGGCAUUUGGGGGGGUCACACCAGCCCUUAGUGGGCUGGUGGGACAGCCCACCAAUCCCCUAUGCGCCAAGAGAGAAAAAUCAAAGAAAAAAAAAGGAAGAAGUGGGAAGGGGGAAGGACUCCCUCCCACCAAACCAAGUAGGACUCGGUUUGGGGGGGGAGAGUCCUCCCCCCUGGCUCGGCCGACCCCUUGGGGAUCCCUUGGACCCCAAGGCAAGGUCCCCCUCCCUCCUCCUAUAUAUAUGGGGCUUUUAGGGCAGAUUUGAGACGACUUUCUCACGGCUGCCCGACCACAUACCUCCAUAGUUUUUCCUCUAGAUCGUGUUUUUGCGGAGCUCGGGCGAAGCCCUGCUGAGACAAGAUCAUCACCAACCUCCGGAGCGCCGUCAUGCUGCCGAAGAACUCUUCUACCUCNNNNNNNNNNNNNNNNNNNNNNNNNNNNNNNNNNNNNNNNNNNNNNNNNNNNNNNNNNNNNNNNNNNNNNNNNNNNNNNNNNNNNNNNNNNNNNNNNNNNNNNNNNNNNNNNNNNNNNNNNNNNNNNNNNNNNNNNNNNNNNNNNNNNNNNNNNNNNNNNNNNNNNNNNUCGUCGAGCUGUACGUGUGCUGAACGCGGAGGUGCCGUCCGUUCGGUACUAGAUCGUGGGACUGAUCGCGGGAUUGUUCGCGGGGCGGAUCGAGGGACGUGAGGACGUUCCACUACAUCAACUGCGUUCUCUAACGCUUCUGCUGUACGAUCUACAAGGGUACGUAGAUCACUCAUCCCCUCUCGUAGAUGGACAUCACCAUGAUAGGUCUUCGUGCGCGUAGGAAAUUUUUUUGUUUCCCAUGCGACGUUCCCCAACACAUAGUCCUCAAGGAGUUUAGCAUGUGCAACUCCAAGCUUAUCAUUUUUAGUUCCAAAAUCAUUAGCCACCUCGAGAGCUCUAUCAUGGGAUCCCUUUAAUCUAGAUAAUUCUAGAGCAAAGGUUUCCUCAAGAGAUUCCUGGGUGGUUUGUUCAUUUUCAAGAGCUUGAGAUAGCUCUGCGAUCUCAUUAGCGUAAUCACGCUCAUGACCUUCCAUUGUCUCAAUGGUGGCCUCAUGCUCCUCAGGAUGAUCUUCCAACUCCUCAAUGUAUUUCUUGCCCUCAGUGGCAAUAGACAUGAUUUCCAAGAAGUUGGAACAAGCAAGUUUAUUCUUAUAAAGAGAUUUAAAAUCAUUUCACCCUUAAUUUUGAAGGAUGCAGCAAUAUCACUCUUUUCAUCAUUAUUCUCAUCCUCAUUAUCAUGAACACCAUCAUCAUGAGAUACACUUGGAUUCAAAGUAGGAGAUACCUUUGAAGCCUUAGCCAUAAGGCAAAAGUGAGUAGCAAUAGAUGAUGAUGUAGGAUCCCUUGAAGCAUCAUUCAAGGCCACAUCUUGUUCCAUGGAGUGAUGAUUUUCUUCUACAUUGUUAGCACAAGAACUCGAGGAAAUAUAUACAUUUUUAUCAUGGCAACAAGAUAUAGGAAGCAUGUCAUCAUGAGAUUUAGUCAAGCAGUUUUUACAUGAUAUGCAAGGACUAUCAACACAAGUAUGUAAAACAUUUAGAGUGCUCGAAGUGUUAAUGCCCAAAGAUGAAGCAUUGCAAUAAUAUAGUGAUGAAGGAUCAUCAACAAUAAACCCACUAUCAUCAUUGCAAUCAUCACCACUACUCACCAUAUCAUUACCUUGUAGCAAUCCACAUGUAGGUGAAGUAGAUGAAGUUGAGAAGACGACACGACCGGAGGUGAAGGGAGAACAAUCAUUCCCACAAAUCUUGGACAUACCAUAUUUAUCUUGAAGCUUUGUCCACAACUCAUGAGCAUCCUGGAAUGGCAUGAGUUGAAAUAUAACUACAUUGCUCAAAGCAUCAAAAAGCACAUUAGAAGCUUGAGCAUUGAGAUAAGAGUUUUUCUCAUCCUCUAAAGAUAUAUUUUGAGAAUCCUUUGGAGGAGAAAAACACAUAUCUACAAUUCUCUCCAAAUUUGGGUCCAAGACCCGAAAGUGAUUAAGCAUGUGAAUUACCCAAACAUCAAAAUUUGUGCCAUCGAAACUAAAAGUGUGAGUGAAUCCUAAACACCUAGUCAGCAUCCUUACUCUCUAGGUGGUUAAACCUAAUAAAGAAAGACCUAGCCCCGAUACUAAUUGAAAGGACGUGGAUGUCGCCUAGAGGGGGGUGAAUAGGUGCUUUAAAAUAAUUACGGUUUAGGCUUGAACAAAUGCGGAAUAAAACUAACGUUUAAUUUGUCAAGCACAAAACCUACAACAACUAGGCUCACCUAUGUGCACCAACAACUUAUGCUAAGCAAGAUAAACAACUAAGUGAUAGCAAGAUAUAUGACAAUAAACAAUAUGGCUAUCACAAAGUAAAGUGUAUAAGUAAAGGGUUCGGGUAAGAGAUAACCGAGGCACGCGGAGACGAUGAUGUAUCCCGAAGUUCACACCCUUGCGGAUGCUAAUCUCCGUUGGAGCGGUGUGGAGGCACAAUGCUCCCCAAGAUGCCACUAAGGCCACCGUAAUCUCCUCACGCUCUCGCACAAUGCAAGAUGUCGUGAUUCCACUAAGGGACCCUUGAGGGCGGUCACCGAACCCGUACAAAUGGCAAACCUUGGGGGCGGUCGCCGAUACCCGUACAAAUUGCUCGGGGCAAUCUCCACAACCUAAUUGGAGACCCCGACGCUUGCCCGGAGCUUUACACCACAAUGAUUGAGCUCCGAGACACCACCAAGCUUCUAGAACGCCAAAGCAUCCACGAAGAACAAUAUCUAGGGUACUAAGUACCAAAGGUAAUAAGCUUCUCAAACUUCACUUCCACGUAUCACCGUGGAGAACUCAAACGAUGCAACUAAUGCAAUGGCAAGGGCAAACGGAGUGCCCAAGUCCUUCUCUCCCAAAUCCCACCAAAGCAACUAAUGCUAGGGAGGAAAAUGAGAGGAAGAACGAAGAAGAACACGAAGAACUCCAAGAUCUAGACCCAAGGGGUUUCCCUCACUUAGAGCAGAAAGUGAUUGGUGGAAAUGUGGAUCUAGAUCUCCUCUCUCUUUUCCCUCAAGAACUAGCAAGAAUCAUUGGAGGGAUUGAGAGUUAGCAAGCUUGAAGAAGGUCAACAAUGGGGGAAGAACACGAGCUAAAGAGAUAAGGUUCAAUGGGGAAGAAGACCCCCUUUUAUAGGUGGGGAAAACUCCAACCGUUAAGCCUCACAGCCCGCACAGAGCGGUACUACCGCUCAUGGAGUGGUACAACCGCUCGGUAGGUUCACCAACCAUGCUGAGGCCAAAAAGUAUGCAAAAAACAGCCUGACGGAGCGGUACUACCGCUAGGGAGUACUACCGCUCCGGGGGCGGUACUACCUCUCCGGGGGCGGUACUACCGCUCGCACCACGAGCGGUACUACCGCUGGAUACUGAAACUGCUGUAACUUUCGCAUACGGACUCCGAAUUCAACGAAACCAAGUUUGUUGGAAAGCUAACAACAUGGGCUAACACAAUCUUGAUAGAAAUAUCAAUAAAAAGCAAGUGAUAAAAGUCCCAUAAGAAAAUGGUGAGAACCCUUCUUCGAAUAAGACCGGUAAAAACUCCCAACAUCGAAAACAUCAUAGAAGAUGCAUAUGGACUCCGUUUUCGAUGAACUCGAGCUUUUCAUGAAGAUGAACAUAAGCUCUAAAACUCACAAAGAGAAACACCAAACAAGAACCAAGAAUUAUGAUGCAAGGAUGCAAAUGGUUUGAGCUCUCAAUGAACGAUACGAUCAAGCUACUCACUUCAGAGCCCCCCUUGACAGUACGACAACCUAUCCUAAAACAGAAAACCUAUCAAGGGCAAACCUAUACCUUGCACCUCGUCCUAUUGAGCUAGAUGACGAUGAUCUUGGCUUCCUCAAGAUGGACCACCUUUCUUGGUUGUGUUGGCUUUGUGAAGACUAGUGGGUCGCUCCCCCAUACACACUAUGGGUGAGCCGCUCUUCAGCAUAUCUUCACAAGUCCAUUGCCACCACAAUGGACGGCAAGCAUCAAGCAUGAUAUAUUCGUGCUGAUCCACUUGAACUUGCACACCGCAAUCUUGAUGACAAUCACCACUUGACGUCAUCCUUCAUGGGUUGUAUGAGAUCUUCCUUUUGAUGCAAGCUCAUGGAAGCACACCUAACCCCCACAUAGAACUCUCAUAAAGACCAUGGGUUAGUACACAAACACGUAAUGGACAAUGCUUUCCAUACCAUGGGAUCACUUGAUCCCUCUCGGUACAUCUUGUACGCUUUGUGUGUUGAUCAUCUUGAUUUACUCUUUGUCUGAGAUCUUUAUCAACCUUGUGUCUCUAUGACCAUUCUUUGGAUAAUACCUUGAAUACCAUCUUGGUCAUCAUAUAAACUCCUUGAACCCAACGGAUGGACUUCAAGAAGUGCCUAUGGACAAAUCCUAUAAAUAUAACUUAAGGCAACCAUUAGUCCAUAGGAAUUGUCAUCAAUUACCAAAACCACAUAUGGAUAUAUAUGCUCUAACAAACACGUCGGCAUACAUUCUUCGUGCAUAACCACCAUCCGCUGCCGCAAGCCAUGGAUGGAACAAUUGAAUUUUUUUCUCCUCCUGCUCUCCCCUCGACUAUGCCCAGGAUUUGUUGUUGGGGCGGCGAAUCGACGACCAUAUCAAGAGCUAGACGAAGGUAGGGGAAGGAGGGGGUGCCGACAAAGGUCAGGAGGGCAAGGACUAGCUGGGAUCUGGCCGGAGUUGGUCGUGGACGAUGGUGGCGGAAGGGGGAAGGGGAAAGGGGGAAACAACUGAAGAAAAGACCACAUGUUAUCUGAGGAAAAACAAAAGGGGCGUUUUGCAAAAAUGUCGUCGCGGCAUGAAUUUUGGGACGGAGGGAGUACAUAACAGUUAAAGAAAUAUGCAUCACACUUGGAGCUCCAAAUAAUGUAUGCAGUAUGAUUUGUUGGGACAUGCCUUUGACUGAUUGUUGCUCGUUAAUACAAUCCUCCGUCCGAAAAUACUUGUUAAAAAAUAAAAUAGAUGUACAAAGAACUAAAAUACAUAUAAAUACAUCCAUUUCCCCGAGAAGUAUUUUUAGACUAAGGGAGUAUGAAUGAGAAAUCAUACCCAAUCCCCAAGAAAAAAUAUGUUUCUGUAAAGAAAUUAGGCAUGAUGCGUAAAAAAAAUAAGCAUGAUGUUUUGGAGAUGACUUCAGCCAAACAUUGGCUAUGAAUAUCAUUUUAUUUAUUUUUAUUAGAUAUUUGAAAAGCAUACAAACAUGAUCCAGCCUUUUUUUAAAAGGUGGUCUAGGGUUUGCCUCCGCAGUCAUCUGCCUCUGUCGUAGAACAUCGACCUCCUCCUCAUACGUCGAUGGGGGUGUGCGGAGAGGCCGUGAUCUGUCGAUGGGAGCCAUAGCUUCUCCCUCUUGGGAUCUUGGGUAGGUCUUCGUUCGGCGGCAGCGAGACGAUGGUGCUUAUGUAAGAUGGGUCGGGAGGAGUGUGUAAGAUGGGUUGUAUCGUCGGGAGGCAUGUGUAAGAUUUGUUGUCCUUAGACCUAGUUCUUCGAGCAAGCAUUAUUUAUUUUGCAUGUUUGUGUGACUGUGCUAUCCUGUAGGAUGAACAACGUGGUUGGACGUCUUGAACCUUCGGCUCUAGUUCUAGAUGACUGAAAGGUUAGUCCUUUUCGACCUUGUUGGAGAGGGUAUCAUGUUUGUGUCCCCCGAACUCCGUUGGCCAGAAUUGGGCAUUCAACAAACCCUCUUUGUUGUUCCUUCCCCGGAACGGCAAUUUGCUAUGCAAGUCACAUGUGUCGACUUCUUGUGUUCUCUGAAUCGGUCAAGCAAAAAUUGGGGUGUUCUAUAGACCCUCUUAGAUGUUUCCUCUCUAGACCGGCUUCCCUGUCACUAUUUCUACAAGCUAUUGGGCUUAAACAAGUUUGCCACUGAAACAGAGGCCUAGAGGUGGAACGAGUUGCGCACGGCUCGUCAUCAAGUGGUUGCAGGAGGAAGAAGACUUCCACAUCCAAAGGAUUUGGAUCAUUUGUCAGUUUCUGCAAUUGUGUUUUAUAAGGUUUGUGGUACCUAAUAUUUGGCAUUCGACCUUUUUCGCAACAAUUUGUCUUGAAAAAUUAUUUGUGAAAGUGUUUAUAUAGUUAACACAAAUUAGUGGUUGCAACUUGAAGAUCUUGUUGCCAACUUUUUUAUAAAAAAUUGUCUUGAAAAGUUACUUCUGAAAUAUUUAUAUAUUAACAUAAAAUAGUGGUUGCAUCUUGAAGGUUCUUCCCGUCUAGGCCCCGUUCUUCUAGCAUCGUCGGUAGGCGUGUGGAGGUGUGUCUCCGAAGGAUCUGUCUUUGAUAGGUCUACUUAGAUCUGGUCAUCGUUUGUCUUCGGUCAUGUGUCUUUAGGUCGGAUCCUUCUGAUCUACCCUACUCUUCAUCAGCGCUGGUUGUUGUUCUUGUGUAUUGGUCCUAUGGCCCCUAGCACAACGAUUUCUCGACAACCUAUUAUUACAAGGUUUGCCCGGCUCCCACGAGGGAGGGGCGAUGACAGCGGCGCGCCUUUAGCACGCUUCCGUUCUUCUAGUCGUCGAUAGAUAGUCUAUAAAUGUAUUUUUUUAUUAUUUUUACGCGUUGUAUUUCAAACGGAGAUACCGGCAAAAGUCUAGUUUUCCGAAUGCAUUUUUCUGAGAAUCCAUCGAGUUACUCCCUCGGUUCCUAAAUAUAAGACAUUUUAAAGAUUUCACUAUAGAAUAGAUACAAAGCAAAAUGAGUGAAUCUAUAUUUUAAAAUAUGACUACAUACCUUCGUAUGUAAUUCAUAAUGAAAUCUCUAAAAGAUCUUAUAUUUAGGAAGGGGGGGAGUAUGUUACAUUUAAGUUGAGCUUUGAAAAACCGACCACGGCAAUUUUAUUUCGUUUUGGAAAACCAGGCAGAAUUUUGGCUUCUUUGACUCACAGGAUUCACAAAAUACAUUAAUGGGAAUAUCACAUGAUUAGAGCGGCAUGUGCUCUUCAAUCCUAUAGGGUUAGAAAGCCACGUACAUUUGGAGUAGAGAGGGUUUGAUAUAUAUCAGAGAAAAAUAUGUAGCAAGAGGCUUGAUGGAAUGGAAAUAAUUUUCCUUUCAAAACAGAUUGCAUAUUGCAAAAAGGAUUUCUUUAGAAAAAUUCCCAAGGAAUAGCCUGCACGACUUUGGCAAGCCUUGUAAAAACAGACCCAAAAAAGAAGAAGAGAAGAAGGAGAAGGNNNNNNNNNNNNNNNNNNNNNNNNNNNNNNNNNNNNNNNNNNNNNNNNNNNNNNNNNNNNNNNNNNNNNNNNNNNNNNNNNNNNNNNNNNNNNNNNNNNNNNNNNNNNNNNNNNNNNNNNNNNNNNNNNNNNNNNNNNNNNNNNNNNNNNNNGCAUAGAAUUGCGACAGCCUAUGUUGAUAGGACACCAACCGCAUUCGGAUCUCGUAUCAGAUCGGUGGUCUUGAUAGCACGUAGUGAACAGAGGAAAAGAAAUAGUGGUCAAGACAGGGUACGUACGAACGGACACGACCGCGGCUAGUUGUUAGUUGGCAGCUGGCACGGAGAAAGCGACCGAGACCCGGCACAAAAAAAAUGGUAACUGAGAUCAUCUUCAACCACCAUUUGAAAACUCGGGCUCUCAAAUGCCCCUGAACGCGUCUGGUUAGUGACCUAGGGCGUUUCGUAUUUGUCCGUUCGAGUAGUCACAUUUAAUAUUUCUUUCCUCAUAUGUCUGAUCACUUGUACGUGAUUGAUGAAAAUGAAUAAAGAAAAAGAAAAUAACUAUUAAAGAAAAGAAAAAUGUGGUUUGGGAUGGGGUCGCGUCCUAUGUGACAGACUGAUCGGGGCGUCCGGCUGCGUUUGCGAGCCCCUCGUAUCCUCUUCAUAUUUAAGAUGGACUAGUAAAAGUGCCCGUGCGUUGCAUCGGGUUAGAUUGUCAAUUUUUGGAUCAUGUAUUUCGUAUUUGACCCCCCCCCUCCCAUCAUGUUCUUUAUCAACAUCUACUUGCGAACUCCGCACCGCCUUUGAAUUGCAAGUAGGUAUGUAAACAUACGACAAAUGAUUAUAUAUAGUAGCGACUAAUACCUAUACAAACUCUUCAAGCAAAAAAAAAGGUACUAAUAGAAACAAUUUCCUCCAUAUGAAUGGCUGCCCAGCAGCUCCGAAGAACAGCUACUUGCAUCUGUAUCAUUAGCAAUUGAAAGUUAAGUUGUAAAUAAAGGCAGAAACUUCUCGGCAAAAACUUGAAAAUUUGAUUUUUGUAAGAGAUAUAGCAAUUUCAAUGGUCAUUAUUUUAGCAGUCUUAUUUUAUUUUUUUUCCGUAAAAUUUAAUAUCCAUAGAUCAUAAGAUGACCUGCAUGAUUAUAUAUUUUAAAUAUAUUCAAUUAAGUCCAAAUGGCCGAAAGAGUUGUUCAUAAAUAUAAUGAAUUGAACAAUGCCUAUAUUUCCUUUCUCAGAGGAUUCGUGUACUAUAAUUUGGACCUUGCUCGCAUAGUUGGGUAUUGAAACUCCUUAUUUCAUUUAGUUCAUGAACAAUUUGGACUUGGUCGAGCAAUCCAUUGUUUUGUGUUGGAGAAGGACACCGUCACGAAUUCAAUCCAAGUCAGACAUGGCAACACGAGAAGGCUCUGCCAGUGGCGAACAGAUCACAGCGGCGUGCUCUCAGCCGGCACUGGUGGACGGGUACUCACCCUGCCUCCUCGAUGCAUGCUCUCCCCCACCAGCAGCGCUUGCGGUCGCGCCGCUCCGUCCUCGCCUCUCCUCGUCCCUGCUUCCGACCACCUCGGCAGCCCUGGUCUACAGCCCCUCAUCGUCCUCUGCUCCGGCCGCACCUUCACUACUGGAAAACAGUUUUUUGCCAUCUGCCUAGUCUUUGUCGUCUGCUAGCUGACGGCAAAGACACUCUUUGCCAUCAGCUUCAGCAAAACUGACGGCAAAGAACUGGCUGAUGGCAAAGAAGGUCUUUGCCAGCAGUCAACUCUUUGCCGUCUGCCGCAGACGGCAAAGAAGGGGCCAGCAGACGGCAAAGAAGCUCAUCUGGCCGGGGGAACCUUAGGUCAAACUACUCCCUUCUUUGCCGUCUGCUGGCUGACGGGCAAAGAUGCCAGAGGCAGACGGCAAAGAGUAUAGACCCCUUUGCCGUCCGCCAGCAGACGGCAAAGNNNNNNNNNNNNNNNNNNNNNNNNNNNNNNNNNNNNNNNNNNNNNNNNNNNNNNNNNNNNNNNNNNNNNNNNNNNNNNNNNNNNNNNNNNNNNNNNNNNNGGGGAAGCCCAUAGGCAUUGAGGGUGGCGCACCAGCCCUUAGUGGGCUGGUGGGACAGCCCAAAAGAGACCUAUGCGCAUUGGAAGAAAAAUCAAAGAGAAAAGAAAAAAAAGGAGGAGGUGGGAAAGGAAAGAAGGACUCCACCCACCAAACCAAGUAGGACUCGGUUUGGGGGGCCGACCUUCCCCCCUUGGCUCGGCCGACCCCCUUGGGGCUCCUUGAGCCCCAAGGCAAGGCCCCCCCUCUCCCACCUAUAUAUANNNNNNNNNNNNNNNNNNNNNNNNNNNNNNNNNNNNNNNNNNNNNNNNNNNNNNNNNNNNNNNNNNNNNNNNNNNNNNNNNNNNNNNNNNNNNNNNNNNNNNNNNNNNNNNNNNNNNNNNNNNNNNNNNNNNNNNNNNNNNNNNNNNNNNNNNNNNNNNNNNNNNNNNNNNNNNNNNNNNNNNNNNNNNNNNNNNNNNNNNNNNNNNNNNNNNNNNNNNNNNNNNNNNNNNNNNNCGGAGCCCUGCUGAGAAAAGAUCAUCACCAACCUCCGGAGCGCCGUCACGCUGCCGGAGAACUCUUCUACCUCUCCGUCUCUCUUGCUGGAUCAAGAAGGCCGAGAUCAUCGUCGAGCUGUACGUGUGCUCAACGCGGAGGUGUCGUCCGUUCGGCACUAGAUCGUGGGACUGAUCGCGGGACGGUUCGCGGGGCGGAUCGAGGGACGUGAGUACGUUCCACUACAUCAACCGUGUUCACUAACGCUUCUGUUGUACGGUCUACAAGGGUACGUAGAUCACACAUCCCCUCUCGUAGAUGGACAUCGCCAUGAUAGGUCUUCGUGCGCGUAGGAAAAUUUUUGUUUCACAUGCGACGUUCCCCAACAGUGGCAUCAUGAGCUAGGUUCAUGCGUAGAUGUCUUCUCGAGUAGAACACAAAAUUUUUUGUGGGCGGUGAUGUGCAUUUUGCUGCCCUCCUUAGUCUUUUCUUGGUUCCGCAGUAUUGUUGGAUCGAAGCGGCUCGGACCGACAUUACUCGUACGCUUACGAGAGACUGGUUUCAUCGCUACGAGUAACUCCGUUGCUCAAAGAUGACUGGCGGGUGUCAGUUUCUCCAACUUUAGUUGAAUCGGAUUUGACCAAGGAGGUCCUUGGAUGAGGUUAAAUAGCAACUCAUAUAUCUCCGUUGUGGUGUUUGCGUAAGUAAGAUGCGAUCCUACUAGAUACCCAUGGUCACCACGAAAAACAUGCAACAACAAAAUUAGAGGAAGUGUAACUUGUUUUUGCAGGGUAUGCUUGUGAUGUGAUAUGGCCAACGAUGUGAUGUGAUAUAUUGGAUGUAUGAGAUGAUCAUGUUGUAAUAGAUAAUAUUGACUUGCACGUCGAUGGUACGGCAACCGGCAGGAGCCAUAGGGUUGUCUUUAUACUAAUGUUUGUGCUUGAAGAUGCGUUUACUAUUUUGCUAGGAUGUAGCUUUAGUAGUAAUAGCAUGAGUAGCACGACAACCCCGAUGGCGACACGUUGAUGGAGAUCAUGGUGUGGCACCGGUGACAAGAAGAUCGUGUCGGUGCUUUGGUGAUGAAGAUCAAGGAGCACGUGAUGAUGGCCAUAUCAUGUCACUUAUGAAUUGCAUGUGAUGUUAAUCCUUUUAUGCACCUUAUUUUUCUUAGAACGACGGUAGCAUUAUGAGGUGAUCUCUCACUAAAAUUUCAAGACGAAAUUGUGUUCUCCCCGACUGUGCACCGUUGCUACAGUUCGUCGUUUCAAGACACCACGUGAUGAUCGGGUGUGAUAGACUCAACGUUCACAUACAACCGGUGCAAAACAGUUGCGCACGCGGAACACUCGGGUUAAGCUUGACGAGCCUAGCAUGUGCAGACAUGGCCUCGGAACACAUGAGACCGAAAGGUCGAUCAUGAAUCAUAUAGAUGAUAUGAUUAGCAUAGGUAUGCUUACCACUGAAACUAUACUCAACUCACGUGAUGAUCGGACUUGAGCUAGUGUAAGUGGAUCAUGAACCACUCAAAUGACUAGAGAGAUGUACUUUUUGAGUGGGAGUUUAGCGAAUAAUUUGAUUAAGUUAAACUCUAAUUAUCUUGAACAUAGUCUAAGUCCACUUUGAAUAUAUUUGUGUUGUAGAUCAUGGCUCACGCGACAGUCACCGUGAAUUUUAAUACGUUCCUAGAGAAAGCUAAGUUGAAAGAUGAUGGAAGCAACUUUGUAGACUGGGCUCGUAAUCUUAAGGUAACCAUACAAGCUGGGAAGAAGGAUUAUGUCCUUAAUGAUGCGCUAGGAGAUGAACCACCCGCUACGGCUGAUCAGGAUGUUAAGAACGCUUGGUUAGCACGUAAGGAGGACUACUCAGUAGUUCAAUGUGCAGUCUUGUAUGGCUUAGAACCGGGACUUCAACGUCGCUUUGAGCGUCAUGGAGCAUUUGAGAUGUUCCAGGAGUUGAAGUUUAUCUUUCAGAAGAACGCCCGGAUUGAGAGGUAUGAGACCUCCGAUAAAUUCUAUGCUUGCAAGAUGGAGGAGAACUCGUCUGUCAGUGAACAUGUGCUCAAAAUGUCUGGGUACUCAAACCGUCUAGCUGAGCUGGGGAUUGAACUCCCGCAAGAGGCUAUCACUGACAGAAUCCUUCAAUCACUGCCGCCAAGCUAUAAAGGCUUUGUGUUGAACUACAACAUGCAAGGGAUGAACAAGUCUCCCGGCGAGUUGUUUGCGAUGCUGAAAGUCGCAGAGUAUGAACUCCGUAAAGAGCAUCAAGUGUUGAUGGUGAAUAAGACCACUAGUUUCAAGAGAAAUGGCAAAGGCAAGAAGGGUAAUUCAAAGAAGAGCGGCAAGCCUGUUGCCAAUCCGACGAAGAAACCCAAAGCUGGACCUAAGCCUGAAACAGAGUGUUACUAUUGCAAGGGUAUGGGUCACUGGAAGCGCAAUUGCCCCAAGUAUCUGGCAGAUAAGAAGGCGGCCAAAGAAAAAUCAGGUAUAUUUGAUAUACAUGAUAUUGAUGUGUACUUAACCGGCUCUCGUAGUAGUGCCUGGGUAUUCGAUACCGGUUCUGUUGCUCAUAUUUGCAACUCGAAACAGGAACUGCGGAAUAGACGAAGGCUGGCAAAAGAUGAAGUGACGAUGCGCGUAGGAAAUGGUUCCAAGGUUGAUGCAAUCGCCGUCGGCACAGUUUCACUUCAGUUACCAUCAGGAUUAGUUAUGAACUUGAAUCAUUGUUAUUUAGUGCAUGCGUUGAGCAUGAACAUUAUAUCUGGAUCUUGUUUAUUGCGAGACGGUUACUCUUUUAAGUCAGAGAAUAAUGGUUGUUCUAUUUCUAUGAGUAACAUCUUUUAUGGUCAUGCACCCAAUGUGAGAGGAUUGUUCAUAUUGAAUCUUGAUAGCGAUACACACAUACAUAACAUUGAGACCAAAAGAGUUAGAGUUAACAAUGAUAGCGCCAUAUUUUUGUGGCACUGCCGCUUAGGUCAUAUUGGUGUAAAGCGCAUGAAGAAACUCCAUGCCGAUGGACUUUUGGAGUCACUUGACUUUGAUUCACUUGACACGUGCGAACCAUGCCUCAUGGGCAAUAUGACUAAAACUCCGUUCUCCGGAACAAUGGAGCAUGCAAGUGACUUGUUGGAAAUCAUACAUACCGAUGUGUGUGGUCCGAUGAGUGUAGAGGCACGCGGAGGAUAUCGUUAUUUUCUCACCUUCACUAACGAUUUGAGUAGAUAUGGUUAUGUCUACUUAAUGAAGCACAAGUCUGAAACAUUUGAAAAGUUCAAGCAAUUUCAGAGUGAAGUUGAAAAUCAUCGUAACAAGAAAUCAAGUUCCUACGGUCUGAUCGUGGGGGUGAAUAUCUGAGUUUCGAGUUUGGUGCUCACUUAAGACAAUGUGGAAUUGUUUCACAGUUGACACCGCCUGGAACACCACAGCGUAAUGGUGUGUCUGAACGUCGUAAUCGUACUUUNNNNNNNNNNNNNNNNNNNNNNNNNNNNNNNNNNNNNNNNNNNNNNNNNNNNNNNNNNNNNNNNNNNNNNNNNNNNNNNNNNNNNNNNNNNNNNNNNNNNNNNNNNNNNNNNNNNNNNNNNNNNNNNNNNNNNNNNNNNNNNNNNNNNNNNNNNNNNNNNNNNNNNNNNNNNNNNNNNNNNNNNNNNNNNNNNNNNNNNNNNNNNNNNNGCAUUCACUUUAAAUAGGGCACCAUCAAAAUCCGUUGAGACGACACCAUAUGAACUGUGGUAUGGAAAAAGGCCAAAGUUGUCGUUUCUUAAAGUUUGGGGAUGUGAUGCUUAUGUCAAAAAGCUUCAGCCUGAAAACCUGGAACCCAAAGCGGAAAAGUGCGUCUUCAUAGGUUACCCAAAAGAGACAGUUGGGUACACCUUCUAUCUCAAAUCCGAGGGCAAAGUGUUUGUUGCUAAAAACGAAGCUUUUCUCGAGAAGGAGUUUCUCUCGAGAGAAUUGAUUGGGAGGAAGAUAGAACUUGACGAGGUUGUCGAACCUCUCAUCCCUCUGGAUGGUGGCGCAGGGCAAGGGGAAACCUCUGCCGUUGCGACGCCGGUUGAGGAGGAAGUUAAUGAUAAUGAUCAUGAAACUCCGGUUCAAGUUUCUGUUGAACCACGCAGGUCGACGAGACCACGUGCUGCUCCAGAGUGGUACGGUAAUCCCGUCUUAUCAAUCAUGUUGUUGGACAACAAUGAACCUGCAAAUUAUGAAGAAGCAAUGGUGGGCCCAGAUUCCAACAAAUGGCUAGAAGCCAUGAAGUACGAGAUAGGAUCCAUGUAUGAGAACAAAGUGUGGACUUUGGAGGUACUGCCUGAGGGCCGCAAGGCUACUCAGAACAAAUGAAUCUUUAAGAGGAAGACGGACGUUGACGGCAAUGUGACCGUUUAUAAAGCUCGACUUGUGGCAAAGGGUUUUUCACAAGUUCAAGGAGUUGACUACGAUGAGACAUUCUCACCCGUAGCGAUGCUUAAGUCCGUCAGAAUCAUGUUAGCAAUAGCUGCAUUUUUUGAUUAUGAAAUCUGGCAGAUGGAUGUCAAAACGGCGUUCCAUAACGGUUUCCUUAAGGAAGAAUUGUAUAUGAUGCAACCCGAAGGUUUUGUCGAUCCUAAGAAUGCUAACAAGGUGUGCAAGCUCCAGCGAUCCAUUUAUGGACUGGUGCAAGCAUCUCGGAGUUGGAACAAACGCUUUGAUGAGGUGAUCAAAGCAUUUGGGUUUAUACAAGUGAUUGGAGAAUCUUGUAUUUAAAAGAAAGUGAGUGGGAGCUCUGUGGCGUUUCUAAUAUUAUAUGUGGAUGACAUAUUGUUGAUUGGAAACAACGUAGAGUUUUUGGAGAGCGUAAAGGAUUACUUGAAUAAAAGUUUCUCUAUGAAGGACCUAGGAGAAGCUGCUUACAUUCUAGGCAUUAAGAUCUAUAGGGAUAGAUAAAAACGCCUGAUAGGACUUUCACAAAGCACAUACCUUGAUAAAGUUUUGAAGAGGUUCAAAAUGGAACAGUCCAAGAAGGGGUUCUUGCCAGUUUUACAAGGUACGAGAUUGAGUAAGACUCAGUGCCCAGCAACUGAUGAGGAUAGAGAGCAUAUGCGCUCCGUCCCCUAUGCUUCAGCCAUAGGUUCUAUCAUGUAUGCAAUGCUGUGCACUAGACCGGACGUUAGCCUGGCCAUAAGUAUGGCAGGUAGGUUCCAGAGUAAUCCAGGAGUGGAUCACUGGACGGCGGUCAAGAAUAUCCUGAAGUACCUGAAAAGGACGGAGAUGUUUCUCGUGUAUGGAGGUGACGAAGAGCUCGCCGUAAAAGGUUACGUCGAUGCAAGCUUUGACACAGAUCCGGACGACUCUAAGUCGCAAACCGGAUACGUAUUUAUUCUUAAUGGGGGUGCGGUAAGCUGGUGCAGUUCCAAGUGAAGCGGAGUACAUGGCUGCCUCGGAGGCGGCUAAGGAGGGUGUCUGGAUGAAGCAAUUCAUGACGGAUCUUGGAGUGGUGCCAAGCGCACUGAAUCCAAUAACCUUGUUCUGUGACAACACGGGUGCCAUUGCCUUAGCAAAGGAACCACGGUUUCACAAGAAGUCCAGACACAUCAAGCGACGCUUCAACCUCAUCCGCCUAAUUAUGGUUUGAGCACCAAAUAUGACUAUACAUGAUUCCAUCACCUUUUGCCUAGCUAAGGGCGUUAAGCAAUAGCGCUUGUUGGGAGGCAACCCAACGAAUCUAUCGUUUUUCUUUCUGUUUUGUGUUUUCCACACUUCCAUAAUUCUGUUAUGAUUGUGUUUUUUGUGUUUCUUUUUGCGUUUGUGCCAAGCAAAACCUUUAUGAUUAGUCUUGGGGAUGAUCGUUUGGUCAUGCUGGAAAAGACAGAAACUUUCUGCUCACGAAAAGAAUUUUCAUUUUUAUCUGUAAGAGCUUUUGAGUUGAUUCUUUUUGCUGCUGAUUGCUAUGCAAAUUCUUCAGACUGUCGUAAUGUUUCAGAAUUGUUGAAGUACCAGAAGUAUACAAAGUAUACAGAUUGCUACAGACUGGUCUGCUGUUAACAGAUUCUGUUUUUGUUGUGUUGGUUGCUUAUUUUGAUGAAACUAUGGAUAGUAUCGGGGGGUAUUAGCCACGGAAGAUUGAAAAUACAGUAACCCAACAUCAACAUAAGUAGAAUUUAAGUUUGCUAUAGUACCUAAGGAAGUGAUGGUUUGCUUUCUUAUACUAAUGUUAUCACGAGUUUCUGUUUACGUUUCGUGUUGUGAAGUUUUCAAGUUUUGGGUGAAGUUCUUAUGGACAAAAAGAUAAAGAGUGGCAAGAGCUCAAGCUUGGGGAUUCCCAAGGCACCCCAAGAUGAUUCAAGGAUGCCGUAAAAGCCUAAGCUUGGGGAUGCCCCGGGAAGGCAUCCCCUCUUUCGUCUUCAAUCCAUCGGUAACGUUACUUGGGGCUAUAUUUUUAUUCACCACAUGUUAUGUGUUUUGCUUGGAGCAUCUUGUAUUGUAGGAGUCUUUUAUUUUUGUUGUGUCAUGACUGGCACUCUCUGGCAAUAGCUAGACGAAUGCUGAUUCUGUGACAACAAACCUUCCCCUGCAACGGCACCAGAAGAAUGCUGCUAGCACUCCCCGGGAACGAAAGUAAAAGAAUGUUGUUGAUGGCCCACCAGCGCGUGGGUUCGCAGCAAUUUUCGAGGGUAGAGUAUUCGACCCAAAUUUGUUGGUACGCCAGACAGGAGGUGAGAGAAUACUCUCGAGUAUUAGCAGCUGAAUUUGUCUAAUUCAACCACACCUGAAAGAUUAGUAUCUGCAAGCAAAGUAGUAACAGCAAAGUAGUAUGAUAACAACGGUGUCAGAAACAAUCUGUUGACACGGCAGACUAUUUCUAACGAUUGUAUCAAUGGCGCCAAGUUGCCUCAUGGACAGAAAUUGUCAGUUCCCGUCAACAACGAGCGAUCAAGAUUGUAGCAAGUAGCAGCAGUGUAACGAGUAAUAGCAAUGGCAAGGAACAACAGUAGUGACAGCAGUAUCAAGUAGCAACAGUAGGACAAACUCGUAGGCAAUGGGUCGGUGAUUUGUUUGGAUGAUAUUCAUCAUGCAACAGUUAUAACACGGAGAGAUAUGUGGCUAGCUCCCGUUCGUCAAUGUNNNNNNNNNNNNNNNNNNNNNNNNNNNNNNNNNNNNNNNNNNNNNNNNNNNNNNNNNNNNNNNNNNNNNNNNNNNNNNNNNNNNNNNNNNNNNNNNNNNNNNNNNNNNNNNNNNNNNNNNNNNNNNNNNNNNNNNNNNNNNNNNNNNNNNNNNNNNNNNNNNNNNNNNNNNNNNNNNNNNNNNNNNNNNNNNNNNNUAUUGUCCAUCCCUCCUGUGGCAGCGGGGUCCAAAAGGAAACUACGGGAUAUUAAGGUUCUCCUUUUAAUAAAGAACCAGACCAACGCAUUAGCACUUGGUGAACACAUGAACUCCUCAAACUAUGGUCAUCACCGGGAGUGGUUCCGGUUAUUGUCACUCCGGGGUUGCCGGAUCAUAACACAUAGUAGGUAACUACAACUUGCAAGAUCGGAUCUAAAACACACAUAUAUUGGUGACAACAUAAUAAUUUCAGAUCUGAAAUCAUGGCACUCGGGCCCUAGUGACAAGCAUUAAGCAUGGCAAAGUAGUAGCAACAUCAAUCUCAGAACAUAGUGGAUACUAGGGAUCAAUCCCCAUCAAAACUAACUCGAUUAAAUGAUAGGUCUCAUCCUACUCAUCACCGCCCAGCGAGCCUACGAAUAGAUUACUCACGAACGAUGAAGAGCUUCAUGGAAUUGGAGAGGGAAGAAGGUUGAUGAUGAUGAUGGCGACGAUUUCCCCUCUCUGGAGCCCAAAACGGACUCCAGGUCUGCCCUCCAGAUGAAGAAUGGGUUGUGGUGGUGCCUCUAUAUAGCAAGCGCGACGAAAUCUUCUCUUUUUAUUUUUUCUGGGAUGAAAGUGAACUUAUAGAGCUGAGAUUGGGGGCGGCAGAGCCGUGUGGGCCCCACAAGCUUGCCCACCGCCACCAGGGGGGUGGCGGAGGCAGGUCUUGUGGCCCACUGGCCCACCCCCUCAGGUGGGUCUUUGCGCAGGUAUUUUUCAUAUUUUCCAUAAAUGUUCCCCAUAAAUUUUCAAGACGUUUGGAGAACUUUGAUUUCUGCACAAAAAUAACACCAAGGCAAUUCUCCUGAAAACAACGUGAGUCCAGGUUAGUUCCAUUCAAAUCAUGCAAAUUAGAGUCCAAAACAAGGGCAAAAGAGUUUGGAAAAGUAGAUACGAUGGAGACGUAUCAACUCCCCCAAGCUUAAAACCUUGCUUGUCCUCAAGCAACUCAGUUGACAAACUGAGAGAGAGAAAGAAAUACUUUGACAAACUCUAUUUGAUCUUGUUGUUGCAACUAUGUCUAACCCAUAACCAGAAUUUCAGCAAGAUCACAAGUUAACCACAUAAGCAAGUGAUACAAAGGUCUCACGGUAAACUAAUAUCCAUGGCAUAAUCAGCUAACGAGCAAAUAAUAAUGAGUUUCAAAUACAAAUACAAACACUACAACCAAAACAAGCAUGAAGCAAUAUGAAUAGGUGGUAUCUCGCUAGCUCUUUCUGAGACCGCAAAACAUAAAUGCAGAGCACUUUCAAAGAUCAAGGGCUGACUAAACAUUGUAAUUCAUAGCAACGAAGAUCCAGUCAUAGUCAUACUCAAUAUCAAUCAAAAGCAAAGCAUAAAAAUGACAGAGGUGCUCUCUAAUUGGUGCUUAUAGAAGAGGAGGAUGACUCAACAGGAAAAUAAAUAGACAGGCCCUUCGCAGAGGGAAGCAUUGAUUUGCAGAGGUGCCAGAGCUCAAGCUUUGAAAACAGAGAUAAUAAUUUUGGGUGGCAUGCUUUCAUUGUCAACGCAAUGACCAAGAGUUCUCAAUAUCUUCCAUGCUACUCAUGCUAUAGGCGGUUCCCAAACAGAAAAGUAAUGUUUUAACUCCCCACCACCAAUCAAUCACACUCCACGGCUAGCUGAAUCCUCGGGUACCGUCCAUACUAACAUCAAUCCAGGGGGAGUCUUGUUUUACAGUUAUUUUUUUGAUUUAAGCGUGGAACUGGGCAUUCCAAUUACCGGCCCCUUUCUCGUGAAUGACAGUGAAUAAACACAUGUCGAGGAUAACACUCCUAGCAUGGAAGAUACCAAUAGCCCUCUGUCACCAUAUGAGCGGUUCGGGCAUGCAAAACAGAUUAUUUCUUGAAGAUUUAGAGAAUGGCACAUGCAAAUUUACUUGGAACGGCAGGUAGAUACCGCAAAUAGGUAGGUAUGGUGGACUCUCAUGGAAAAACUUUUGGGUUUAUGGAAGUGGAUGCACAAACAGUAUUCCACUUAGUACAAGUGAAGGCUAGCGAAAGACUGGGAAGCGACCAACUAGAGAGCGACCAACAGCCAUCAAGAUGCAAUGAGUUUGACUAACAUUGAAUGCAAGCAUGAACAGGAUAUAAAUCACCAUGAACACGAACAUCAUAGAGGCUAUGUUGAUUUUGUUUCAACUACAUGCAUGAACAUGCGCCAAGUCAAGCCACUUGAAAUAUUCAAAGGAGAAUACCAUCCUAUCAUACUACAUCAUAGUAAUCUCAAAAUCUAUGUUGGCAAUCAAGACAAACCUGUCACGCCCAAGAUGCGACCCUAUCCUCAGUUUGGCACGAAGGCCUCGUCAGGGAUAGAAGCGCAUCUCGUCGUGUCGCAAGAAUGGAUAUCGUUACAAGUACAUGUAUGGAAAAGAAGAGAUAUAUAUUCAGAGUUGGCUUACACUCGCCACAAGCUACAUCAGAGUCACUUCAGUACAUUACAUAAUCAUUAAGAAUAAGAGCAGGGUCCGACUACGGACGAAAACAAACGACAAAAGAAGAACGACGUCCAUCCUUGCUAUCCCAGGCUGCUGGCCUGGAACCCAUCCUAGAUCGAUGAAGAAGAAGAAGAAGAAGAAGCAACUCCAAAUGAACAAUCAACGCGCUCGCGUCGAGUAACCUUUACCUGUACCUGCAACUGGUGUUGUAGUAAUCUGUGAGCCACAGGGGACUCAGCAAUCUCAUUUCCAAAGGUAUCAAGACUAGCAAAGCUUAAUGGGUGAGGUAUGGUUAAGUGGUGAGGUUGUAGCAGCGGCUAAGCACAUAUGAGGUGGCUAAACUUACGAGUAUAAGAAGUAAGAGGGGGAAGAUCUACGCAUAACGGACGUGAACUACUGUUGAUCAAAUGAAUGAUCCUGAACACCCACCUACGUCAGACAUAACCCCGUCGUGUCCUCGAUCGGAGCAGGAGCUCACGAAAGAGACAGUCACGGUUACGCACCCAGUUGGCAAGUUUUAAUUAAGUUAACUUCAAGUUAUCCAGAACCAGUGUUAAACAAAGCUUCCACGUUGCCACAUAACCGCGGGCACGGCUUUCCGAAAAGAUUUAACCCUGCACGGGUGCUCCAACUAGUCCAUCACAAAUUACCACAAGCCGCAUAGAAAUCCUCAAUCAUGAAGCUCGCGAUCUCGUCGAAUUCCCUAGUGGAAAACCUCAACUCUGAGAUUACCCAAAGCAUCACCGGAAUCCCGAUGCACAAGAUAUCUCGUCAAAGGUAAAACUAAUCCAGCAAGGCCGCCCGACGUGUCGACGAUCCCGAUAGGAGUCGCGUAGCUCGUUCUCAGGACACGACGGAUGAGCGAUGGUUACCACGCCAAACGCCGAGUUGCCUCGGAUAGCGUUAAUAAGCUGCUCUGUUUUGGACCAACACUCAUGAGGAGCACUGGCCCGGGGGGGUUGAUUAAAUUAUCCUCGGGGUCCGGAAAGACCCUAUGCAAUUUUAUUAGGUGAUUAGGCAAAUGUAGUACCAAUGUUGGGCCUUGCCAGACCAGCUUUAAUCUAAAACGAAUUAUCAAGGGGGUCCCAUAACAACCCCGAUCGUGUUAGGAGCGCUCAUUUAUGGAACAUAACACCAGUAAUCGGAAACUAAGGGGGCAAAGGUGGAACAAAACACCAGGCUAGAUAAGGUCGAGCCUUCCACCCUUUACCAAUUAUAUUGGUGCAUUAAAUUAAAUAGCAUUUAAAUAUGGUGAUAUAACAAGGAACCCAUGUUUUCACAUGGAAGCAACUGCACCUGCAACUAGCAACACUAUCAACAGGAUUAAGCAAGCGGUAACAUAGCCAAUCAGUGGUUUGUUAGGUCGAACAGGUUGAAGGUAAUCAUGGCAUUGUUGAGAGGCUGAUAUUUAACAGGUGGUAGGCAACGAGACAUAAACGAUAGAAGCGAUAAACUAGCAUGGCAAUGAUAGUAAUGGUAUCUGGGGAAAUGAUCAUCUUGCUUGAGAUCCCGCUUGGAAGAAGAAUGCCUCCGUGAAGCAGACGAACCGACGUAGUCGAACGGGUCCUUACAAUCCGGCACGCUGCGGAACUCUAUCGAGACGAAGCAAACCGGAAACACAAAUCAACACACGAAAUUCACCACACGAUGCACAACACAUAUGAUGAAUGAGCAGCUGAAUAUAUGCAAGUCACGGCAUGACAAUUCACACAAUCAAACACUACACAUUAAGUGAAGUUCAAUAUGCAACGAGUUGCAUAUUGAUGAAACUCCACGUUAAUUUAUUUAGUUCUAUCCCGAUUAGGUACUCGGCAAUACUAAAUAUGGUUAAACAUGGCAAGAGGUGGAGCAUAAUUAAACUACAUAUCUAGGCAUUUUAAAUGAGGUCGAAAAUGACAUAUAGCAUCUCCGAGACGACCUCAUAUGUUAAUUUACAAUUCUGUCCAGAUCUGAACUAAUGCAUUUAAUUAGUUGUUAAACAGCAAAACAAAUAGGUUCACGUGAUUCUACGCGUCAUUUCAAGCAAUCUACACAUAAAGAACAUCUCCAACGGAGCUACGGUUCAAAAGAUACAAGCACCGCAAGAUAUGAUGGCAUGAAUGCAAUAUGUGUGCAGCGACGGUCACGAGCACUUCAAAACACUCAACCAGCAAGAGAAAAUGAAACUAUACGAGAUUCUAAGCAAGUUUCAUGUAGGACACGAUCAAAUCGGAGCUACGGUUCAACAACUACGAGCAAAACAAGAACUGACUACAAUUUGCCAAAAUCAGCCACAUAGCAUUUUCUACACCCCACAACUACGGGCUCCACAACUCCGAUAAACUUAAGCAAGGCAUGACACGAAAGAGGGCAACAAGCACUACCACAUAUAACUAACAACAACUAGCAUGGCAUCAAGGAGCACUAGGAAAAGAAGACAUAAAAUGGCAUCUCACACACUAUUUCAGACUUAGUGAAAAUUACACCUCAUGAAAGUGCAGUUUUCGAUCUGAAGCCAUAUUGGCAGCAGAAAAACCUAUAGCUACAGGACUCCAAAUGGCAUGAAAAUUUACAGCAUGCUAGAGAAACACAAGGGGUACAAAUAACUCCAUUGGACCAACCUCAAAAGAGCUACAGAUCACAAGAUACAAGCAAGACAAGACAGCAACAAAAUAUAACAGAUUCCAGACUUAGAAAUAUUCCAGCUCCUCCAAAUCAGCACUAUUUCUAGCAACUUGAGAGCUAGCAAACAAAACCUAAACAUGCAUUUCUAUUGCCACCAAAAUUACCAGGGGCUAUACUAAACACCCAAGAACAACUNNNNNNNNNNNNNNNNNNNNNNNNNNNNNNNNNNNNNNNNNNNNNNNNNNNNNNNNNNNNNNNNNNNNNNNNNNNNNNNNNNNNNNNNNNNNNNNNNNNNGGAGUCUGUAUGCGAAAGUUACAGCAGUUUCAGUAUCCAGCGGUAGUACCGCUCCUCGUGUCAGCGGUAGUACCGCCCCCGGAGAGGUAGUACCGCCCCGGAGCGGUAGUAAUUUUUUACUACCGCUCCCUAGCGCUAGUACCGCUCCAGGAGCGGUAGUACCGCUCCGUCGGACUGUUUUUUGCAUCCUUUUUGGCCUCAGCAUGGUUGGUAAACCUACCGAGCAGUAGUACCGUUCCAUGAGCGGUAGUACCGCUCUCUAUGGGUUGUGAGGCUUAAUGGUUGGAUUUUUCCCCACCUAUAAAAGGGGGUCUUCUUUCCCAUUGAACAUUAUCUCUUUAGCUCGUGUUCUUCCCCAUUGUUGACCUUCUUCGAGCUUGCUAACUCUCAAUCCCUCCAAUGAUUCUUGCUAGUUCUUGAGGGAAAAGAGAGAGGAGAUCUAGAUGCACAUUUCCAUCAAUCACUUUCUCCUCUAAGUGAGGGGAACCCCUUGGGUCUAGAUCUCGGAGUUCUUCGUGUUCUUCUUCUUUCUUCCUCUCAUUUUCCUCCCUAGCAUUAGUUGCUUUGGUGGGAUUUGGGAGAGAAGGACUUGGGCACUCCGUGUGCCCUUGCCAUUGCAUUAGUUGCAUCGUUUGAGUUCUCCACGGUGAUACGUGGAAGCGAGGUUUGAGAAGCUUAUUACCUUUGGUACUUAGUACCCUAUAUAUUGUUCUUCGUGGAUGAUUUGGCGUCCUAGAAGCUUGGUGGUGUCUCGGAGCUCAAUCAUUGUGGUGUAAAGCUCCGGGCAAGCAUCGGGGUCUCCAAUUAGGUUGUGGAGAUUGCCCCGAGCAAUUUGUACGGGUAUCGGUGACCGCCCCCAAGGUUUUCCAUUUGUACGGGUUCGGUGACUGCCCUCAAGGGUCCCUUAGUGGAAUCACGGCAUCUUGCAUUGUGCGAGAGCGUGAGGAGAUUACGGUGGCCUUAGUGGCAUCUUGUGGAGCAUUGUGCCUCCACACCGCUCCAAUGGAGAUUAGCAUCCGCAAGGGUGUGAACUUUGGGAUACAUCAUCGUCUCCGCGUGCCUCGGUUAUCUCUUACCCGAACCCUUUACUUAUACACUUUACUUUGUGAUAGCCAUAUUGUUUAUUGUCAUAUAUCUUGCUAUCACUUAGUUGUUUAUCUUNNNNNNNNNNNNNNNNNNNNNNNNNNNNNNNNNNNNNNNNNNNNNNNNNNNNNNNNNNNNNNNNNNNNNNNNNNNNNNNNNNNNNNNNNNNNNNNNNNNNGGCAUAAUUCCAACAGAGACGAGGUCUCCCGGCAGGGCUUCGCCAAGCACCGACAGAGAGGCGGAGGGAGAGGAGCGGGGUUGCGCCGAGAGAGAGGAAAAACCGUGUGUCUCAAUGACCAAAAGUGCCCGAUAUAUAUAGGGGGAGGGGAGAGGGGGUGCCACCCCUAGGGUUCCCACCCUAGGGGGUGCGGCAGACCCCCAGAUGGGAGGUGCGGCGGCCAGAAGGGGGAGGAGCGGGUGGCGCACCAUCUGGUGGGCCUUAGGCCCACCUGGCCUAGGGUUUGCCACCGCUUUUCUCUCCCUUGGCUAUAGGCUGAGUGGGGAGGCGCACCAGCCCACCUAGGGGCUGGUUCCCACCCCCAUUUGGCCCACCUUAUCUCCCGGGGUCGUUGCCCCCCUUCGGUGGUCCCCCGGGGCCACCUCUGGUGGUCCCGGUGGUCCCGGUACGUUACCGGUGAUGCCCGAAACACUUCCGGUAUCCGAAACCAUCCGUCCUAUAUAUCAAUCUUUACCUCCGGACCAUUCUGGAGCUCCUCGUGACGUCCGGGAUCUCAUCCGGGACUCCGAACAACUUUCGGUAACCUCGUACAACAAUUCCCUAUAACCCUAGCGUCAUCGAACCUUAAGUGUGUAGAACCUACGGGUUCGGGAGACAGGCAGACAUGACCGAGACACCUCUCUGGCCAAUAACCAUCAGCGGGGUCUGGAUACCCAUGGUGGCUCCCACUUGCUCCACGAUGAUCUCAUCGGAUGAACCACGAUGUCAAGGAUUCAAUCAAUCCCGUAUACGAUUCCCUUUGUCUGUCGGUAUAGAACUUGCCCGAGAUUCGAUCGUCGGUAUACCUAUACCUUGUUCAAUCUCGUUACCGGUAAGUCUCUUUACUCGUUAAGUAGCACGUCAUCGUGUGACUAACUCCUUAGUCACAUUGAGCUCAUGAUGAUGUUCUACCGAGUGGGCCCAGAGAUACCUCUCCGUCACACGGAGUGACAAAUUCCGAUCUCGAUUCGUACCAACCCAACAGACACUUUCGGAGGUACCCGUAGUGCACCUUUAUAGUCACCCAGUUACGUUGUGAUGUUUGAUACACCCAAAGCACUCCUACGGUAUCCGGGAGUUGCACAAUCUCACGGUCGAAGGAAAAGAUACUUGACAUUAGAAAAGCAUUAGCAUACGAACAAUACGACCUAGUGCUAGGCUUAGGAUUGGGUCUUGUCCAUCACAUCAUUCUUCCAAUGAUGUGAUCCCGUUAUCAAUGACAUCUAAUGCCCAUGAUCAGGAAAUCAUGAUCAUCUAUUGACUAACGAGCUAGCCAACUAGAGGCUUGCUAGGGACACAUUGUGAUCUAUUUAUUUACACAUGUAUUACUGUUUCCUGUUAAUACAAUUAUAGCAUGAACAAUAGACGAUUAUCAUGAACAAGGAAAUAUGAUAAUAACCAUUUUAUUAUUGCCUCUAGGGCAUAUUUCCAACANNNNNNNNNNNNNNNNNNNNNNNNNNNNNNNNNNNNNNNNNNNNNNNNNNNNNNNNNNNNNNNNNNNNNNNNNNNNNNNNNNNNNNNNNNNNNNNNNNNNNNNNNNNNNNNNNNNNNNNNNNNNNNNNNNNNNNNNNNNNNNNNNNNNNNNNNNNNNNNNNNNNNNNNNNNNNNNNNNNNNNNNNNNNNNNNNNNNNNNNNNNNNNNNNNNNNNNNNNNNCCUGCCACUGCUACGGUGCUGCAACCCGUGUUGCCCUCGGCCCGCGUCGCCUAGCCCCAGACCCGGCCGCACCGUUAGAACACAGAUCUGUCCCGACCGCCAUUGACCUUGGAGAGCAGGCAUGCCCCAACACCUUGUCGCCCAUUGCGGGGGAGCAGAGGCACCGGAGCUCCGCCUCUGNNNNNNCCACACCACCGUGUCGCCCGAGAUAGCUCCAUGCUCGGACCCGAGCUGUCGGUCCGCGCCAACACGCCCGACUAGGAGAACCACGAGGCCCCGCCGCCGACGACGACGGUCGUGCUUCGUCGAGCCGCGCCAUNNNNNNNNNNNNNNNNNNNNNNNNNNNNNNNNNNNNNNNNNNNNNNNNNNNNNNNNNNNNNNNNNNNNNNNNNNNNNNNNNNNNNNNNNNNNNNNNNNNNGGGAAGCCCAUAGGCCUUGGGGGUGGCACACCAGCCCUUAGUGGGCUGGUGGGACAGCCCAAUAAGGCCCUAUGCGCCAUAGGAAGAAAAUCAAAGAGAAAAAAAAAGGAGGAGGUGGGAAAGGGAAGAAGGACUCCACCUUCCAAACCAAGUUGGAUUCGGUUUGGAAUGGGAGACCUUCCCCCCUUAGCUCGGCCGAAACCCUUAGGGGUCCUUGGACCCCAAGGCAAGGAUCCCCCUCUUCCCCCUAUAUAUACGGAGGUUUUAGGGCUAAUUUGAGACGACUUUUCCACGGCAGCCCGACCACAUACCUCCACGGUUUUUCCUCUAGAUCGCGUUUCUGCGGAGCUCGGGCGGAGCCCUGCUGAGACAAGAUCAUCACCAACCUCCGGAGCGCCGUCACGCUGCCGGAGAACUCUUCUACCUCUCCGUCUCCCUUGCUGGAUCAAGAAGGCCGAGAUCAUCGUCGAGCUGUACGUGUGCUGAACGCGGAGGUGCCGUCCGUUCGGCACUAGAUCGUGGGACUGAUCGCGGGACGGUUCGCGGGGCGGAUCGAGGGACGUGAGGACGUUCCACUACAUCAACCGCGUUCACUAACGCUUCUGUUGUACGGUCUACAAGGGUACGUAGAUCACACAUCCCCUCUCGUAGAUGGACAUCACCAUGAUAGGUCUUCGUGCGCGUAGGAAAAUUUUUGUUUCCCAUGCGACGUUCCCCAACAGGAGAAGGAGAAGAGGAGAAGAGGAGGAGGAGGAGAAGAAGAAUAAGAAGAAGAGGAGGAGGAGGAGAAGACAAAAAUAAGAAGGAGAAGAAGAAAAGAAGAAGUGAUGAAGAAGAGAAGAAGUGAAGAAGAAUACCUUCUCCUCCUUCUCCUUCUUCUCCUCCUUCUUCUCCUCCUCCUCCUUCUCCUUCUUAUUGAUUUCUUCUUCUUCUUCUCCUCCUCCUCUUUCUUCUCCUCUAUCUUAUUCUCCUUACCUUAUUUUCUCCAACAAUGAGAUAAUUAGCCCAUUUAGCUAAAAAAAUGGCCAUUCUUCUCCUCUUUCANNNNNNNNNNNNNNNNNNNNNNNNNNNNNNNNNNNNNNNNNNNNNNNNNNNNNNNNNNNNNNNNNNNNNNNNNNNNNNNNNNNNNNNNNNNNNNNNNNNNCUAUGAACCAGCCUUUUUUUUUUUCUUCAGAGAGCUUUAUUAAGUAAAAGCAUUCGCUGGACAGUCAGUCAGGAGACUGCUUACCAGGAAGCUAGGGGUUGAGUCCAGCCAGCUUUCGAUCACAUUAAGCGUACAAGCAUGCUUAGUACACACGUGUGCAGGACUGUUAGAGGCUCUUAUUACAUGAGAAAUGUGAAAGUACAAAAAGCUGACAGAGAGCUCUCUAAUUUGAUGAUUGGUGCUACUACCGUACGAUCGGUGUAGCUAGAGUUCCAGAGGUUAACUGCCUCAAGACAGUCAUAUUCCAGUCGCACAUGCGUGUAGCCUCGAAGCUUGGUGAAGAUGACACCCUCAUGCAAGGAGAGCACUUCAACAAUGAAAGGAUCCGUGACCCCCAGAUGGGGUUUGCACCAUGCGCCGAGGAAAGCCGAGGAAGAGNNNNNNNNNNNNNNNNNNNNNNNNNNNNNNNNNNNNNNNNNNNNNNNNNNNNNNNNNNNNNNNNNNNNNNNNNNNNNNNNNNNNNNNNNNNNNNNNNNNNNNNNNNNNNNNNNNNNNNNNNNNNNNNAGAGCGGCUACUCCUCCCCACGCCAACGACAUCGACAUCGAGAUGGAUUGCAGCAUUAGUAUUGAUCUUUACAAGAUUACCUUUAGGGGCCCGCCAACCAUGACCCGGCACAGGUAUGAAGCUAUGUCGUGGAAUGUCCAGCAACGCCAGGUCUUCAUGGAUGUGUCGAACCGAGGUAGCUGGAUCAAUGAUCUCCUGAUCGUGUGUCCUUCUGUUGUGAGACAUCCAGACGACCCACGCGACCGUGAUGAUUGUGGGGCGAUCCUUGUCUGUGAAUUGCAUGUCACAAAGGAUAUCACGUGCCCAAGAGCUGGGGUGGAGCCGUGGCAAAUUGAUCUCGAAGAGCAUUCUCGCCUCCUCCCAAAAGCACCUUGCAUGAGAGCAAUGAACAAGAGCAUGCGUCAAGUCCUCGCUAUGAACCAGCCUUNNNNNNNNNNNNNNNNNNNNNNNNNNNNNNNNNNNNNNNNNNNNNNNNNNNNNNNNNNNNNNNNNNNNNNNNNNNNNNNNNNNNNNNNNNNNNNNNNNNNGAACUCUUUUGCCCUUGUUUUGGACUCUAAUUUGCAUGUUUUGAAUGGAACAAAUCCGGACUCACGCUGUUUUCAGCAGAAUUGCCAUGGUGUUGUUUUUGUGCAGAAAUAGAAGUUCUCGGAACGUCCUGAAAAUUUACGAAGAUUUUUUCUGGAAUAAAAGAAAAAUACCUGCGCAAAGAUCCACCGGAAGGGGCGUGCCAGUGGGCCACAAGCCCACAUGCCGCGGCCACCCCCUAUGGCCGCGCCGUGCAGGCUUAUGGGGCCCACGUGGCACCACCACCCCCAAUCUCAGCUUUGUAUCUUCCGUUUCGCCUGGAAAAAAUCAGAGAGAAGGUUUCAUCGCGUUUUGCGAUACGGAGGCGUCGCCACAUCCUGUUCUUCAUCUGGAGGGCAAUUCUGGAGUCCGUUUCGGGCUCCGGAGAGGGGAAAUCGUCGCCAUCGUCAUCAUCAACCUUUCUCCAUCGACAAUUCCAUGAUGCUCUUCAUCGNNNNNNNNNNNNNNNNNNNNNNNNNNNNNNNNNNNNNNNNNNNNNNNNNNNNNNNNNNNNNNNNNNNNNNNNNNNNNNNNNNNNNNNNNNNNNNNNNNNNNNNNNNNNNNNNNNNNNNNNNNNNNNNNNNNNNNNNNNNNNNNNNNNNNNNNNNNNNNNNNNUUAUCACGUAAUCAAGUUAGUUUUAAUGGGGAUUGAUCCCUAGUAUCCACUACGUUCUAGAUUGAUGUUGCUACCACUUGGCUAUGCUUAAUGCUUGUCACUAGGGCCCGAGUGCCAUGAUCUCAGAUCUGAACCUAUUAUGUUGUCGCCAAUAUAUGUGUGUUUUAGAUCCUAUCUUGCAAGUUGUAGUCACCUACUAUGUGUUANNNNNNNNNNNNNNNNNNNNNNNNNNNNNNNNNNNNNNNNNNNNNNNNNNNNNNNNNNNNNNNNNNNNNNNNNNNNNNNNNNNNNNNNNNNNNNNNNNNNNNNNNNNNNNNNNNNNNNNNNNNNNNNNNNNNNNNNNNNNNNNNNNNNNNNNNNNNNNNNNNNNNNNNNNNNNNNNNNNNNNNNNNNNNNNNNNNNNNNUGUUGGUCCGAUUCUUUAUUAAAAGGAGAACCUUAAUAUCCCAUAGUUUCCAUUAGGACCCCGCUGCCACGGGAGGGAUGGACAAUAGAUGNNNNNNNNNNNNNNNNNNNNNNNNNNNNNNNNNNNNNNNNNNNNNNNNNNNNNNNNNNNNNNNNNNNNNNNNNNNNNNNNNNNNNNNNNNNNNNNNNNNNNNNNNNNNNNNNNNNNNNNNNNNNNNNNNNNNNNNNNNNNNNNNNNNNNNNNNNNNNNNNNNNNNNNNNNNNNNNNNNNNNNNNGAAUGGGAUCUAGUUACAUAUCUCCCCGUGUUAUAGUUGUUACAUGAUGAAUCACAUCCGUAAUACUCAUCCAUCNNNNNNNNNNCGUUGGUCCGGUUCUUUAUUAAAAGGAGAACCAUAAUAUCCCGUANNNNNNNNNNNNNNNNNNNNNNNNNNNNNNNNNNNNNNNNNNNNNNNNNNNNNNNNNNNNNNNNNNNNNNNNNNNNNNNNNNNNNNNNNNNNNNNNNNNNCGAGGCACGCAGAGACGAUGAUGUAUCCCGAAGUUCACACCCUUGCGGAUGCUAAUCUCCGUUGGAGCGGUGUGGAGGCACAAUGCUCCCCAAGAUGCCACUAAGGCCACCGUAAUCUCCUCACGCUCUCGCACAAUGCAAGAUGCCGUGAUUCCACUAAGGGACCCUUGAGGGCAGUCACCGAACCCGUACAAAUGGAAAACCUUGGGGGCGGUCACCGAUACCCGUACAAAUUGCUCGGGGCAAUCUCCACAACCUAAUUGGAGACCCCGAUGCUUGCCCGGAGCUNNNNNNNNNNUCGUGAUUCCACUAAAGGACCCUUAAGGGCGGUCACCGAACCAGUACAAAUGGCAAACCUUGGGGGCGGUCACUGAUACCCGUACAAAUUGCUCCGGGCAAUCUCCACAACCUAAUUGGAGACCCCGAUGCUUGCCCGGAGCUUUACACCACAAUGAUUGAGCUCCGAGACACCACCAAGCUUCUAGGACGCCAAAUCAUCCACGAAGAACAAUAUAUAGGGUACUAAGUACCAAAGGUAAUAAGCUUCUCAAACCUCGCUUCCACGUAUCACCGUGGAGAACUCAAACGAUGCAACUAAUGCAAUGGCAAGGGCACACGGAGUGCCCAAGUCCUUCUCUCCCAAAUCCCACCAAAGCAACUAAUGCUAGGGAGGAAAAUGAGAGGAAGAACGAAGAAGAACACGAAGAACUCCAAGAUCUAGACCCAAGGGGUUCCCCUCACUUAGAGGAGAAAGUGAUUGGUGGAAAUGUGGAUCUAGAUCUCCUCUCUCUUUUCCCUCAAGAACUAGCAAGAAUCAUUGGAGGGAUUAAGAGUUAGCAAGCUCGAAGAAGGUCAACAAUGAGGGAAGAACACGAGCUAAAGAGAUAAUAUUCAAUGGGGAAGAAGACCCCCUUUUAUAGGUGGGGAAAAAUCCAACCAUUAAGCCUCACACCCGCACAGAGCGGUACUACCGCUCAUGGAGCGGUACUACCGCUCGGUAGGUUCACCAACCAUGCUGAGGCCAAAAAGGAUGCACAAAAUAGUCCCACGGAGCGGUACUACCGCUAGGGAGCGGUAGUAAGAAAAUGACUACCGCUCCGGGGGCGGUACUACUUCUCCGGGGGCGGUACUACCGCUGACACCACGAGCGGUACUACCGCUGGAUACUGAAACUGCUGUAACUUUUGCAUACAGACUCCGAAUUCAACGAAACCAAGUUUGUUGGAAAGCUAACGACAUGGGCUAACACAAUAUUGAUAGAAAUAUAAAUAAGAAGCAAGUGAGAAAAUUCCCAUAAGAAAAUGGUGAGAACCCUUCUUUAAAUAAGACCGGUAAAAACUCCCAACAUCGAAAAUAUCAUAGAAGAUGCAUAUGGACUCCGUUUUCGAUGAACUCGAGCGUGUCAUGAAGAUGACCAUACGCUCUAAAAAUCACAAAGAGAAAUACCAAACAAGAACCAAGAAGUAUGAUGCAAGGAUGCAAAUGGUUUGAGCUCUCAACGAACGAUACGAUCAAGUUACUCACUUGAGAGCCCCCCCUUGACAGUACGACAAUCUAUCCUAAAACAGAAAACCUAUCAAGGGCAAACCUAUACCUUGCGCCUCGUCCUCUUGAGCUAGAUGACGAUGAUCUUGGCUUCCUCAAGAUGGACCACCUUUCUUGCUUGUGUUGGCUUGAUGAAGACUAGUUUAUUGCUCCCCCAUACACACUAUGGGUGAGCCGCUCUUCAGCAUAUCUUCACGAGUCCAUUGCCACCAUCCUCCAUCACUUGACGUCAUCCUCCAUGGGUUGUAUGAGAUAUUCCUCUUGACGCAUGCCCAUGUAAACACACCUAACCCCACAUAGAACUCUCAAGAAGACCAUGGGUUAGUACACAAAUACGUACUGGACAAUGCUUACAAUACCAUGGGAUCACUUGAUCCCUCUCGGUACAUCUUGUACACUUUGUGUGUUGAUCAUCUUGAUUUACUCUUUGUCUCACGAUCUUGAUCAACCUUGUGUCUCUAUGACCAUUCUUUGGAUAAUACCUUGAAUACCACCUUGGUCAUCAUAUAAACUCCUUGAACCCAACGGAUGGACUUCAAGAAGUGCCUAUGGAUAAAUCCUAUAAAUAUAACUUAAGGCAACCAUUAGUCCAUAGGAAUUGUCAUCAAUUACCAAAAUCACGUAUGAAGAUAUAUGCUCUAACAAUCUCCCCCAUUUUGGUAAUUGAUGACAACCACUUCAAGAGAGUUUGUAUAAGGAAAUAAGCAUAACCAAGCGCACACAUACGAAGCAAUAAUGCAUGCGUGCAAGAUGUAAAUGCUUACGCAAUAAAAGCAAAACCCUUUAAACAUAUCCAAAGUAAACUCUCUCAACUUCUCCCCCAUUGGCAUCGAUUGCCAAAAUGGACGAAAAGGUUAGAAAGUCAAUAUAGUAGGUGGUCCUCCAAAAAGUGUGUACUUCUAAGCAAAUGAGUGCAAAGAAAUACACAAUUACAAUGAUAAAUAGUUGGAGGAAACAAACUAUAUUGAGGACCCAAAGAUUGCAAAAAGAAGGAUCGUAUGGCACAAAGACAUACAAAAUAGAAGCAAGCAAUCAAAAGAUACCAUAUGGAACAAACAAUCACAUGGUCCUUCGAACCACAUGAAUAAAAGAUACUAUGAUAAAGGCAAAGGAGUGUUUUAUCAAAACUAGAGAAGCUCCCCAUGAUUUGUGCACUAAUAAGAGAUUUUUGUAUUUGAUACAAAUGCACAAAAUAGGAUCGUUGCUCCCCCAAAAUUAAUAAAAACACACAACGAGUGCAAGAAGAUAGAUGAGGCAAUAAGCAUAUCACUUGCACAAAACAAAUGGUUGAGCAACAUGUAAAAGAAGCAACUUAAGAACAGGCUCAACCAAAAUAAUGUGUGUGAGUCAUGGCAAAGCACUUGAGAAGACUAAGAUAAGGAUGAGCAUUACUCAUCAACAUAGUCUUGAUGAAAUGAGAAACAAAGUGCAAGACAUAUCAUUCCCACACACACAUACUAGAAAAUGGGUUCACAAGCUUACUAAUAAACAAAAUAAGAACCAAUGCUUGUGACAACCCAUGGUGAAGAUAGGAAAUAAGAACCUUGUCGAGAGGAGGAAUACCAAUCGAAAUGGCAAAACCCUCAUCAAGACAAGCAUGAGGAAAAAUAAUCUUCACGGCCAAAGAGUGCAUCAAGAUGUAGGAAAAUAAGAUACGCACUCAAGACAAAUCCUUUCACGAAGCCACCAAAACUAAAAAAGGAAAUGCAACGCUGGACGUGAAAGAAAAGAGGGUAUCAAUUAGAGAUGUAACUUCUCUCAUGUGAAAAACAUUCUAAGUAGAAGACAAUCAUGAUGAUAUAUAUCCACAAAGAAGGUUGUACACACGAAAUGGUUACAAGAAGGAACAAACAAGAUAUCCAAGAGGAAGUCACAAAUGUAUCAAUAAGAUCUUUGCUUGGAAGCAUAGCACAUGGCCUAAUAUUUUCUUAUUAUACAAUAUGAAAUUCCAACAUACGAACAUCAAAGACAUCCCAACUAGCAAUAAGACAUCAUCGUUUGGAUGCUUUGAGAAAGGAAACAAGUACUACAAGAACGAAUCAAGAGAUUCAUGCCAUGAUGCAACCUGGAAAAGAAAAGACAGGUUUGGGCCUUUGCAAGAAGUGAAUGCAUGAAGUAGAUACUUGUUACCGAGACAACAAUGGAUUGAUGUAGUAGAUAGUUGUUCGUUGAUCAUCCUAACUUGGCUUCAAUAAUCACAUGGUCUCAACACCUUCCUUGUAGGUGAGCCGAGCAUCCAACGCAUCUUCAAUUGUUCCUGGAACAACAAAACAAACAAAACGGUGCCCAAGCUCAUUGGGACCAAAGAGUUAGAAAACCAACAAUACAUAGGACAAACUCCACAUACAUAUGUGCACAAGGAUAUGAAUUUGAAUUUCAUGCACACUUUAUACAAUUUAUGACAAGGUGGAGUUUCCCCUAUAUAUUGGGUCAAAGAAAGAAAGCAAGCAAAAGAAGCUAUUAAAGUAAAUAUGCAUGCUCAAGGCUUUCAAGAAUCAACUGAACACAAAGUUGAUAAUACACCAAAAGACAAGGUAUCAAGUGAUAAUAAGAUACCAAACGAAAACCUAUCACUUGAAGGAUAUCAAUUAAAAGAUACCUCAAGGAAUGAGAUAUCCAUUGACACAUGCCAAAUAAAAGGAAACAAGAUACCAAUUGAAGGAAAACAAACACGAGGUAUCUAGUUUCCAAAAGAGAGCUAGGUUCCAAUAGACCAAACCCUCGACAAAUUUUCAUGAUGGCACAAAGCAUCAUAAAGAGCAAUACUUGCCUCCCAUCAACACACACUUGAUGGGGAUCAAAAGAUUUUAUGAUGGGCGAAUAAAGAGAGUGUUCUAAAGAAAAUAGGAUAGCUCCCCAAGGGAUGUGCAUUAUAUAGAAUUUGCAUUUAAAUACAAAAUGCACAAGGUGGGAUCAUCACUUUUUCUAUAUCUAUAAAGACACUAGACAUGUUAAAAUAGAUCCACAAGAGGCAAGGAAGAUAAACGAAACACAAAAUCCAAUGUAAAGACGAUUAGCAAUUCCUACCACAUGAUGGGAAUACCAAUUGUCAAGGAUAAGAAGUAUUUUGGAAAUGAUACUCAUUGGUAGAUCGCAAAUAUAUCCAAGAUCAUCUUUACCCAUAACACGCAAGCAAAUGACACUUGUAGAGCAAACAUGCCACCUAGGAACAAGAUAAUUUACAAUAUCAACACUAAGUGGCAAUACCUCAAAUGUACACAUUCUCUAGGCUUGUAAUAUGCACAUAGCAUAUUACUCCCCCAUAAUGUGAUAACCCAACAAUAUUAAUCAAGUGGAAAAUUAAAACCAACAAGAGAUAAUUAAUGGACCAUAUAGAAUUUGAAUUUCUCAUGAGUAAGACAUACCACAUAGAAACUAGAUAAUAUUGAAAUAUCAAUCCUAAAUGGUAUUCCCCAUGUAUACACAUUUAUAGGAUUGUGAGGUGUGUAAAGCACAUCACUCCCCCAUAAUGGGAUAAUCCAUUAAUAUCUCACAAGAGCCAACAAAGAUAGAAACAAGAUGCAAAAAGGCUCAAUACAAGACUCACAUGUACAUGAUAUGCAAACCAACAUACACAUACUCGCCUACUCAACAUAAUCAAGUUGGAAGCGCAACAUGUACAAACACAUGCAAGGUACAAAACCACAACAUGCAAAGGGGCAAGCAACUAACAAUGUAAACAGUUUAAGUACAAGUUACCGUAAGGUGGCACAUUGGAUAUAAGAUAGAAACUCGAUAAUCCAAAUGACUUGGCUUGAGAAAAUAUGAAUGGUGAAGACCCCUUAAUUCUUCAUUAUGUAUCCAAGUCUCUAAUGUCCUCCACAAACACCAAUUGAUCAAUUUUCAGCUUGUUGGUCCCCAACCACGUUGGGUCCUAAGAGGUUAGUCACAAUAGGCUUGGCAACCCAAAUGGUACUUUUCUUGACACCACUUUGAGUACCAACAAACUUGGCAAACACAUUUCCAACCUUAUCCUUCCCAAGUGAAUAGAUAUCAUCAAUAAUGAUUAGGUUGGAUAAAUUACCUCUCGUGCAAGAAGAAACGAAGUGACCCUUCUGACGACAUAAGUAGCAACAUCUACCCUUUAAUUUCUUCCCUAUUGAUUUCUCAACAUGAGGAGUGUUGGCUUGGGUCUUCUUGGGAAGGGGCCUUUCUUCAACUUUUAGUUGAGUAUGUGAUUGAACUUGUGGCCGUUUUCCUUGUUGCUUGUGACUUUGGGGCUUCUUCUUUAGUGGGCAAGAUCUAACAUGGUGCCCUUUAAUUUUGCACUUGAAGCAAAUAAUCUUGGCCGAAUUCUUGACUUGUUCUUGGCCCUUCUUCUUGAAGCUUUUGGACUUAUUCUUCUUGUUGGGGUUGAAUCCAAGUCUAUCUUUGUCAUUUGGGGAUUUUUGCCCACACAAGACAUUGUUGAGUGUGGACAUUCCUUCAUGACCUUUUUCCAAGUCUUUCUUCAAGGAAGUGACUUGGGCCUUGAGCUCUUUGAUUUCCACUACAUGGUUAGUAUCAACACAAGUACUAGAGAAAGUAUAAGCUUCAUUGUUAGAGCAACAAGGUAUGGAGAGUAAUUCAUCACAAGAUGUAGCAGCAUUAUGAGUAGAUGAAUUACGAGGACUAGCACAUGGCAAUAUAGCAUUUUGACUAGAAGUAGUGCUAAUGCCCACAUGAGGCUCACUCGAUGUUACCUUGACACUACUAGCCUCAUGAGCUAAUUUUAGCACAUUAUGGGAUACUAGAAGAUCAUCAUGAGAGCUUGUGAGCAUUACAUGACUUUCUUCCAAUUUCCCAUAAUUGCUAGAUAGCAACUCAAGUUGAGCCCUUAGCUCAACAUUCUCCUUUAAAAUGGAUGCUUCACAAGAAGUAGAGUUAGUAGCACAAGCGUCAUUAUUAACAAUAAGAGGAGAAGGCAACUUGGCAAGCUCUUUAGCAUAUGAAGCUUCAAGUUGAGCAUGAGACUCGGUGAGUUCGAUGAGUGAACUCUUAAUAGCCCUUGAGCCAUUUUCGAGGUGCUUAUAGUCCUCGACGAGUUUAGCAUGUGCAACUUCAAGCUUAUCGCUUUUAGUUCUAAAAUAAUUAGCCACCUCGAGAGCUCUAUCAUGAGAUUCUUUUAAUCUAGAUAAUUCUAUAGCAAAGGUUUCCUCAAGAGAUUCCUUGGUGGUUUGUUUAUUUUCAAGAGCUUGAGAUAGCUCUGCGAUCUCGUUAGCGUAAUCACGCUCAUGACCUUCCAUUGUCUCAAUGGUGGCCUCAUGCUCCUCGAGAUGAGCUUCCAACUCCUCAAUGUAUUUCUUGCCCUCAGUGGCAAUAAACAUGAUUUCCAAGAAGUUGGAACAAGCAAGUUUAUUCUUAUAAAGAGAUUUAAAAAUCAUUUCACCCUUAAUUUUUAAGGAUGAAAUAAUAUCAUUCUCUUCAUCAUUAUUCUCAUCCUCAUUAUCAUUAACAUCAUCAACAUGAGUUACAUUGGGAUUCAAAGUAGGAGAUACCUUUGAAGCCUUAGCCAUAAGGCAAAAGUGAGUAACAAUAGAUGAUGAUGUAGGAUCCCUUAAAGCUUCAUUCAAGGCCACAUAUUGUUCCAUGGAGUGAUGAAUUUCCUCUACAUUGUUAGCACAACAACUCGAGGAAAUAUAUAUAUUUUUAUCAUGGCAACAAGAUAUAGGAAGCAUAUCAUCAUGAGAUUUAGUCAAGCAGUUUUUACAUGAUAUGCAAGGACUAUCAACACAAGCAUGUAAAACAUUUAGAGUGCUCGAAGUGUUAAUGCCCAAAGAUGAAGCAUUGCAAUAAUAUAGUGAUGAAGGAUCAUCAACAAUAAACCCACUAUCAUCAUUGCAAUCAUCACCACUACUCACCAUAUCAUUACCUUGUAGCAAUCCACAUGUAGGUGAAGUAGAUGAAGUUGAGAAGACGACACGACCGGAGGUGAAGGGAGAACAAUCAUUCCCACAAAUCUUGGACAUACCAUAUUUAUCUUGAAGCUUUGUCCACAACUCACGAGCAUCCCGGAAUGGCAUGAGUUGAAAUAUAACUACAUUGCUCAAAGCAUCAAAAAGCACAUUAGAAGCUUGAGCAUUGAGAUAAGAGUUUUUCUCAUCCUCUAAAGAUAUAUUUUUAGAAUCCUUUGGAGGAGAAAAAUACAUAUCUACAUUUCGCUCCAAGUUUGGGUCCAUGACCCUAAAGUGAUUAAGCAUGCGAAUUACCCCUAACAUCAAAAUUUGUGUCAUCGAAACUAAGAGUGUCAGAGAAUCCUAAACCCCUAGUUGGCAUCCUUACUCUCUAGAUGGUUAAACCUGAUAAAGAGAGACCUAGCUCUGAUACCAAUUGAAAGGACGUGGAUGUCGCCUAGAGGGGGGUGAAUAGGCGCUUUAAAAUAAUUACGGUUUAGGCUUGAACAAAUACGGAAUAAAACUAACGCUUAAUUUGUCAAGCACAAAACCUACAACAACUAGGCUCACCUAUGUGCACCAACAACUUAUGCUAAGCNNNNNNNNNNNNNNNNNNNNNNNNNNNNNNNNNNNNNNNNNNNNNNNNNNNNNNNNNNNNNNNNNNNNNNNNNNNNNNNNNNNNNNNNNNNNNNNNNNNNGAUGAGUUGGAUGAGAUUUAUCACGUAAUCAAGUUAGUUUUAAUGGGGAUUGAUCCCUAGUAUCCACUACGUUCUAGAUUGAUGUUGCUACCACUUGGCUAUGCUUAAUGCUUGUCACUAGGGCCCGAGUGCCAUGAUCUCAGAUCUGAACCUAUUAUGUUGUCGCCAAUAUAUGUGUGUUUUAGAUCCUAUCUUGCAAGUUGUAGUCACCUACUAUGUGUUAUGACCCGGCAACCCUGGAGUGACAAUAGCCGGACCCACUCUCGGAGAUGACCAUAGUAUGAGGAGUUCAUGUAUUCACCGCGUGUUAAUGUGUUGGUCCGAUUCUUUAUUAAAAGGAGAACCUUAAUAUCCCAUAGUUUCCAUUAGGACCNNNNNNNNNNNNNNNNNNNNNNNNNNNNNNNNNNNNNNNNNNNNNNNNNNNNNNNNNNNNNNNNNNNNNNNNNNNNNNNNNNNNNNNNNNNNNNNNNNNNNNNNNNNNNNNNNNNNNNNNNGUUUCCAUUAGGACCCCGCUGCCACGGGAGGGAUGGACAAUAGAUGUCAUGCAAGUUCUUUUCCCUAAGCACGUAUGACUACAUACGGAAUACAUGCCUACAUUAGAUCGACGAAUGGGAUCUAGUUACAUAUCUCCCCGUGUUAUAGUUGUUACAUGAUGAAUCACAUCCGUAAUACUCAUCCAUCACCGAUCCACUGCCUACGAGUCUUUUACUACUGGUUGUCGUUACGUUACUUUGCCUAGGCUUGUCCCUUGCUACCAAAGGGAUUGGGCCACUUUGCUGCUGCUGUCACUACUGUUGGUACUUGUUACUUUGCUGCUGCUGCUACUGCGGUUCCUUACUACUCCGCUGUUACUUGUUGCAAGACUUUGUUGGAGCCGUAGUCGGGGAAGCAUUCUUCUCAAGAAUAAUCCCCCGUCAAUGUGCUGGUGCCAUUGAUACAACAGUUAGGAAUAGUUUGCCGUGUCAACAGAUUGUUUCUGGCACCGUUGCUAUCAUACUACCUUGCUACUAAUACUUUGCUUGCAGACACUAAUCUUUCAGGCGUGGUUGAAUCUGACACAUUCAACUGCUAAUACUUGAGUAUAUUCUUUCGCCUCCCGUCUUUGUGAAUCAAUAAAUUUGGGCUGAAUACUCUACCCUCGAAAACUGUUGCGAUCCCAUACGCUUGUGGGACAUCAAGGCUUUUUCUGGCGCCGUUGCCGGGGAGGCACAACUAUAUUCUCUGCACUUGAUCCGAAAGAUCCAAGAUGUCCGAAAGAUCCAAGGCGCCGUUGUUGAUCACUAUGAGGAAUUCGAAAGAUCCAAGAACUAAAAUCCUACCUUCCACUACGAGGAGAGGUAAGGAACUGCCAUCUAGCUCUGCACUUGAUUCAUCUCCAAUUCUGAGUAAGUUUGCGACUUCGCGUCCUGCUAGAAAUCUUGGUAUGUCGCCUGUGCUUGAUGAUGCUACUUCUGCUGCCCAUGAUGCUUAUGAUGCUAUGCUUGAUACUAUGCCUGAUGAUGCUAUGCUUGAUACUAUGCCUAAUGAUGCUAUGCUUGAUACUGCUUUGCCACUUGGUGCAUUCCUUGAUGCACAUAUUGCUAGAGUUGCUGCUAGAUGUGAUGAUGCUUCUGAAACUGCUGAUACUAUUGAAGUAGAACCUGCUACUAUGCCUGAAUUGCCUGUUAUGCCUGAUACUCGGUAUGUUAUGGAGGGAGAGAUAGCUGAGGACUCUCUUGCAUGUAAGGAUAGCUAUGACAUUGAGAAACUUCUGCGCAAGUGGAAAGAAAAAUCUUUGAAUGCUAGGAUGAAAUACGACCCGAAGUUUGCUACUUCGCCUAUCUUUGUGACCGAUAAGGAUUAUGAAUUCUCUGUCGACCCUGAGUUAAUCACUCUGGUCGAAUCUGAUCCUUUUCACGGUUAUGAGUCUGAAACGGUUUUAGCCCAUCUUACCAAACUGCACGAUAUAGCCACCCUAUUCACUAGUGAGGAAAAGAUCCACCACUACUAUAUGCUCAAGUUGUUUCCUUUCUCGCUAAAGGAUGAUGCUAAGACCUGGUUCACUUCUCUUGCUCCUGGAUGUGUGCGUAGCCCCCAGGAUAUGGUCUACUACUUCUCUGAAAAAUAUUUUCCUGCCCAUAAGAAGCAAGCUGCCUUGCAGGAAAUAUACAACUUUGCUCAAGCUGAAGAAGAGAGUCUCCCACAAGCUUGGGGGAGGCUUAUCCAGCUACUGAAUGCUUUGCCUGAUCACCCUCUUGAGAAGAAUGAGAUACUUGAUAUCUUCUAUAAUGGACUUACCGAUGCUUCCAAAGACCAUCUAGAUAGUUGUGUCGGUAGUAUUUUUAGGGAACAAACUGUAGAACAAGCUAAGAUUCUACUGAAUAAUAUCUUGUACAAUGAGAAUGCUUGGACUAUUCCCGAACCACCUCCUAAGCCAACUCCGAAGAAAAGAGGUAUUCUAUUCCCCAGUCCCGAAGAUAUGGAAGAAGCCAAUAAAUCUAUGCGAGAGAAAGGCAUUAAAUCUGAAGAUGUCAAAAAUCUACCACCUAUCGAAGAGAUCCAUGGUCUCGAUAACCCGAUACAGGUAGUAGAAGUAAAUUCUCUACGUAGGUACGGUUUGAUGAGAGUGAUAUUCCUUUUGAUAAACCUGCUAGCUUAUGCAUGGAUGAAUUUGAUAACUUUGUUGCCAAACAACAGAGUUUCAAUGAUUAUGUUAGCAGACAAUUGGAACAGAAUGCUCGUACGCUUAGUCAUUUAAGUGCUUGUGUGGACAGAAAUGUCAAUGAUCUUAAGCUUCUGAGUAAACAUGCCUCUAUGGUUACUACUCAGGUAGAACAAGUACUUAAAGCUCAAAAUGACUUGCUCAAUGAGUUGAACGACAAUUCUGUCAGAGUCGUUACUAGAGGUGGUAGAAUGACCCAGGAACCUCUGUAUCCUCAGGGUCAUCAGAAGAGAGUUGAACAAGAAUCUUAAGGAGUUAGCACUGAUGCACCUAGUCAUCAUAGAAAGAAGAAGAAAUAUGAUAGGAACCUGCAUGUUGCUGCUACCCCUGAGAGUCCAAACGAUGCCUCUAUCUUUGAUGCUGAAACACAAUCUGGUGAUGAACAUGAACGUAAUGAUAAUAUCAAUAGUGAUGUUCAUGAAGAUGGUCAACCUAGCAAUAAAAGGAUGUGGAGAUUGAAUCUAGUGUUGAUCUUGAUAGCCCACAGCCUAAAAAUAAGAGAUACGAUAAGAAUGACUUCGCUGCUAGGAAGCAUGGUAAAGAAAGGGAGCCAUGGGUUCAGAAACCUAUGCCUUUUACUCCCAAACCAUCCAAGAAAAAGGAUGAUGAGGAUUUUGAGCGCUUCGUUGAGAUGAUCAGACCUGUCUUUCUGCAAAUGCGUUUGACGGAUAUACUCAAGAUGUCUCCAUAAGCUAAGUACGUGAAAGAUAUUGUGACUAAUAAGAGGAGGAUCAAAGUUGUCAGAAUCGUGACUCAAGUCUUAGAAUCUUAUGAUCUUACAAUCCAAACUAGCCUCUCCGGUUCUACGAUUUUGCUCAUAGAAUCUAAGUUUCUAUGAUCCUGAUAGUUAAGAUUCUACGAUUCACAAUCCUAGCAACGGAGCUCCGGUCCGAUUCAGAAUCGCGAUUCUGACAACUUGGAGGAGGAUACCUGAUCUUGAGAUCUCCGCCAUGCUUGCCAAUUACACUUUCAAGGGUGGAACUCCUAAGAAACUAGGUGAUCCCGGUGUGCCCACUAUACCUUGCUCCAUUAAAGGCAACUACGUUAGAACUGCGUUAUGCGACCUUGGAGCCGGUGUUAGUGUUAUGCCUCUCUCUCUUUAUCCUAGACUUGAACUGGAUAAGUUGACACCCACUGAAAUCUCUCUGCAAAUGGCUGACAAAUCAACUGCUUUCCCUAUCGGCAUUUGCGAGGAUGUGCCUCUUGUGGUUGCUAACACCNNNNNNNNNNNNNNNNNNNNNNNNNNNNNNNNNNNNNNNNNNNNNNNNNNNNNNNNNNNNNNNNNNNNNNNNNNNNNNNNNNNNNNNNNNNNNNNNNNNNNNNNNNNNNNNNNNNNNNNNNNNNNNNNNNNNNNNNNNNNNNNNNNNNNNNNNNNNNNNNNNNNNNNNNNNNNNNNNNNNNNNNNNNNNNNNNNNNNNGACCCUUUUUAAACACUACAGGGGUUGUUAUAGAUUGCAACAAAGGCAAUGUCACUUUCCAUGUCAACGGUAAUGAGCAUACGGUGCACAUUCCGAACAAACAAUAUCGAGUACGUUGCAUCAAUGCUAUCGAAAAAACUUCAUCGAUUCUUAUCGGGAGCUUUGAAUGCCUUAUUCCUCGUGUCAAGAUGAAGUAUGAUUUUCUUGUUGGGGAGAUACAUAUCCCCAUGGAGGUGACCUAGUGACUAUUCGAAAAUUCUCCGUUCUCUUUUGCGAUUCGAGAAAGUUUUGUCGAGGGGAUUUGAUCAACCCCAUUGACGGAUUUCUUUCGAUGACCAUGAGAUGGAUGAAUCGAGGAGUCACAAACCUCUGUUCCAAGCUUUCACUUUAGGUUGCUUAGAAGAAAAAUGAUAGAUUUAAUUUAGUUUUCCCUGUUUUCUGUUUUAGCGUCCGGUGGAAAAAUACCCCGAAACUAAAAGUUCUCCGAACGCUGUGAAAAUCUAGUAUGAUUUUUUCUAGAAUAUUUGAAAAAUACUGGGACAAAGAGUGUGUAUGGGGGCCACACCAGUGGGCCACAAGCCCUAGGGGCGCGGGCACCCCCCUGGCCGCGUCACCCAGGCUUGUGGGGCCCACAGGCACCCCCUCCACACAUUCUUGCUCUCAUCCGCUUCUCCUACCUCCAGAAAAAAUCGUUUCGCAGCUCAAACCCGUGUUCUUGCUCCUCUUGCUGGGAUUUUCGAUCUCUUUGCUCAAAUCACCGUUCUCCGAACUGUUUUGGGGAAAUUACUCCUUGGUAAGUGACUCCUCCAUUGGUCCAAUUAGUUUUUGCUCUAGUGCCUUAUACUCCGCGUAUUUUUGCUACCUUGUUGACCAUGUUCUUGAGCUUUGUAUGCUGAUUCUAGCUGGUCCCAAGUAGUUUUGAUGCGUAAUAUGGUCUCUAGGCACUUGUGGGAGUAGUUGCUACGAGUUUCGUUGAGCUUUAUUCACUUUUCCUUAGAAUCACUAAAAUUUUCAGAAAUUUUCAGAGAUAGAAAAGGGAAAAGAUGAGGAGGUUCUUGAGAGGCUCGUCAAGCCGUGACCCCAAGGAUGAUGGGAGUGAGAAGAAGCCCAAGUAUCCGGUCCCUCGGGUCGCGGAAGUUCGAGCGUGCGAGUGGCCAAGCGACGUGUUCUUACGCGCCGCUGGAAUUUAUGAGGACUUUUAUCACUUGGUGGAAAACGCAGGCCUUACCGCCUUCGUUGAAGGUAAGUGUUCGCAAUACCUCCUCCUCACUAAUAUCUUCAUACAAAGCUUUAACUUCUAUCCGAGGAAGAAUCCUCCUAUGGUUGAGUUUAAACUUUAUGAUGUCCCCCGGCGCAUGUCACUCCAGGAUUUUUGCAAUGUUUGCAAAUUACCUUAUGUUGGGGAUAUUCAUGAACCUCGUCCACGGGACUUGGAGGCUUUUAUCGGUACAACUGCUGUAGGAGAGGAGAGAGGAGUGUCUUGCGCUAGAGCUGCUAGCAUUCAUUUUCCCGUGCUUCGGUACUUCUCACUAUUUGUGGGAAAAUGUUUGAUUGGCCGUGGGAAAGCUAGGUCACUUAGUUCCCCAGAUCUUGCGGUAUUGCGCGAAGCCCUUUAUAACGAUAAAACUUAUAGCUUGGGCACUAUAGUAGCUCAACGGUUGAACCUUAACCGUUCUAAAGGUGUUGUCUAUGGAGGUAUCUAUGCUACCCGUCUUGCCAAACACUUUGAGAUACCCAUUAGACUGGAGGAAGAAAAAGAGAUUCUUCUUCCCGAGAGAUAUCUAGAUUACGAUAGCAUGGUUCGCCAUGACUUUCUUGAUAGAGAUAUAGGUGGAAGGAUGAUUUAUAACCUGGUAUUUAGUCAGGGUACUCAUGAGACUAUUACUUUGCCUGCUUCUUAUUUGUUCAAUCUUCAUGCAGGCAGGUACACUAUUAUGCCCUCGGACAUCUACGCAUAUUGGGGCUUGGCCCAACCACAGGUGCCCGUGCCCGAGCCGCCAGUCGAGUACCAGAUGCCAGUUUAUCAGUGGGAGCCGGAGAAGCUCACACAGCAGUGGCAUCCUCAGUCCACUCCGGAGUACCCCGGAGCUGGUUAUUUCCCUCCUUGGGAGUAGACCAAGUUAGGCGAAAAGCCUAAGCUUGGGGGAGUAUGUGUUUGCACCAACUUUACAUUCAUGCUUAUGCUUUCACUUUGUUAGCCGGUGUUCACACUUUGCCAAUGUAUCAUCCAUGCUAAUUUAUUUCUUUUUCUCGUUUUCUUUUCGUAUGUCUGUCUAGUUUGAGAAAAACCAAAAUUAUUUCCUUUUUCUUCUUUUGCUUGUUGGGAGCUUUCCCGUGUAAAUAUUUUCUUUUUCUUUGGGUCAAGGUAGAAGAUAUUGGUUACAAUGUUUAGUGGCUCUUGCAUGCAUACCUGUUUAGCUUUCAAAGAGCCAUAUUACUUUGUCUUCUUCUUUGCUUUUGCCUGCAUAUUCCAGCGUAGUCCAAUGCACGAGCACUCUUAUUAUUGUUCACAACGUUCGGUCGUGCAAGUGAAAGGCAAUAAUGACGAUAUAUGAUGAAGUGACUGAGCCUGAAAAAGCUGGUAUGAACUCGGUCUAUUUUGUUUUUGUAAAUAUGACUAGCUCACUGUGCCUGAUUCAGCUUUGUUGUGAGAGAAACAUGUUUGCAAUGACAAUUUAGAGAUCAUAGUUGCUUAUGCCAUGGUUAUUUAGCUAAGGGCUUAUAAUGGUUUGUCUUGGUUGCCAACAUGAAUGUUGAGAUGAUUAUGAUGUAGUAUGAUAGGAUGCUAUCCUCCUUUGAAUGUUUCAAGUGGCUUGACUUGGCGCAUGUUCACGCAUGUAGUUGAAACAAAAUCAACAUAGCCUCUAUGAUGUUCAUGUUCAUGGUGAUUUAUGUCCUACUCAUGCUUGCACUCAAUGCUAGUUAAUCUCAAUGCAUUUUGAUGACUGUUGUCGCUCUCUAGUUGGUCGCUUCCCAGUCUUUUGCUAGCCGUCACUUGUACUAAGCGGGAAUACUGCUUGUGCACCCACUUCCAUAAACCCAAAGUUGUGCCAUAUGAGUCCACCAUACCUACCUAUGUGCGGUAUCUACCUGCCGUUCCAAGUAAAUUUGCAUNNNNNNNNNNNNNNNNNNNNNNNNNNNNNNNNNNNNNNNNNNNNNNNNNNNNNNNNNNNNNNNNNNNNNNNNNNNNNNNNNNNNNNNNNNNNNNNNNNNNNNNNNNNNNNNNNNNNNNNNNNNNNNNNNNNNNNNNNNNNNNNNNNNNNNNNNNNNNCUUCAAGAAAUAAUCUGUUUUGCAUGCCCGAACCGCUCAUGUGGUGACAGGGGGCUAUUGGUAUCUUCCAUUAUAGGCGUGUUAUCCUCGAUAUGUGUUUAUUCACUAUCAUUCACGAGAAAGGGGCCGGUAAUUGGAAUUCCCAGUUCCAUGCUCAAAUCGAAAAGAUAAUUGCAAACAAAACUCCCCCAGGAUUGAUGUUGGUUUGGACGGUACCCGAGGAUUCGGCUAGCCGUGGAGUGUGAUUGAUUGGUGGUGGGGGAGUCAAAACUUUACUUUUCUGUUUGGGAACCGCCUAUAGCAUGUGUAGCGUGGAAGAUGUUGAGAACUCUUAGUCAUUGCGUUGACAAUGAAAGCAUGCCACCCAAAAUUAUUAUCUCUGUUUUAAAAGCUUGAGCUCUGGCACCUCUGCAAAUCAAUGCUUCCCUCUGCGAAGGGCCUGUCUAUUUAUGUUCGUGUUGAGUCAUCCUUCUCUUACAAAAGCACCAAUUAGAGAGCACCUCUGUCAUUUUUAUGCUUUGCUUUUAACUGUGUUGAGUAUGACUAUGACUGGAUCUUCAUUGCCAUGAAUUACAAUGUUUAGUCAGCCCUUGGUCUUUUAAGGUGCUCUGCAUUUAUGUUUUGCAGUCUCAGAAAGAGCUAGCGAGAUACCAUCUAUUUGUACUGCUUCAUGUUGUUUUGAUUGAAGUAUUGACACUUGAGGCUUAUUAUUAUUUGCUCGCUAGUUGAUUAUGCCAUUGAUAUGAGUUUUCCGUGAGACCUAGAUGUCAUUUGCUUAUGUGGUUUGAGUGUGAUCUUGCUCAAAUUCUGGUUGUGAGUUAGACAUAGUUGCAACAUCAAGAUCAAACAGAGUUCGUCAAAGUUUUUCUUUUAUCUCUCUCAGUUUGUCAACUGAGUUGCUUGAGGACAAGCAAGGAUUUAAGCUUGGGGGAGUUGAUACGUCUCCGUCGUAUCUACUUUUCUGAACUCUUUUGCCCUUGUUUUGGACUCUAAUUUGCAUGUUUUGAAUGGAACUAACCCGGACUGACAUGGUGUUUUUUUGUGCAGAAAUAAAAGUUCUCGGAACGUCCUCAAAAUUUACGAAGAUUUUUUCUGGAAUAAAAGAAAAAUACAUGUGCAAAGAUCCACUAGAGGGGGCGUGCCAGUGGGCCACAAGCCCACAGGCCGCAGCCACCCCCUAUGGCCGUGCCGUGCAGGCUUGUGGGGCCCACGUGGCACCACCGCCCCCAAUCUCAGCUCUAUAUCUUCCGUUUCGCCUGGAAAAAAAAUCAGAGAGAAGGUUUCAUCCCGUUUUGUGAUACGGAGGCGCCGCCACAUCCUGUUCUUCAUCUGGAGGGUAGAUCUGGAGUCCGUUUCGGGCUCUGGAGAGGGGAAAUCAUCGCCAUUGUCAUCAUCAACCUUUCUCCAUCGACAAUUCCAUGAUGCUCUUCAUCGUUCGUGAGUAAUCUCAUCGUAGGCUUGCUGGACGGUGAUGAGUUGGAUGAGAUCUAUCAUGUAAUCGAGUUAGUUCUUGACGGGGAUUGAUCCCUAGUAUCCACUAUGUUCUAGAUUGAUGUUGCUACUACUUGGCUAUGCUUAAUGCUUGUCACUAGGGCCCGAGUGCCAUGAUUUCAGAUCUGAACCUAUUAUGUAGUCGCUAAUAUAUCUGUGUUUUAGAUCCUAUNNNNNNNNNNNNNNNNNNNNNNNNNNNNNNNNNNNNNNNNNNNNNNNNNNNNNNNNNNNNNNNNNNNNNNNNNNNNNNNNNNNNNNNNNNNNNNNNNNNNNNNNNNNNNNNNNNNNNNNNNNNNNNNNNNNNNNNNNNNNNNNNNNNNNNNNNNNNNNNNNNNNNNNUAUGACCCGGCAACCCCGGAGUGACAAUAGCCGGAACCACUCACGGAGAUGACCAUAGUAUGAGGAGUUCAUGUAUUCACCGCGUGUUAAUGCGUUGGUCCGGUUCUUUAUUAAAAGGAGAACCAUAAUAUCCCGUAGUUUCNNNNNNNNNNNNNNNNNNNNNNNNNNNNNNNNNNNNNNNNNNNNNNNNNNNNNNNNNNNNNNNNNNNNNNNNNNNNNNNNNNNNNNNNNNNNNNNNNNNNNNNNNNNNNNNNNNNNNNNNNNNNNNNGUUUCCAUUAGGACCCCACUGCCACGGGAAGGAUGGACAAUAUAUGUCAUGCAAGUUCUUUUCCCUAAGCACGUAUGACUACAUACGGAAUACAUGCCUACAUUAGAUCGACAAACGGGAGCUAGUUACAUAUCUCUCUGUGUUAUAGUUGUUACAUGAUGAAUCACAUCCGUAAUACUCAUCCAUCACCGAUCCACUGCCUACGAGUCUUUUACUACUGGUUCUCGUUAUGUUACUUUGCCUAGGCUUGUCCCUUGCUACCAAAGGGAUUGGGCCACUUUGCUGCUGCUGUCACUACUGUUGUUACUUGUUACUUUGCUGCUGCUGCUACUGUUGUUCCUUACUACUCCACUUUUACUUGUUGCAAGACUUUGUUGGAGCCGUAGUCAGGGAAGCAUUCUUCUCAAGAAUAAUCCCUCGUCAACGUGCUGGCACCAUUGAUACAACAGUUAGGAAUAGUCUGCUGUGUCAACAGAUUGUUUCUGGCACCGUUUCUAUCAUACUACCUUGCUACUCAUACUUUGCUUGCAGACACUAAUCUUUCAGGUGUGGUUGAACCUGACACAUUCAGCUACUAAUACUUGAGAAUAUUCUUUCGCCUCAAUAAAUUUGGGUUGAAUACUCUACCCUCGAAAACUGCUGCGAUCCCAUAUGCUUGUGGGACAUCAUAGCCCCUCAAUGAAGCCUUGUGGAAGGAGUGUGAUGCGUGAGGGCACCGCCGUCAUAGGGACCAACCAAGAAAUUGAAAGACAUUCACCCAAAGAACCUAGAGCACCGCCGAUCCACAUACAGAGCCCGAUGUGCAGCAAUGUAAUGGAUGCAGUCCUAUCCUUAUUUUGGCGCGAGGGCCUCGACAGGGAUAGAAACGCAUCCCGUCGUUUCGCAAGAAUGGAUAUCGUUACAAGUACAAGUACUUAAAAGAAGAGUAUAAAGAGUUGGCUUACACUCGCCACAACCUACAUCAGAGUCACAUCAGUACAAUACAUACAUUCAUCAUGAAGAAGAGUAGGGUCCGACUACGAACGAAAACAAACGAUAAAAGAACGACGUCCAUCCUUGCUAUCCCAGGCUGCCCGCCUGGAACCCAUCCUAGAUCGAUGAAGAGGAAGAAGAAGAAACUCCAAAUAGCACAAUCAGCGCGCUCACAUCAAAGUAACCCUUUACAUGUACUUGCAACUGGUGUUGUAGUAAUCUGUGAGCCACAGGGGACUCAACAAUCUCAUUUCCAAAGGUAUAAAGACUAGCAAAGCUUAAUGGGUGAGGUAUGGUUAAGUGGUGAGGCUGCUGCGAGCGACUAAGCGUUUAUUUAGUGGCUAACUUACGAGUACAAGAGUAAAGAGGGGGAUGAUCUACGCAUAGCGGACGUGAGCUACUGAUGAUCAAAUGAAUGAUCCUGAACACCUACUUACGUCAGACAUAAUCCCACCGUUUCCUCGAUCGGAGAAGGAGCUCACGAAAGAGAUAGUGACGGUUACGCACUCAGUUGGUAUGUUUUAAUUAAGUUUACUUCAGGUCGUCUAGAACCGUAUGUUAAACAAAGUUGCCACGUUGCCACAUAACCACGGGCACAGCUUUCCGAAAGAUUUAACCCUGCAGGGGGUGCUCCAACUGCUCCAUCACAAAUUAUCACAAGCCGCAUAGAAAUCCUCGAUCACAAAACUCGCGAUCUCGUCGGACUCCUUAGUGGAAAACCUCAACUCUGAGAUUACCCAAAAUCUCACCGGAAUCCCGACGCACAAGAUAUUUCAUCAAAGGUAAAACUAAUCCAUCAAGGCCGCCCGACUGUCGACGAUCCCGAUAGGAGCCGCGUAUCUCGUUCUGAGGACACGACGGAUGGGUCACACUGGGAGUAAAACCAAAGCUCGGGUUGCCCCGUGGUGGCCCCGUAGUCUGCUAGUUUGGACCAACACUCAUGCGGAGCACUCGCCCGGGGGUUGAUUAGUUAACCACGGGUCCGGAAAGUCCCUAUGCAAAUUUAGUAAGUUAUUAGGCAAAUGUAGUACUAAAGUUGGGCCUUGCCAGACCAGUCUUAAUCUAAAAUGAAUUAUCAAGGGGGUCCCCAUAACAACUCCGAUCGUGUUAGGAGUGCUCAAUUAUGGAAUAUAACACUGGUAGCCAAAACUAAGGUGACAAAGGUGGAACAAAUCACCAGGCUAGAAAGGUCGAGCCUUCCACCUUUUGCCAAGUAUAUAUAUAGGUAAACUAAAUUAAAUAGCAUUAAUAUGGUGAUGUAACAAGGAACCCAUGUUAUCACAUGGAAGCAACUGCACCUGCAACUAGCAAUGCUAAUACAUGGUUAAGCAAGUGGUAACAUAGCCAAUUAGUGGUUUUCUAGGUUGUGACCAGGUUGAAGGUUUUCAUGGCAAUGUUGAAAGGCUGACGUUUAAGUGGUAGGCAACAAGACAUAACGAUGGAAACGAAACAACUAGCAUGGCAAUGAUAGUAAUGGUAUCUAGGGAAAUGAUCAUCUUGCCUGAGAUCCAGCUUGAAAGAAGAACGAUUCCGUGAAGCAGACAAACCAACUAAUCGAACGGAUCCUUACAUUCCGACACGCUUGCGGAACUCUAUCGAGACGAAGCAAACCAAAAACAAACAUCAACACACAAUAUUCACCACGUCACAUGCACACUACGAUGCAACACAUAUUAUGCAUGUCCAUUUCAAAUAUGCAAGGCAUGGCAUGGCAAUUCACAUCACGCAAACACUACACAUUAAAUGAAGCUAUAUAUGCAAUAGGUUGCAUAUUGACGAAACUCCACAGCCAAGGAAGGAGUCCCUAGCCCCCGAGGGUGCUUUGCCGCCACGCCGCCUCAUGAGCACAACCGAGCACCACCACCAACGGAUCAUGGAGACACAUCUGCGGUGGUUAGCCACAAAACUUCCCCAGCUUAACUCAGACCGAAGAGAGGGAAAGGAGCCCCCGGCAGGCCCAGGGCCGCCACCGUGGAUUGCCUGCACCAAAAUGGCACUCCCACGCAGACCGAGGAGCAACAAGCAGCGGGAGAGCGUCCACGUCCAUCAUAUACACCGUCAUCCAUGCAACCUCCUGAUACGUCCCAAAUGUAUCCAUAAUUUUUGCUUGUGUCAUGCUUGUUUUACAUCAUUGUCUCAUGUUUUUAUUAGUUUUAUAUCUUUUUAAGAAUUUAUUUGGACUAACCUAUUAAUGGUUGCAAAAGUGCAAAAUGUUCUUAUUUUAUACUUUGGUGUGUAGGAAUUACUUGGAAAUUGACUAAAAUGCAAAAGGAGUCGUAUUGGAGUAGGACUCUGACUUUUCUGAAAACUGUCCCCCCCCUGCAGAUUUUAGAGAUCGUAUGUUUCCUCCCCGAAGAUGACGACAAAUGGAACAAUAAUAGAUACAAAAGUUUUGGGGAAUUUCGAGAGGAACGUUCUGGACUAAAUUAUUCGUCCAAAACGGAGUCCGUACGUGGCCUGUAGCCCCGUUUUACUGAAGGACAAAAUCUGAUUACGGGAAUCCAAAAUAUUGUGACGUGAUUGACUUCAACACUUUUCAUACUUGGAGGAUUCGGCCAAGCCAUGACUUUGGGGCCUCAUUAGGGCUGAGAAUACUCCCAAGGAAGGUUCGAGAGGUGCCCAAGAGCCCUUGGAUCAAAGGGGCAUCCAUCAGAGGGCCAAGGAUGAUCGUCCCAGCUCAUAUAAGGAGAGGAAAACCCUGAUUUUCGGAGAGCCACCAAGAGCCACGAAAUUUCCUCCUCCGAGACAGCCGCCUUGGGGUGGAGAACCACCUCCAUACCAGAACCAUCUCCAAGGAAGAAUGGGGGGCCAAGGGCCGCCGCCCCCAAGGGUCGUGGCCGCCGUCGGCCGUCGUCUCCUCUCCGGGCUGCACCUCUCCAUCAACCUCUUGCUCACCAUGUCCAUGUAUGAGUAGUAUCCCUCGGGGCUGAGGGUUCUACGUGUAGCUAUGUGGUUAUAUCUCUCUUCCAUGAUGUGAUUUUGAUUGUGAUCAUAGGAUAUGUUAAUUUAGGGUGAUCCCAUGAUGUUUCCCCUUCUUCUAUGUAUUGGAUUGGUGUACUCACUUGAUCUUAUCUAUUAUAAUCUCCGAGACCAUGGUGACAGCGCUCUAUUCGCCAUGGAUUAGAAGAAUAUUUUCAUGAGUGAUUUUCUCUUUUGUGAAUUGAUUGAAGAUUGAGAGUCUUUGGUGCUUGUCUUUGACUAUCCUUGAGAUAUGUUGUGGUGAUUGUGGUACUCUCUUUGGAUGGGCGCGGUGACAUUGGAAAAUCCAUAGAUGAGAACUACGAACUCUGAGGUGUGCUUUUGUAGCCCUACAUAAUUCUCGUCCUCUCUUGAUCACAAAGGAAUGACCUCCGAGUACGUCUCCAUUGCAUGUUUUAGUGAAAAUAUCAUGUGAUUAGACUAUGUUAAUGUUAUUUGGAGUAACCACUAGUGAAAGUAUGAAGCCUAGGCCUUGUUUUCCACCAUUGAACGCAGUUUACUUUCAGUUUUGUUUCAUGUUUGCUUGUUGCCAUUUUUAUUUCAGAUUUACAAUACCUUUUUUACCAUCCAUGUCACUUAUCUUUUAACAUCUCUUCGCCGAACUUGUGCACCUAUACAACUGAUAAUUGUAUUAGGUGUGUUGGGGACACAAGAGACUUCUUGUAUCUUAAUUGCAGGGUUGUUUGAGAGAGACCAUCUUCAACCUCUACUUCCCCGAGUUCGAUAAACCUUAGGUCAUCCACUUGAGGAAAAUUGUUGCUGUCCUAAAAACCUCUACGCUUGAAGGCCCAACAUAGUCUACAAGAAUAGAAGCGUGCGUAGACAUCACCUCCCCGUCGCAUGCACAGAUGAGAUAGAGUGCCGCCGAUCCGGAACUCAAGACCCACGUGCAUCCAUCACCAUGCUUGCCAGUCAUCACCACUGCAACCCAUGAUGCCAUCCGCAACACCGAAGGGCACAACGCAAGAUGCACUGGGCCAGGCACAGUCCACCGUCGGCCGCCACGAGUUCCCCAUCUCGCAAGCCAAGCCCCCCGGGAUUUUCACGUUAGGGGCUGCCGACGACGGGAGAGGGGUAGGAAGGAGGGGAGUUGUGGUUGGUAAGAGUUGACAGCACAACCCAUGUCACCAUCGGGAAGGAGCGAUGCAUUUGUCGGGUCCUAUCACUCGUCUGAAUGGAUCUUCUAAACAUACUUUUGUGGUUUAUUUUACAUGUGCUUCUAAACAUAUUUUUUAUUAGUGUAUUUUACAUGUUUUGUAGUGAAAUUGAAGAUGUAAAAAACUAUGACUGACUUAUAUUCCCAUCUGGAGGGAGUAAUAACACUAGCUUCGACGUAUUUUAUUAUUGGAGUCAUUUUAAUUUUUGGGUUCUCUGAUAUAUGCCUUUGCUUGAGAGGCACCAAUAUCAUUCGACAUCAGCCAUACAUUGUAGAUCCACCCGAGGGGGAAAUCAUUUCUUAUGGGAGUACCGAAAAUAAAACAAUUAUGUUGUUAACAUGAUGAAGCAAGAAUCCAAAUUGGUUUCAUUAGAUUUACUAUAAAACAUAUUGUCGUGCCAUAUAUAGUAGAUGUUUUCAAUAUCACCUUGUUUUUCUUUAGACGCGAUCAAAAUAGUAUGACUUAGUAUAAUGCUAAAUUUUUGAUUUAAGUAAUCAAUAAUUUCCUCCACAAAGAAAUUACAAGACUAAGAAUAGAGAAUUAGGAAAACAAUCUACGGAGAUAAUUCUUUGUUUUACUCCUCUCGUACUACAGGGGUUCAUUUGCUCUGCAAUUAGGCGAGAUUUGUUUGAUACGAAGAACCAUGGCCUGGAUCAAUGCUCUCGUUUACAUGUGCACUUGAGUUAUUAUUUAAUAGAACACCGGAUGUUCAAUUUGGCUCUAGAGAGCACCUUCUCCUGCAUGUCAAAAAUGAUUUUACAAAUUUAAAAAAAAAACUGGAAAACAAUAGAUGUGUCCGUUGUCACUCCCAAAUGGUACAUGCAAAUUUGAAGGUGAAAAACUUAAGCAUCACUUGACCUUAUGGUUGUACUGCUCAUCCUCAAUCACCCCAAACUUUCCCUAUCUUCUUCCAAUGGAAAUUGCUUUUAGGGUUGCAUUGUUGUUGUAGGCUCACAUUGCAAUAUGAGAUUCCUGUACCCACUGCCACGAGCUGGUCCUCCAAGCGAUCGGACCUAGGGUUGGCCCCAAUAUAGGGCAAUAAGGCCACCUCCCCACCCCUUGUUUGUAGGAUUCCAAAAAUUAGCAUGCUCGUGCAUUAGCAUGAUAUACAAUUUUCAAAUUAGCAGGCGAAUCUUCAAAUCGUAUCAAACUGAGUUGGUUCAAGUGAAUUUAAGAGAGGCUAAGUCAAUAUAAUCUUGUAUCAGUACGAUGUUUAGGCAAAUAAAACAAAUUUUGUAAAAAAAUCCAUGUAAGAAAGUAAAUGAUGAAUAUUACAACUUAUGUAAGUUUGUAUCUGUAGUACUCAAUUACUCAUGCAUACUAGACAUUGUGUGAGCUCUAGAUUUAUCUAUUUAGUCAGAUUGAAACUCGUUAGUAUCGAUUUCAAGAAUAUCUACCAAGUUAAUCUAUUCAUAAACCAUAAAGCAAUCCGCCAAAUUAUAUAGAUAUUUAACUAUGCAUUGGAAAACUUAAAGAUAAAUGCAAAUGCACUAGCAUAAAAUAAAUUGUGCAUUAUGAUAAUAAUAGCGGUUUGCAUAGAUCAAUGGUGAAAUCUAUUGUAACAAAUAGUUUAUUAAAUAUCCAAAUUAAAUAAUAUUUUUUUGCCAAAAACCUGCAAGUCACAUAGCACUUGAAAAGUAAUAUUAUUUAAUAUCAAAAUCGUAUGGAAUUUUAUAAUAAAAUAUGUGAGCAUGUUUAUAUACUUAAUUUCGCUAGUUAUACUUAGAGAAUAUUGUUAAUAUAGUAUAUCAAUAUAUUUUGUCAAAGAGAAACAUAAUUUAGUAAGAAGAUAUUAUUGUUGAGUAAAAAAGUUCAGUAUAAAUAGGGGAGAAUACCUCAUCAUAACGGAUGUGCCGAAAACACAAAAAGAGUAGCGUCGAUGGCUUCCACGAGCUCGCGCCCGCGGCCGGUGGUGGCGGAUUGAUCUCCUUCCUCCGGCCUCCAUUUAAGCCGCCGAGACCAGAACCGGGUUGUACUUCGCGUCCUCUCUCAUCUGCACUCCUUCUCCCCUCCAGGGCUUCACAGUGCUGCUGAUGGCCCUCGCGUCCAUGCCAUCAUCUUUGACUCCGCCGACUGCCUUGAAUGUCGCCACCGUGCUGGCCGUUGUUGCUCUUGCCUCCCGCAUGGCCGCCCCGACAGCUGGUGGCCGCUUGUCCCAUGCCGGAUCCCGUUGAGGUCGGAUGUGGCAGCAUCAAAGGCAGCGCAGUCGGGCAUGCACUUCAUCCCGAGCCCCUGGCCUCCGCCGACCGGUGUCACCACGUUAUCCGCCCUGGACGCAGCCCGUUCUGCUCUAGCUCGUCCCGUGGCCUGGUGAAUGGAGGGCUUAGGUCGUUGUUGUUGGAAAUAUGCCCUAGAGGCAAUAAUAAAAUAGUUAUGAUUAUAUUUCCUAUUUCAAGAUAAUCGUUUUUUAUCCAUGCUAUAGUUGUAUUGAAUGGAAACAUAAAUGCAUGUGUGGAUAUAUAGACAAAACAAUGUCCCUGGUGAGCCUCUAGUUGACUAGCUUGUUGAUCAAUUAUUGUUAAGGUUCCCUAGCUAUAGACAAGUGUUGUCACUUGAUGACGGGAUCACAUCAUUAGAAGAAUGAUGUGAUGGACAAGACCCAAACUAUAAACAUAGCAUAUGAUCGUGUCAUUUUGUUGCCAUUGUUUUCAGCAUGUCAAGUAUACAUUCCUAUGACCAUGAGAUCAUGUAACUCACUGACACCGGAGGAAUGUCUUGUGUGUAUCAAACAUUGCAAUGUUACUGGAUGGCUAUAAAGGUGCUCUACACGUAUCUUUGAAGGUGUCCGUUGAGUUAGCAUUGAUCAAGAUUGGGAUUUGUGACUCCGUGUGACGGAGAGGUAUCUCGGGGCCCACUCGGUAAUACAACAUCACAAACAAGCCUUGCAAGCAAUGUGACUAAAGAUUUGGCCGCGGGAUCUUGUAUUACGGAAUGAGUAAAGAGACUUGCCGGUAACGAGAUUGAAAUAGGUAUGUCGAUACCGACGAUCGAAUCUCGGGCAAGUAACAUACCGAAGGACAAAGGGAAUGAUAUACGGGAUUAACUGAAUCCUUGACAUAGAGAUUCAACCGAUAAAGAUCUUCGUAGAAUAUGUAGGAGCCAAUAUGGGCAUCCAGGUCCCUCUAUUGGUUGUUGACCGUAGAUGUGUCUCGGUCAUGUCUGCAUAGUUCUCGAACCCGCAGGGUCUGCACACUUAAGGUUCAGUGACGUUUCAGUAUAGUUGAGUUAUAGGUGUUGGUAACCGAAAGUUAUUCGGAGUACCGGAUGAGAUCCUGGACGUCACGAGGAGCUCCGGAAUGGUCCGGAGGUAAAGACUGUUAUAUAUGAAGUCCUGUUUUGGUCACCGAAAAAGUUUCGGGCUCAUCGAUAGUGUACCGGGAGUGCCGGGAGGGUACCGGGGACCAUCGGGAGGGGUGUCACGCUCCGAGGGGCCUUAUGGGCUGUGGGAGGAUACAAACCAGCCCCUAGUGGGCUGACAUAAGGUCCCACUAAGGCCCAUGAGGUUUGAGAGGCAAAAAACCCAAAGGUGGAAAAGGUGGAAAGGAUUUCCAAGUGGAAAGGAGGAAUCCUACUCCUAGUAGGAUUGGAGUAGGACUCCUCCACCUCCAAUUUCGGCCAAACCUUGAGGGUUUUAGGAUGCCUCCUCCCCUCUCUCUCUCCUAUAUAUAGUAGAGGUAUUGAGGGUUUUUGAGACAUAGAAAAACAACCACGUGAUGUCCUCUCUCUCUAGAUAUGUUUCUCCUCUAGUCUAGUUUCAGCGGUGCUUAGGUGAAGCCCUGCUGGAAUAGCUCCACCACCACCAUCAUGCCGCCGUGCUGGAGAACUCAUCUACCUAUCCGCCCCUCUUGCUGGAUUAAGGAGGCGGGGAUCGUCAUCGAGCUGUACGUGUGAUGAACACGGAGGUGCCGACCGUUCGGCGCUAGAGCGGGAUGGAUCGUGAUGGGAUCGCGGGACGGAUCGUGAUGAGAUCGCGGGACAGGCUGCGAAUUGAAUCGCGAAGAUGUUCCACUACAUCAACCGCGUUAUAUACGCUUCCGCUUAGCGAUCUACAAGGCUAUGUAGAUUCACUCUCCCCUCUCGUAGAUGAUCAUCACACAGGAUAGGUAUUGCAUGUGCGUAGGAAAUUUUUUGUUUCCCGUGCAACGUUCCCCAACAGCUACAUCAUCCACAACUCCAACUGAAGCUCCGGGGUCACAACCGGCCAUCGCUGCUGAAGCGUCGUCCUCGACUCCAACGGGCUUUGCUACAUCGUCGACGACUUCUGCUGGUUCCGCUACGUCGUCCUCGACUCCUAUGGAAAUGGCAUUGUCCUCGACUCCUAUGGACACUAUGCCCGGUCUAGACACGGUGCGGCCUAUUUCGUGGAGCUCCCUUACCAAAUAUGAGGAAGACAAUGUGCUGGCCCAGCAGCCGCCGCCGCCGGCUACCAAAUCCUCAUUUCCGGCGGCUCGGCCGGGCACGGCCUGUGAUGCUGAUGCGUGCGGAGGUUGGCAGAAGGUGUUGUCAAAGCGCAACAUGCAACCCCCGGCAUCACUAGCCCCUACACUGGCUCCCCAUCCUUUCCACGCUUGGCUUCAUGGCAGAUGUUAUAGAUACCUCCUUCCUGAAUAGCGUGCAGCGAUGUGUCAAUAUCUUUUUAGGUGUUCUCAGUGUCUUGACAAUGGUCAUUGAUACGUCUUCAACGUAUCUAUUAUUUUUGCCUGUUUCAUGCUAUGAUAUUAUUAUUCUUGGAUGUUUUUUUAUCAUUUUAUACCUUUGUAUAUUAUUUUUGGGUACUAACCUAUUAACUUAGUGUCGGGUACCAGUUCAUGUUUUCUACCCUGUUUUUGUUCCGUAAGAAAUCAAUAUUAGAUAAGAUCAAAUCGUCCCAAAAACUUUUGAGGAUUUUUUAUUGAAGACAAGGAUCACCUGGAACUUGGAGGCCAAGGAAGAUCUUGCCGGGGGGGCCCACACAACACCAGGGCAUGCCCUAAUGUUAUGUGGGCCCCUCCACGCUCCAUUUGCCCUACCUCCUCCACUAUAAAUUCAGCAAUAUUCCAAAACCCUCAAGGGAGUCCAUGAAAUACUUUGUCUGCCGCCGCAAGCCUCUGUUCUCGCCAGAUCCCAUCUAGAGGCCUUCUCCGGUACUCCGCCAAAGGGGGAACUCAUCAUGGAGGGGCUCUACAUCAACCUUGCCUCCUCCGCGAUGAUGCGUGAGUAGUUUACCACAGACCUACGGGUCCGUAGGUUGUAGCUAGAUGGCUCUCUUUCUCUCUCUUUGUAUCUCAAUACAACGGUCACCAUGAUCUUUAUGGAGAUCCAUUCGAUGUAAUGACUUUGUGUGGUGUGUUUGUUGGGAUCCAUUGAAUUGUGAGUUUAUGAUCAGAUCUAUCCUUGUUUUAUUUGAGUUCUUUGCUGAUCUCUUUUAUGCAUGAUUUAGUAUAGCCUUGUAUUACUUCUCCAAAGUUUUGGUUUGGUUUGGCCAACUAGAUCAGAUCUUCUUGCAAUGGGAAGAGGUGCUCAGUAAUGGGUUCGAUCUUGCGGUGUUCAGUCCUAGUGCCAGAAGGGGAGUUGAUACACAUGUGUUGUUGCCAUUAAGGAUAACAAGUUGGGGUGAAUUCUUAUAUGCUUUUGUGUUGACUACGUCAUGUCAUCGUUCUUAAUGCAUUACUUCGUUCUUAUGAACUUAAUACACUAGAUGCAUGUUGGAUAGCGGUCGAUGUGUGAAGUAAUAGUAGUAGAUGCAGGCAGAAGUUGGUCUACUUGAUUUGGAUGUGAUGCUUAUAUCAUGAUCAUUGCCUUGGAUAGCGUCAUAAUUAUUUGCUUUUCUAUCAAUUGUUCAACAGUAAUUUGUUUACCCACCGUAUGCUAUUUUCUUGAGAGAGAUGCCACUAGUGAAUCCUACGGCCCCCAGGUCUACUUUUAUUAUAAGAUCAAUCUCGUUUACUUAUACAAAAAUACAAAAUACUUGCUGCACUUUUUUAUAUUUUAUUUAUUUAUCAAUCUAUCAUAUAUCAUUUAAUCUCGCUUCUUGACCGCCGAGAGAUUGACAACCUCUCGUCUGCGUUGGAUGCGAAGGUUUGCAUUGUGUGUGCAGGUGACGGUGUUGCUUGGUUCUCCUACUGGAUUGAUAACCUUGGUUUCUUAACUGAGGAAAAUACUUACUCUACUAUGGUGCAUCAUCCUCUCCUCUUCGCGAUAAAAAUCCAACACAGUUCACAAGUAGCAGUCCUCGAGCACGCGAGUGCCACAAUGCCUGGCGUCCCCUCAGCUUCUUGGGAAGCUCUACUAUGACGUCGUUGUCAUACCUUCCUAUCAGGCACCAACAAGCUCUAGCUCCUCGCAAGGUCGAGAAAGAAGCCUCACCCCUCAUGAAGACGUUUGGUCGUGGUUCUUGGGCAUCCAUCAUUGCUGCUCUGCUGGCUCUGGGACCUCCGUAGAUAUUCCUGUGCGGACCGCCUUGGAGAGCCAGACCGAUUUGUUGCGCUCUGAGCUCCUUGGUAUGGCUUCCUUCCGACUUGAGGAGGCAGUCCAGCCUCUGCGUGAUGUCGUUGACUCCAUGCAAGGUUGUACGUUGCGGAUGAAGAGCUUUAUAGAGCGAGCUGAGGCCGCACUAUGCGGGCUCUCUCAGGCGCCGCUUGUGUUGCGCACUUUGGUUGUGCCUGAAGACAACUUCGAGGUUGAGAGCGGAGCCGGGCUUCAUGGUUAUUUCUCCCCUCAUUCUAGAACUAGCUCGUCGUUGUGAGUCUCUGAGUGACUAAACAAUGAUGUGGUUGUGACUCCGGUGUUGCAGAUGAUGCCUGAGCUUCAGGACCUGUGUGGGGAUCCGCUUCAUCCUCUGUUUGUUGAACAACUGAAGGUAGUCCCCCCAGAGAUCUCGAUUGGAGCUUUACCACCAGCAUCACCCUAGAAGUCUAGUCAGACACUUGAUGCCGAGGAGUCUAGUGGUUUGGACGUUGUAAUCUCUCACUCACCUAAGUCCAUUUGGGCUUUAGAUGUUGCUAGCUGCCCUUCGCUCAUCUGCGCCAAUCAAGCGGGUGAUGCAUGUGAGUGGCAUGAACAAUGAACAAAGUGUGUUGGCACCUACUCCAAAUCCAGAUGCUCUAUUCGCGACGGAACUUUGUGACUUGCUCGCCGGUGUGGAGGUUGUUGGACCUGGUUUGGGUAGGUCGAUUGAUUUCCUCUUAACGGAGACGCCAAUAAGGGGCAAAUAAAAGAAGAUGGGCAAAGGAAAGAGNNNNNNNNNNNNNNNNNNNNNNNNNNNNNNNNNNNNNNNNNNNNNNNNNNNNNNNNNNNNNNNNNNNNNNNNNNNNNNNNNNNNNNNNNNNNNNNNNNNNNNNNNNNNNNNNNNNNNNNNNNNNNNNNNNNNNCUUCACAUCCAAGGCGUCCGUGGUUGCUUGAUGGAUGGCCUUCGUUCUCACGGCCCUUCCUCUUGGAUUGGACGGUCGUUGUGGGUUGGGAGGUGUUUGAUGUCUUGUCUCGAGGUGUUCUUGUCAGGGUCUUCUUGCAUAGUAGCAAUGUGAGAACAGUUUGUGGAUUUUGUAUGCCGAGGGAGUGGAGGGGGUCGCUUGUGGGGUUCUGAGGUUUUUUUUUUCAUUCGAGUAGUUAGUCCAUACUCCGUUUGUAUUGAUUUUCGCCCGGUUUUCUAUAAAUUAACUGGGAAAUUCUCUUCUUCUUAACUAGCAGAGUGAGCCACGCAUUUGCGCGGCUACAUUAUAUACAUGUCCCACACGCACAGUCAUCUCAAAUUUCAACAAUUUUGACAUGCUUUUGGAUGCACAAUUUGGCUCAUUAUUUGUGUAUGAAUAUAACUGUUUUUACCCACCAAUAAUAAUGCUUGAGAUAAUGUAUAGUCGUAAAUUAGACAUCUAAUGACCAUGCAUGCAUUUAUUUAGGAGAAAUGUGUUGCUUUCCUUUUUAUUGCAUGAAAAGAAUUAUAUGUAUAAAUUUAUGUAUUAUGGAUCCGCGUAAUAAUUACUAUUAUUCAUAGUUUAUUCAAAAUUUGGUAUUGAGGUUUGGAGAUGGUAUUUACAAAAGUCAAAUCGUUAACGUUAUAGUUAAGGCUUUAAAGUUCAUAUAUAAAUAGAGUUACAUUUGUCAAAUUAGAGAACUAUUUUCUGAGCAGGUGCAAAGUUUUACAACUCCUGUAUUCCUGAAUAUGUUUGGAUAAAAAUAUAGAUUAUAGUAUUUCACAAAACCAAAUGUGGGGUCUAUAAUUAUAUAAUUUAUAACUGUGUUUUUUUAUAAUUUCUAUAUUUUUUGCUAAUAUUAUAUGGGUUCGGGUAUGUAAAUUCUUUUCAAUCAAGGCAUUUUUUUUGUGGAUAUCACCCGCAAACUAAAAUGCAAUUCUUUGGUGAUAGGUAGUCAGACAACAAUAAAACGGUGGUACGUUGCCUAGUAAAUUUUCUUCAAAAUUUUCAACUUAUAUUUGGAUAAUAACCUUUUCUUCUAUGUUGACUAAUUACUAACAUCCGCAACCAAUACACCUGUUCAUGUAUGUAAUUGUGAUAUGCAAUUUACAGAUUCAAAUACUAAAUUUCUCCACAAAAAAAGAUUCAAAUACUAAAUAUAUCUUCCCGGUAAAAAAACUAAAUAUAUGUUUUUCUUUCUCUAGUUCUAUUUUUCAAACUUAAUUUUUUUGGAUGCGUUCAAAUUCCGUCCAUUAUAAUUAGUGCAUACCGAAAUACUGGGGCAGUACACUAUUUUUAUUCAUGCCAGGAUAAAACAAACCUCUCCCUAGUAAUAAAGCAAAUAGUGCUUCUGUCGUCCGUCAUAAAAAUUACCCUCAAAGUUGACCUAAAUUACCCACUAUUCCACCGGUAAGUGAGGAAAACGAUUUGAUUUUAUUUCCUGUCAAAGUCGCUGUUCCGCACGGUUCUUAAAGCACGGGACUCUCAUCUAUCAUUACCAUGUUUGAGGCGUAGUGGUUCGAGCUCCUCUCUUCCACCAAGGAGAACUAGGUUUGAUCCCUGACACUUUUUUCUCCCUCUUUUCUUUUUUAGGAACAUUUUCUCUCUUUAUUAGCAGCAAGCAUGCACCUCUUUUUUCAUGUUACAUAAUCCCACCUCGCUCUUUUAUACAGAUUUCGAUCAAUUUAUAUAGGAUCACAUGUUACCCGAAAUAUCAACAAGAGGCCUAAAUAACUACCGCGGGAAGGUGCAUUUAAAGGAUAAACAGGAAAUUAUCCCCUAUGCCUCGAUGGGAUCGAAGGAAAAGGAAUUGUAAAGCAAGUAGUAGCGGCAAGGAAAACAACCAGCAGCACGAGGUUCCUGCAUGUUACUGUUGGAAUCACCAUUAAAGGGAUGGAAGCAGCGAUAAUGGAGCUAGGGAACUACCUAGGAUCAAGAACGCACCAGAGAAACGAGGUGGUCCACAGUACCAUUCUGCCGACAUGGACGUUGAUCAAUGCCAAUGGCUGGCGGACCAGGAGACAGUCAGUGGCAAAAGGAGUCAACAUCCCUUCCUCCUAUACUCUUCCAUAAGCUUCUGGGGAUUAUACUAAUAUAUUAGUUGACACAGGGAGUAUAAGUAGUAUUAUAAUAUCAGGAAAAGUUAUAUUUAAAUCGCUAAAAUAUUGUUGUGUCUAAAAUGAAAAUUCCAAACAAAACAUAGUCACGGUUUGUAUUUGUGAUUAAUAACUGAAGUUUCAAUUGGCAAACUUAAACUAAGGUUUGUAAAAUACAUCGUGCUCUCUAGGCUAGCCGCAUGUAAUUCAUCAACUAAAUAUAUUAUAUUCUUAUACGUGCAACCAGGGUUCAAAUUUAUUUGAUUUUGAAUUAACAAAGUUGACUAUACAUUAUGUGUUCUCAAUACCUUGAUUUGACCAUCGUAGAAUUGUUAAUCUGUUGAAGCGCAUGGGCACUUUCUUACUCUAGAUGGGGAGCCACCAACCAUGCCUCGAUGAUCCGUGGUGUGUAGAUGUGUAGACAGUAUGAUGAGGAUGUUCCAACGGACGAGGAGGAGCUCACUAUUUCCUAGGACGAGGAGGAGCUUGCGAUUUCUAGACUCCUCCUUUCCGACAUGCCGACACACUAGGAGUACUAGGAUCCGAUGUUUUAUUUUUACAUGCUUCCGGUACAACGCACAUGCUAUUUUGUUAGUACAUCCUAUAAACGUAUGACUUAUUCACGUGAUAAGUAGCUAGACCGGACUGCUCAAAAAAAGUAGCUAGCACGGGAUUGGUUUCUUUUUUGGCAAUCUGUAGAAGGGGUUGUCCUGUAUUGAAAUAUAACUCUUAUUUGACAGUUUUUUUUCUGUACACAUGACAUGUACAAUGCAAGCUGGCCUAUCUAACGUGUGCAAAAAUAGGCAUUGUAUGUGUGAUGUGACAUAUUUGCCUGGCUAGGCAGUCAAAGCCGGUAUGACAUCCAUCGUUUUUUAAGUAGAAAAAGAUAGGCAAGCGCUAGGCAUCAGACUACAGGUGUUUAGCAUCCAUCAGACUCCCUAUGCGCCGUUGGAUGCGGGUGAUGGGAUCCAUGAGAUUAGAUUAGAUUACUGCUUCCUGAGGCUUUUAAUACCUGUAAUUAAGCGGCUGGGUGUACGUAAUUAGUGGCCCUGAACGCACGCCCUGGAAGCACGCUGCCUCCCGCGGGAGAACACUUCCUCUCCCCUGUGUCUUCUCCAGUCAGAUUUGUGGCGCGAGUGCUUCCAGCGAGAUACAAGUGGCUGCAAAAAUGGCGCACCUACGUCAAGGUAUUGAGUAUGGAGGGAUUUCGGAUGCAUUCUGGCGGCAUGGAUCGGUCAGUACGACAGGUUCGACAGGCGUCUGGGGUGCUGCUGCUUCGAGUAAUCAGACGAACCUGAAUCCUCCAGUGGUGAAUAUUGGGGAUUAUGAGGUAAAACGAACACCUUGAUACAUGUUCGCAGUACUUAGCUUUCUUUUUUCUUAUUUUGGUUGUAGUUUUGAUGUGUACUGGUAGUAUGAUGCGUCAUUUGCUUGGUCUUUUACACAGCAUGGGGGAUUGAUGAUGAAUCUUUAGGAUGAGUGUGAGAGAACGUAGUUAGAAGCAUUGUUUGUUUCCAUUGGAUGCAUUAUAAUUUGCUGCUGGAAGCUUAGUUUUCAAUGUCAGUGGCUAUGUUCGGACUAUGGCGUGAUUUGUUUAGCACCGUGUAUGUCCAGAUGCAUGAGGAUAUGGUCUGUGUUCAGAUAUAUACAAAUUUUGCUUAAUGAUUUGGCUCUACGAUUUCGUGUUUGCAAUUAUGGUGCUAAAAAAUAUGCUUCAUUGUAGGAUGAAACCAUGGAGGACAUUGAAGGGGGGACAUAUAUUCCAUUUGCUGAUGCUGCAACAACUACUCGACCAGAUGCGCCAUAUGUUGGAUUCGUCUUCGACACCAUCGAGGAAGCACAAAUGGUGUAUAAUAGCUAUGCUAAGAAGCUGGGUUUUGGUAGUAGGAUAUGUUACACUAAGAGGAGUCAGAAGAAGGGGUGUAAUCACAUAAUCAGGAGAGAGUUCGAGUGUGUUCAUGCAGGAGGGAAAGCGCCCAAGAUGGAGGAAAACAAGUUGUGUGUGAUCCUGAGUGGUAUGAAGCAUUAGAAGAAAAUGUCUGUGCAUCAAGGAAGGAACCAGAUUUUGGCAAUAAAAAACUUGUAGCACAGCGAAAGAGAAACAGGGUGAAUAGGCAUGGAUGCAGAGCACGCAUGGCAGUGGUGUUCAGGGAUGGAAAAUGGGAAGUAACUGUUUUUGAGGAGCAACAUACGCACCCAAUGAUGAGUAGGGGGGAAUGGACAAGGUUUUACAGAUCUCAUAGAAAGGUACCGUAUGAGGACUACAUGUUUCUGAAGACAUUGCAUAAUCGGAACAUACCAACAGCGUUGAUCAUGGCAACGCUAGGAGACUUGCAUGGGGAACUUGGCAACCUUCCGUACACUGCCAGAGAUGUUGCAAACAUUAGAACUAAGUUGAGAAAUGAGGUGUCUUUGAAUGAUAUGGCGAAAACGAUGGAGUAUUUUGAGAAGCUGCAUGCAGAGAGUCCACGCUUCUUUUAUGCGAAGCUGGAAGAUGAGAAUAAAGCAGUGAGGGCACUAUUCUGGGUUGAUGGAAGGACCCGGGAGGCAUACAAAAAAUUCAAAGAUUCUGUGUUCUUUGACACUACGUUUUGUACGAACAGGUAUGAUAUGCCGUUUGCACCAAUCGUUGGAAUAAACAACCACAUGCAAACCAUAAUGUUUGGAUGUGCGUUGAUUCCAGAUGAAAAAAUUGAGACAUUCAAGUGGGUUUUUGAGAAGUGGAUGGAUGCAAUGGGGCAUGACCCACCAGGAUGUAUAAUGACAGAUCAAGACCAAGCGAUGUCAAAAGCUAUUAGCAUGGUUUUCCCUGGAAUAGUACACAGAUGCUGUAAGUGGCACGUGCUGAAGAUAGCGAAGGAAAAACUGGGUAUGUUGUUCAGCGAAGGAAGAAUUCUAUUACUGUGUGAAUGGGACCGACAGUGCAUUAGAAUUUGAGGAAGCAUGGCAGCGGAUGGUGCUGAAGCAUGAGCUUGGUGAGCACCCACAUCUGAGUAACAUGUGGGAAUGUAGGCACACCUGGGCACCGGCGUACUUCAAAAGACACUUCUUUCCCUUCACAGGCACGACUGGCAGGUCAGAAGGAUUGAACUCGUUCUUCAAGAAGCUUGUGCACCCUCAUGACUCGGUGUGGCAGUUUGUGAAGCACUACGAGUACAUACAGGAAACUAGGCUUGACCGGGAGGACAAUGCUGGUUUUCUUGGCGAGGCUACUGUUGCGCCGUUGUGGUCAAGGUAUGAAACGUACAAUUAGAGUAAAUGUGAAAAAAAAUGUUGACAUAAUCUGCAACAUGUGGAGCUAAAGUUUGCUUCAUAUAUGUUGUUAUCAUGCUUCUGUAUUCCUACUGAGAACGGAUGUAUUUUUUUCCACUAGGUACAAGAUAGAGGAGCAAGCAUCAAAGUUUUAUACCAGGACUGCCUUUGGAAAGUUUAAGGAAAUGAUGGAGGAGACAACGGCAUUGAUGAUUAAUCCUGUUGAAGGUAAUUGGUUUAAGUUUGAGCUACGACGUUGCGAUUCUGAUUCAAGUAAAAUACGUGUGGUUGUUACCGACCCAGUUGACAGGUCGUAUGAGUGCUCGUGCAACAGAUUCCACAUGAAUGGGAUCUUGUGUCAUCACAUCCUAAAGGUAAUGGUGCAUACUAAUGUGCAAGAAAUACCUGAGCAAUACAUGAUGCAUAGAUGGUCUGAGGAAGCAACAAUUAGACCUGCGAGAAGCAGAAAUGUUGGUUCAGAGGUUCCGGAAACAAAUACUCUCAGGUACAAUGACUUGUGCAGCCAGAUGUGUACACUUGCUUCGGAUGCAUGUUUUGGUCCGGAGACGUACAAGAUUGUUGCUGGUGGAGUGGUUGAGCUAAGCAAGCUGGUCUGGAAGUGGAGGUUGUCAGGUAGUUUGCCAGACCAAGACCCACCAGUAGGUGUUGAUGUUGAAGUAGUAGGAAGCAGAAAUGUGAAUAAUCCGCCAAAAUCUACCAAAAAAGGUAGACCAAAAGAUAAAGAGAAAAGAAGGAAACCACUAGUGGAGCUGAGGCAGGAGAAGGCACAGCAAAAAGCAAAGAAGAAGGGUGUGUGUUCUUAUUGUAAGGAGGAUUGGCACGACAAGAGGAAUUGCCCGUAUCUCGCGCUUGAGAGACAGAGACAGAAGGUUGAAGCUGAAAAACUUAGGCAUGAGACGGAGUUGACACUGUAAAUAGUUUUUCUACGAAGGUUACCGCGUACUGUGAUGUGGUGUACUAAGUUGAUGAACUAGAAUUUACUUUGGCAAUUCAGAAAAUAAUAUGUAGACUUCUGCUUCACUAUUUCAGUGAAUAUAGGUAUGAUUUAUGUAGUUGUGAAAAAAUGUUAACGACACGCUGGAAGCACACCGAUUUCAUGAAGCAGACUUCAUGUAGGGUGGCGCCAGAAUUCUUGGGAAUAUAUAUGUUUUAGGUGAGUGAAGUUUGGAAGAAGCAAGCGUAUUCAUGUUUAUGUACUGGGGUUUUGAUUCAGGAUAAAUCAAGGUUUUUUUUUGGUGAAAACUAUGAUCAAUGUGAAUUUUUGUUUGAGAAUGCAAAGUAAUAUGUAGCAUUCUGCUUCACAAAUUUUGUGUAGAUUGUUCUUGUAAUUCAUGCAAGAAUGUAUGUUUCAGGUGAGUAAUGUUUGCAAGAAGCAAGCACAGGUUGAAGUGGAAACAAAAAAUGUAUUAUUCGUGCGUAGUGAAAAGUAACGUACACUUUGUUUUCAAUGUUGGUAGUACGUAGACGACAAAACAGCGACAUGAGGCAAAAAAACAAUGCUCUGUUGCUUCCAGCUUGAAAACUCAUGAUUGAGUACAAAAUAGUACCAGAUAGUGGACACAAAAAUAUGGGAACCUGUUGGUAACGAAGUUGAAUUGUGUAAUAAAACAACUAACUAGAAGUAAAAAAAGUUGGCCAUGAUCUUCCCAUCCCAUUGCUUUAUGAAGAGCAUUGUGAAUAUUCCGCAAUCGUAGCUGGCAAAAAUAUAGAAGAUAGCAUCAUACGUAGUGCAAAGUAACGUACACUUUGUUUUCAAUGUUGGUAGUACAUAGAAGACAAACAGCAUCAUGAAGCGAAAAAACAAUGCUCUGUUACUUCCAGCUUGAAAACUCAUGAUUGAGUACAAAAUAGUACCAGAUAGAGGACACAAAAAUAUGGGAACCUGUUGGUAACGAAGUUGAAUUGUGUAAUAAAACAACUAGCUAGAAGUAAAAAAUAAACUUGGAAGCACAUAGUUCGCAGAAGCGCGAUCGUUUAUUCUGUUGAAUGCUCGUCGGCGUGAUUAUCUACGAGGAAUAUUAUUUGUUUGAUCGCGACUAAGACGGUUCCUCAGUUUUUCUUCAGUACCCAGGUAGGGUCUUGGUUGUUGAGCUGCGAAGUUAUGAUUAGUUCGGUGAUAAUCGCCCGAUGGCCGUAUGUAUCCUGCGGUAGAAGUCGGGACGGUGGUUAGAACAAUGUAGAAUGCACAUUUGUAGUUGGGUGCACUGAAUAAAUUUGAAGAGUUGGUUACAUGCCAAAAACCAAUAUGAUUGAUAGAAGCAUUGAAUUAACACAUGAGCAGCUGUUUGGUUUAGGAGGGUAAUACCUUGGAAAAGUUGGCCAUGAUCUUCCCAUCCCAUUGCUUCAUGAAGAGCAUUGUGAAUAUUCCGCAAUCGUAGCUGGCAAAAACAUAGAAGAGAGCAUCAUACGUAGUGUGAAUUUUCUUCUUCACCGACUUUAGUUGAAAAAAAGAUUGUAUAAACUUACUGCGUUUUCUGUUGGGGGCAAUCGGGGGGUUGAAGCACGUGAACUUCAUGAAAUCCAACUUUGUGAAUGCUUUGGCAUGCGUGGCCAGUGUCGUAAAGUUGGUAACCUAAAAAUAAAGGGAUGCAAAAUGUAAUCAACGCAUCACCAGAAAAACAUCGCACAAUAAUUAGUUACUGUUAGUUUAGGAGAGUGCUCACCAGAUUGUUUGACAACUCGUACACUUCAUCAUUUUUCAGCUUCUUGUCUGAAUCGAAUAUGUUGAUCUGUUUGUAAAGAAGGUUGAUGCAACAUAGUAUCCAAUGUUGUCUGUGGGGAAUUGCGAAGUAAAGCUGCAAAAGUAUUAUGGGUAUGAAGGGUAUGAAUUUGUUUUCAGGUGGUUAUAGAUUGUAAAUUUUGACGAUGUAUUGUGCGUCAGUACAUGGUACGGUGCAAAUUGGAAGUUUGGAAAAAUUGAUAUGAAGUGAUGAGCACAGUGUUUAAUGGCGUGAGAAGUGUACCAUAUCCUUUGACUUGAGCGAGCCAUCUUGGUAGGCAUUGUUGAAUUCACGAAGGCAGUUGGUUGCAACGAAUUUUUCCUCGAGCACGCUUAGUUUUGCCUGAUGAAAGUUAUGAAAUACAAUGUAAAGAAUUUUAAAAUAAGUGAUGGUGGAAAACCAAAGAGAUGUGUUGCGAAGGUUGUUACCGUCAAGGACUGUGAGAAGGCGUAUUUGGUAGGAAGGGCAGAGCUACAUGCUUCCAUUGUUUGUUGAAGGUUGAACUGGCGAAUGUAGAGCUCCAAUGUAUGGGUGUCAACCCAUCCGCGUGGCUUGAGUGCGUCACGGAAGUGUUCAUAUGAUAUAUGGUACCCACCGUAAUCGAUGAAAGGUGGCCUAAUACAAGGGUGAUUGCGAACAAACGUUAACAGAUGAAGCAUUUUAUGUAAGUAUGAACACAUUACUAGGGAACCAAGGAAGCAUGAGUUGCUUGCAGGUGAAUCAUAAACUUAAUAAAAGGUGCGAGUGCACGGAUGUGGUUUAAUGAAAAGGUUGUGACAUGUAACCUUUUAUCAGUUUUUUUGGGAGGCCUUAAACAUCUGGCGGUGAUGUACUUGUUGUACAGUUCUAUCGAAGAGCUUGUAACCUUGAUUUUCUUCAGCCUUGUGUCCUCAGUUUUCCGAAGACAAGCUCUCUUCUUCCUAUUCUUCUUCUCCUGAGUUUGUGUGCCAAUGGUGUGAAGGACAUCUUCGGUGGAGGGUUGACCCCCCUGGAUGGAUGAUAGGUUGUACAAAUAAUUUAACGGUAAUGGUGUAGACUGAAUUUUGUACUUGGAGUGUGAGUGAGUUGGAAAAGGGUGGAACGGUACCUCAUUGACAUUAUGGCUCAUGUUUGGUCCUUCGGAUGUGUUAUCCUAAGUAGACGCAUGUAAAGUGUUGGACACGUGUCUUCGCGUUUAAAUGGAAGCUGCGAAAGGGGUUAGAGGAUGCAUUUUUGAUAAAGUGUUAGAAUGUGCACCUGUGUGAGCUGUGUGGGGGAUGUUGGUGUUGGUGCAUGUAUUGGGGAUGAUUGAGGACUAAUGUGUGCCAGGUUUGCUUCAACUGUUGCCAUGGUUGUAGGUCCUGCACGAGCAUAUAUACGUGCAAGUGAUUUUAUUGAAAAAAAAUAAUUGAAACCGAAAUGAGAUUGUAAUAUGGUUUGUGAUGCACGUACCUGCAGAUGUGGUUUGUACUACAGCUGUAGAAGCGUCCACAAAUUCACCUUCAUGUGUUGAUGGAGGUGGUUCGGCGAAAGCUUGGGUCCAAGUCUGACCGGGGGGGUAGAAGACUGAAACUCGGAUCUUCGUAAGAAUCAAGGACCCUCUGCAAUGUUUCUUCACUGCUGGUGGAAUGCUUCGUGACAGGAGGGGUUGUAAUAGCGUCGGCCGGUUGGUCUUGAUGUGAUGAGGGACGUGGUUCGGUGCAAACUUGGUUCGCAGCAGGAGCGGAUGUUGAAGCUACAUCCUGGUUAUUCUGAGGUUUUUUAGUAACACUUUUCUCCACCUCAUCGGCAUAUGCAGUUGCUUCCUUCCAAAACCUGGUGUCAGGAGUUUCUUUUGGACCAUGUGGCUGUGGUUGUUCGGUAUGUGUGUCCUGGAGUACCCAAUGAGGUGAAGAAUAAUUUGUUGGAUCUGGAGCAUUAUCUUUUGUGGCCGCUAAAACAUCUUGUGCAAACUCUUCCAUGCGCUUGGCGUGAAGUUUAGAAAGUCUCGAUGUAGCUUUUGAUAUAUCAUGUGCCCAUUUUGAUUUGUGUGUUUCAAUAAUUUGUAGUAUGUAGGCCGGUAGUUCCUGCACGAAAGCAUGUAGCAUGUGAAAUGGUGAAUGAUUUGAGGAAAUGAUUGUGCGUGUUAAACAAUUCUGGAAGCUUUUAUAGUACAUCAGGAAGACAUUUGUAUUAAGGUGGAAGCAUGGGUUUGAUGUACAUAAAUUAAUUUGGAAGAAUGUGUAGUACAGCAUGAGUAACUUUACUCUGGAAGAUAUUACUCUGGAAGCAUUUAUAUGAAAGCAUGAAAACAAUUUGUACUAUGGUGGAAGCAUGGGUUUGAUGUAUGGAAUUGACUCUAGUAGCAAGUAUAUUACAACAGGUAGACGUUUACUCUGGUGGUUGUUACUCUGGAAGCAUGCAUAAUACAAUACAUCAUGAAGACAUUAUUUUAUUGUAGAGGAAGCAUGGGUUUUGAGGAAUAGAAUUUACUAUGGAAGCAAGUAUAUGACAGCAUGAAGACAUUUAUCUCUGGAAGCAUGUGUAUUAUAACAUGAAGACAUUUUAUUAUUAUGGUGGAAGCAUGGGUUUUGUGUAUAGAAUUUAUUUGUCAUGUUUAUGUUUCUUCAAGUUAGAGGGAAGCAUGUAAGUAACAGAAUGGAAACCUUCAGAAAAGAUGGUAGAAACAUGCAUUGGAGUAUAGAACUAGUGGAUUUUCAGAAGUAAUUUGAUAUCGUUGUACCUCCGGAAGCUUGAUAGGAAAUCUAGGGGCCUCGUGAUGCAUGUCCUGAUUUUCUUCGGUCUAUAAAAAAAUUUAGAAUACCAGAUGAGUAGAAGCUGUACGUAAAAGCUCUGUUAGAAAUAAGCACAAUAGAAGUGGGUACCUGUGGUGGAUGGUUGGUACAAUUGUUUUCUGUUUGUUGUAUAUAUGGGUGUGUAGCAGGUUGGUCAUCGUAGUUUGACCGUUGGAUGGCAUAUGGUGUGCUUUCGGGUGCACGGAACUACAAAAAAAUGCAGCAUUUUAGCACACUUGAAGAUUAGAAAUUCUUAUAUGGAGAUGUACAUGCAUAAACGGGGAGCGUCAUAUUAGAAAAGAUUGGCAUCUAUCUUAAUGAAUUAGUAUCGCAUUGUAAUAUAAGGCAAGAAAAUAUUGUAUGGCCUUACCGGUCGCGCACCAUAAAUAUGUGCGUUGAGGGUCAAUCUGCUUUUAUCAUGUAGCAUGACAAAUUUGAAGUCCUCAUCUGUUACGUGGGAUGCUCUAGGGAGUGAGUAAUUUAUGUGAUGCGUCGAAAUAGAUGAUUCAGGAAAGUCGAGAUGGUCCAUGUAUAUAAUCUGAAAAUAAAAAGGUAGGAUCAAAAAAUGUGGAUAAAAUAAAUAAUAACUACAUAAAAGAUGAGGUAUAAAAAGUGCAUAGACUAUGUGUAUACCGCAACCAAGGGUAGGCAGCUGCCAACCCAAAUUUUUUUGAAAGCUCCAUCUAAUAUUGCUUUCUUCUUCUUCUUUUGGAAUGUAUCGAUCUCAGUCAUGACAUCUUUGAGAAUUUGAUCUCCCCAUGCAUACUCGCAAACCUCGGAUGCAACUUCAAGGCUGCCUAAAUACUCCAAAGGGACCAUGUUUCCAGUUCCUGGUGUCAAAUGAGUAGCCAAUGCUACUAGGAAGAAGGUCCUAAAAAAGGUCUCGUCAUCUAGAUCAACAUCUUUUUCUAGAAUAGUUGCAGCAUAGUGAAUGGGCGCCCGUCUACCAUGAUCAUAAUCUGUCUUGUAGAAUUCUCGGUGAGGGGAUUCUUCAUGCUUGCUUAUGACAACAACAGGCCUAGUCCCAUGAGGAAGUCCGAGGACCUUUUCAACCAUUUCUGGAGUGAAUAGAAUGCUGGUAUUGUUUCGUGGGUUCCGAAAUUCACCAAGCUUCGGGUCAAUCAUGUCAAUGAUCCAUUCUAGGAGUCCCUCGGGGGUUGAGAAUUUGCUAACAUCCAGGAGAUUGCCCCAUUUUUUGGUACGAAUGAGGUUUUUCCUUGCGGGGGCGAGACCUAACACGAUAUCAUGUAACCGGCCCGCUGCAUAUCGACUCUGGAGCAUGAUCGACUCUUUAUCUUUUUUAGUCAUUGUUGAUUGUCACCUGAGAAAAAGAGUGAUGUGAUGGGUUAGCAUAUUUGUAUGCUGUAUUAGGCACGGCAGCAAAAUGCAGUACAAAAAACUAAAAGCAUUGUUUAUGGUCAGGAGCAAAAAAAUGAGCACACGAUGAAUACGGCGCAUGACACAGGCAUUAGUAAGUUGCUUCCAUUGAGUGUAUGUUUUCCAUGAUGGCAAUGUUUUGGAAGCAGUUUUUAAUACAAUCGAAUCAGAGAGUGGCCACUGCAGAAGCAUCUGUGUUUGAUGCAUUUUAAGGUGCAACAUGGUUCAAUUUUUCUGUACAAUGGAAGCAAGGAAUUUUUAAAAAGGGAAUAGAUAACAAAUUUGCCGCCAAGUGUUCGUCUACAUGUGACACAGGAAGCUUAUUGGGAUGUAUUUUAGAACAUUUGCAUAGAUAGGAAGCGCGGGUGCGACAUAUGAAAAUAUUCAAAAACAAAUGCUAGUCAACUAAUGAACAUAUGAAACAUUUAGUCUACAGGAUGAAUUAGACAUCAGAUUUCAUUUGAAAAAAAUGAGAAAGAAAUCCCAAAUCUGGAACAACACACAAACAGUAGAGUUUACCUACGACCUGGGAUUGGGAGCUCCAGCAAGUGGCGGCCGAUGCAAUGCGACAGCUUCAAAUCGACGGGAUGUACGCCCUGGCGAUGUUGCGGAUGGGAUGACUGAUCCGCUCGCCGCCGGCGGGGUCUUAGAUCCGAUGUGGGGUGAGCUGGUGGUGCGUGGCGGGUCGAGCACUAGGGGUGUGGGCUGGAUGUGAUAGUAGGCUUCCGUGGAGAGUGAGGGUCGCGUCGACGGCCGGUGGGGGAAGCGGGGUCGGUGGGCUGUAGGGGCAACGGCGGUGUCUGGUGGCGGUGGAGGAGAUGCCGCUGCAUGCGACGAAGGUGGGGUGGCAAACAGAGGAGGGGGCAGUGCACGGGUGCGAGGUUGUGCCUGCGAGGUCGAUCCGGCGGACGGUCCGGUGGAAUGGGAGGGCGGCGUUCGUGGCCGGUGGGGGGACGGGGGUCAGCGGCUUGGUUGGUGGCGGAGAACGGGAUGGCGCUGGAGUCGGCAAUGGUGAGUUGGGGAAACAGGGGAGUGGGCAGACACGGGCGGUUGUGGGCGUUGAUUGGAGAAGAUUACGCGCGGGAUUUAGGGGAUACGGUUUCCUUUAGUAUCUAAAUCACAGACGAAUCUGGAGCUUCGGGAUUCUGCUGGAUCGACGGGAGAAGAUGGGUCUGACGAUUGGAAUCGUUCCAGACUAUGGAUACUAAGUGUUUUCCAAAAAGAUAAUGGCCUACGGAUGUCAAUAUGAUGUCCGGUGAACUCGUACUUGGGCAUAAUUCCGAUUCUUUUUCUCGUUGUCAAGGUUUCCUCUUUUUUUCCAGGGAAGCGGGGUAAAUCUAGUCCGUUCAUAUUUCUUAACUUUUGAACGAUAAAUCUUUGUCGUUCCUUUUCUAUUGUUUUAAGUGUAUAAUAGAAGAUUAAUCGAUGAGGCAAAUUGUUUUAGAAAACGUUUAAAAACAUCCGACUGAUUUACUCGAUAUAUAAGCCGUCUGUGCUGCUUGCCACGCGUCCUCGUCAGGUCCACAUACAACUUUUCUUAUUUUCUUCCCUCAUCUCUCACGGGGAACCACAGCCACACACAUCUUUCUCUUACCCCACGUCGUCUCCUACCUUUGUUCUUGCACAUCCCGAUCCCCAUGGUUUUCUCUCCGCUCUAGCUACUUGUUCCCCACAAGCGGUGCGUUGAUGCUCGAGCUGAUCGUUCCCCACGGCGGUGCGCUGAUGCAGGCUGGUGGUAGGGUUGCAAUUCCACAUCUACCCAGGCACGCAACAGUACUACGCUAUGAUGGGGAUCGUGCAGGUCGUAGAAGCUCGGCAUGUGCUUCAAGUGACAAGAGAAUGCUGCAAUUGGGGGUUCACCGGGGUUUUGCAGCACUUCCUCUGCUGCGAUGGCAUCGCCAUGUUGUGAUGAAGCUUCGUUGGGUCCUUGUUGUUUGCCAUGGAGCAUAGCCGGGGAGGCCACCGGUGCUACGAUGGACCAUCGCCGGGGGGUUGCAGUGCAGCAAUGGAGCAGCUGCCUUGCUGCUAUGGAGCAUCACCGGGUCCUAUUGCUGCCAUGGAGCAUCGCCCACAGCCGUCGGGGACACGCCGUGUUGUGAUGGAGCAUAGUUGUUGUUGCAUUGGAGCAUCGCUAGGUCACACGUUGUUGCGUUGGAGCCUGGCUGGACAGGGUGCCGUUCCAGCAACAAGGGCAGCGCUGCAAUGUCGAGGGUCAUCGAUGCGCUCUCACCAUUGCAAGUUGGGCAAGGUGUUGCAAGCGUUGAUGGGCUGCAAGCUCUUGCCGGGAGGGUACCGCGACGGGAGGCAUGCGUGAGAAGGCAUCAGUGUGCUGCGAGAGAGGCAAGGGCGCUCCAAUGCGGGAAGGAUCCGAUGGUUCGCGACAGACAGAUCAGACGAUGGGCAAGGCGACUUAUUUUUCUGUCAAAUCAGUCGGCUGAUUUGUAGUACUAGUACAAAUGCCCGUGCGUUGCACCGCGCAAACAAAGACAUAACCUGCUUUACAUAUCAUUAUGCAUCAUUUUUUAUAUCCAAUUCUAAUAGACGUCAAUAAUAAGUUUAAACAUGGAAAAGUCAUUAUUUGAAAUAAGAGCAUAUGUUUUCAUAUAAAUUGGAACACUUUUCAAGAAUAGUUAAUGUUUAUGAAAAUUGGAACAUUACUCUCAAAAAGAACAUUUUUGAACAUAUAUUUUUGUUGAAAAGAAUGUUUUUGUUUUUUUGUUGUACAUUUCUAAAUUGAUAUUCUUAGUAAAAAAUGAAACUUUUUUGGGAAUGCUGAAGUUCUUCUAAAAAGUGCGAACAUAUUUUUUGAAACAAAAAAAGGAGAGCGGACGUUUGGAGCUCGGCCUCCAUGGAGGCCGAAAUUUUUGAAUAAUUCAAAAUUCAAACUUUUCGGUUUCAAAAAAAUCUGAAAAAAAAUAUGGAAGUAAAGAAGGAUGUUAUGCGUAUGUGUGCAAAAAUUUAGGAUGAAAUACCUUAAAAUACGAUCUACACAAAAAAGAUAAAUUCAUGACAUGAAAUGAUGAAUAGUGUCAUGUGUAAAAAAGCCUCAGAUUUGUCUUUUUUGCACAGCCCUCAUUUCAAUGUAUUUUUUUCUGAAAAUUUACACACAUGUGUGUUACACCUUCACUUAUCCCUGUUUUUUUUUCAGAAUUUUUUGAAAUGUAAAAAUAUGAAUUUUCAUGAAAUUUGAGUUUCAAAUUUAAAGGGCUCUAAUGAGCUCGGCCUCCAAAAGCAAUAUCCGCAAAAAAAGUGUGAACAAUAAAACUGUGAGCAUUUUUAAGCUAUUUUUACCGUGUUAAGUUUUUUUACAGAUAAUUUUAGAGCAUUUUUAGGGCAUUUUCAAUAUGGUUGUUUGGUUAGAAAGAGUUUAUUUUUUUAACUAUUUGGGCUUAGACCAAACAAACCACUUGACAUAGGCAAAAAGACGCACGAAACAUCUUCUUAUCAUUCCCCAUUCUCAAGUCUUCCUUAUCGAAGUGCUCUGCUUUGACGCCGCGUCGUGUCUACGUCCUUCGUCAACAUGGACGAAUCCUUUCCGCUGCGUCAUUCUGUCCAUCACGAUCCCUACCAGUUGUAGUCGGAGUUGAUCAAUUGUUUCCUCCAAGCAGCAUAUAUGAGAACAGGGUUUGCUUCUUGUGAAGGAAUAUAACAAUAAUAAGAGCUCCAUAGCAACAACUAAAUGGUUUGAUUUCAGUCAAUGAAUAUAGCAUUACAUCAAUAGCAAACACAUGAUGAUAUUUGUGAAAAUAAAAUAAUAAGAGCACUGCAACCGCUAGUAAAUGCAACAUUAUCCAACAUGAUAAUUUCAACCAGUACAUAGGACCACCAUCAACCAUGGUAUACUGUUAAAGAGUACAUGUCUAAUAUUUUAUGAAAGCUAGAACUGAAAGUCAUUUACAGGGAACAAUUUGUAGUUGACCCUACUGGUCUACAUUCAAUGAAUUAUGAGAUGCCAUUUUUUACCUACAUAUCUAAAAGUACCAUGAGGCGGGCCAUCCAACAGAGAAGCUACUUUUUCUGAAAUAGCACGCACGUCCUGUUUUGAGAAAAUGGAAGUUAGCACCACCAAGUAAAUCAAUCUUGAAAAGAGAAUAAAGUUUACGAGAUGAGCUUAGAUUAUCAAUUUGCACAAAUAUAUGUCAUAUAUUUUCUUAAAUAUUCAUACUGGAGAAUAAAGUUAUCCUGGAGUCAACAAAAUGUUCAAAUUACUUUAUAAAGACUAUAAUUUUUUGUUAAUAUGAAACCUUAUGAAUCAUAUUUCCUCCAAUAUGUACGUCUCCCAGUCGGGCGUCACCACGUCUCUCCCGUCCAUUUUAGAACCUUCGCCAUUCGCCACAAUACCGCUGCCGUCAAUUUGUUUGAAAACUUUGAUAGAUAGAUUAGAGAGAUAGAUAGUGCACUAAAAGAGAAUGGAUUCACAAGAAAAGUAAUGUAUUCAUAUGAUAUUCUAACUCCCAAGAAUCGAACUUCUGUGGUAAAAUAAAACUAACACAUACCAUGGCUAUCCAACAGCACAGAGUACUGACAAAUUUGAACUGGGGUCCCUUUCCUUAGGAUCUGAUAUAUACCUUCAGGCCAAUUGACUCUCCUUGGUGUUCUCUGAAGUCGGAAAGUCUGAAUGAACUCAUGUGCAACUUUUGACGAUGGUGCAAAUGGAGAAGUGUCACAAGAUUGGAUCCUUAUCCUGCUAUAUAACUAUAGUACAGUUAAAGCAAAUAAGCUAAGAAAUUGGACAGCGAGAUGAAGGUGCACCACACCAUCCAACUCUGAAAAAGUGGCUAAUGUUCUUCCUCGUUGAAUCCAUAAGGAGCAAGCUUUUCUAUCCUUGAACUAAGCUAAAACUAAAGAGAUCUAAAAUCUGAACGAAAAAACUUCAUUUCUUGGAUAGACAUAAUAAAUUCAUUUUUUGGGAUCAACUCCAAGCCAAAUACAUUGUAAAUUCAUUUGAGUGGAACUUCCAUCAUCAAGUGUGGCUAGAGGAGUCAAGUUCAGAAGAUUUAGGGUAUUACCGGUGCUGAUCCAUGCCAACACCAUCUUUGAAAAAAAUACCGCUCCAACGAAGGACUAUUCCCUCGUCUUCCUCGUGCGCUUAAGUUAUAGUAGCAUGAUUUCACUGAAAUUGGAUCCUCGCCGCUGGAGUAAAUUCACAGAACUCCGUUACCUACAUAGAUAUUAAAAUGAAGCUACAAGAUUUAGUCUGGAGUCCUACCCCGAUUCAUGGCCUUUCAUCAAUUAUAUAAGUAGUAGACACAAAGUACCAUUAGAGCUAAGAAGCACACUACAAAGUAUUCAUGUUAAACAAUAAGCAGGCAUAUGUACAUCAGCUAGAAUCUGUUGCUUCAAAGAGCCUAGCAAAUUAACAAAAAUUUCUACCAAUUCUCUGCAUGAUUCAGACCAAAUUUAUAUGUGAAGUUCUAAACCAUAAUUGCAGCAUCCAUGGAAAACUGGUUGGGAGAAACUCAAGCAUCUACGAUAUUAUGUACAUGAAGUAUUGCUGUGUAGUGAAGCAUGUCGUUUUCCGUAAAUUUGGUAGUAUUAGUAUAGAAUGGAAGAAAUGGUCCUGACCGGUCAAGCUCCACAAAUUUGGAAUCUUUUGAGUGACAAUAUGCCCACUUAUUUUUGUCAAGUGAUGAUGAAUCAAUUUCUGAUUAUAGUGAUUAUCAAUUACAAAAAGGGGAUCCCAAUCUCAAUUGUCGGAGCGCCUACUGAAUAGGUAAGAUAUAACAAUGUUAAUCUAUAGACGAAUUCAGUUGCAUUAAUUUAUCACCCAGCUGUUUGAAGCAUAUUAAAUAGACAUAAUUUCAAUAGUUAUCAGAAGAAAAAAUGAUCCCAAGUGCAUUACCCAACUGCAGGAUCAAAGACAUCAGUUAAGGAAAAAUAAUUACAGUUUUGUAGCACAGAAAAUCACAAGCUAGCAUAGGCCAAGUAAAACAGCACAAUUUAGAUUGAACGAACACGUAGAAACAGUUAAAAGACGGUGUUCCACACCAACGUACAAUAUUUGUAUACUGACACAUAUAUAUCCCAAAUAAAGACAUACAUAUUCAUAUCAUUAUAUGUCAAAACUAUACAUCAGCUAGGUCUUGGACCAUGUACAAACAACAUAAACAACGUGUAGUCCGAUACUUAAAUUUCUUAUAGGUAGAGAUGGAGACACCUUACCAUGCAAAGGUAGCAGCAGGCGCAAUUUCAUCGAGCAGCAAGAGAAGGGAAGGAGAUGACGGUUGGGAGGGCUUCACUGGGAGGAAACAACGACGACAUAUGACAGAGUAUCAUCCAGUGGAAGUAACACACAAACCAGAAGGAGCAGCAUAGAUCAUAUCUUCAGGUUGAGGGAAACAUAUGGUCUGCUGGCUUCCCAGCAAGCUUCGCGGCUUCGCUGUUUGCACGCCGCGGCGCCGGCAUGGAUACUCCCAUGGCGAGCCCCGACCUGCACCUCGGCAUGGGCGUGGCUCAUUGACGACCAAAGCUAGAUCGGGGCUAGAUCGAUCCACACCACGAUCCCUCCCUCACUGCUCGCUCCCCACGCCCAAAUCGAACUCCACCACGAUCCCUCCAGAUCGCCAAAUCAGCCCCUAAGCGGGUCCUCAUCAGAACUCUACUGAAACAAUAGAGAAAACGACAUUCAAGUGCAAAAAAAACUGAAAAAGGUUCAGCGACUAAGACAGAGCUCUACUGCUAGUUUGAAUCAAUGCAGAUGUCAAUCUUCUACAAGUUUAAGCAAGCUGCAUGGUGGUUUGGACUGACCAAUCCUCUAGCGGUACAAACCAACGAUCUGUCUCGGAAGGUUCCCUGCUACUGCGUGACAACAGCAACGCUGUCGACGGUCCCCUCCUCUUCCACACCCACCACCAACCUCAAUCUGCCAAACACGGCAUUCUGCUCUGACUAUUGGAUCGAUACCACGUACCGUGAUCGAUCCUCAAUACAACAGUUCCUCGCCAAGCUACAGCAACGCCGCGCCGCGCGUGGCGUGCUUUGUGCUCGGUAGCAUUUGAACCCCGUCAUGCAAACAAGGUUGCCAAAACUAAGGUUGGAUCCUCCCCAGAGUAACAUAGAUAGAUAGCUACUGUAUAAGGAACAAAAGAAGAGAAGUUGACUGACCGUAGUCGAGGAGGAUGGCGUUGAGCGACGCGAAGAGCGCGCAGGUGAAGACGUACCGCUCGGCGGUCUUCCGCCGGCGGCUCCCCGCCUCGGCCCUGCGCUCCCACUCCGCCUCGUCCAGCUCCUCCUCCUCCUCCGGCUCCACCCUCCGAUACUCGACGCCGCCCUUCGCCGCCACCGGCUCCAUCACCCCCGUCAUAUCUCCGAUGCUGCCACGCUCAGGGGCUAGUCUACAAUCGGCUACUGUGAUGCAGCAUGUCUUCAAUCAGAUCUAGUGCAUCGCAGGAGUCCAGUGAUGGAUCAACUCCUGCCUUCUCUUUGCUUCGGCUUUGGGUCUAUGUAGUAGGAUGUCGUCGGUGGCGCCCUUGGAGGUGAGGACGCCGACGGAAGGGGAGGCGGGCGCGGAAGCGGAGGAGGCGGCGGUCGGGGGUGUGGAAGAGCGAGCGAGUAGGCGGCGCAGCCGGGCUCGAGGAGCUUGAAGAGGGGCAGCGAGGGAGAUCUGGAGUGCGGGUUGACCCAGGACCACAGGGGCUUUUUCACAAAAUUGCCAUGACGGACGGCAGAAGUACUACGUGCUUUAUUAGUAACAGGGAUAGGGAUAGGGAUAGAUAACCCGUUUUAUUGUUUUUGCCUCCAUUUCAAAAAAAAGAAUGUGCCAUAAACUUCGUCAUUAACUAGACAACCCUUGUGUGGGGAAAAGGAGAAAAGGAGAAUAUGGAAGAUACAAGCUCGAAAGGGAUUCAUGUUUUGAUGGUAGACCAACAUCUCCCAACAAUUUGCAAUGAAGGUCUGAUUGCGUCGAAGGUAUCUUUAAAUAACAGUCUUACUCGAUAUCAUCCACCUCGCCAAGAUUGUGCUUUGUAGGAUUAGAUAAAUCCUGCCCAACAUAUCCCUAUUUCGCCAACUCCUUCUCAAACCAAUAGGAAUGAAUAAAUAACGAGGGUCACUUUCCAUCUCGCUUGUUUUAUGCUUCUGUUUAGCAGAGAUUAAGCAAAACAGGUUGGGGAGUGGAGAGCCUGAAAAUUUUCUAGUCAAAGCUCUCCUAACUCGAGCACUCCGAGAAACACUAUAGCUCAAACCUAAUAAAUAUCCGAAUUAUAUAAAAAUACAUUUUUCCAAAAAAUGCAAGUCACUAGUAUUAUUAUUUAUACUACUAAAUAUAGCAAUUGUAAAAAACAUUUAUAAUAGAACACAUGAUUGCGUUUAUAUUCUUAAUUUGUUAGAUUCCGCCAAUGCACUUGUCAAGCAAAUGAAGGGACAAUUAAGGACGUAAAAUAAACCACAUAUAUGAUGUAAAAAAUUUGAACUUUACUUGGUUAUGCUAACUAAAACGAUUCUUGCUACGGUUUUUUGUUGGAUCUCGCGCUAUUUUUGAAAUAGGAAAUUGAAAUGAUUAGUAAAAGUUGGGCCGCAAUAGUAUGCACGAUUUUAAAAGAAUGUAAUUUUUGUUUAUCCUAUGUUGUACCUUAUAUGCUAAUCUCUUGUUAAGAUGAGUCUCUACGUGUGCGCAUGAUGUGCAUGGCACAACAAUAGUUGACCAAGAAAUGGUUGAACCUUUAUUCCUUUAUUAAAAAUACAGUGGUCGGCUUACCUUCAACUCGAGGUGGUUCAGUGACUAUCCUCUAACUACUGAGUACUGAUGGUGCCUCCAUAUUACCUAGACAUGUUAAUGUUAAUAAUGGAAUCACUUCUAAAAAUAUAUGUUCCCACUUCCUGUGUCAAUAUCUUAUCAGGACAUAUAAAUAUGCAGACACUUUGAACAAUUUGGAGUGCUCUUUUGUUCCUAAGCUAUGCUGGUAUUAUCAAGCCGCAACAUGCACUAAAUGUGUUAUGAGUAUUGAAAUUUGCAUGUAAGUAUAUAUACCUUAAUUAUUUUUGUUUCCAAUAAUUUGAUAUUUGCUCGAAGAGAAGAUAUGCCCUAUACGGUCUACCCUUGCCUGUCAAUCGCUUGUUAAGACGGGUUUCUACUCCAAUGAGCGUGCAUGCUUUGCAUGGCACAACAAUUAUCUUAGUUAAGAAAACAAUAAACCCUUUAUUUCCUUAAUAUGAAAAAGCCAAAGCCAUAUUGCCUUUAACUCGGGUGGUCCAGUACUUGUCCACUAAGGCUACUUACUAGUAUCAUGCAUGUUAACUAGAUAAUUUUGAUGAUAUGUCGUAAUUAAAUUAAUAAAAAGGAUUGUUGAGUAUCAUAUUAUGAUAGUGCAUCAUAAUUAAUGACAUAGUACUAUGUAUUAUGCAUGACAAUAAAUAAGAUUAUUUGUGAUAGUUUACACUAUUAAGGUAUGUCAUACUAACAUCAUAUGCAUGAUACUAAUAUAUAAUAUCCCGUGCUACGAGUAACCAAGGGCAUCUGCAUCACGGAUCAUCAAUGGUCAUUAGCAGAUGUCUAUGGAUGACAGUUCUAUAUUCCUAUUUUCAUUGGUUGUGCCUUUUUAUUUGACUUUUUAUACUUCAGUACUUGAACUUCAUACUCGAACCUUAAUAAAUAGUUCUAUGUAUGCAUCAUAAUGAUAAAGAGGCUAGGGUUAUCCUUUUUUUUUCUAAUAAUUAUGUUUCAAGAGUAAGGGAAAACAAGGAUAUAUGAAUUCUAGAUGCCCUCCAUGCUAGUGAAUUCCUUGUUCUUUACUCCCACCCAACUCUUCGCCUCACCAGAAAAUCAACUACUAUAGCCUUUCGUUUCUUUCUUCAAAAUAAAAUGUAAAGAAAACUGUCGCCAUAAUUCGGGAUGCUGGAGACCAGAGCUUAUCCACUGUCGGGGAACCAAGUAGCACUACAACUGAUGGUGUCUUCUCUUCACCAGGUCAUCCAUCUGAUAUUUUGCGGGGACAUCUUAUCAGGAUAUCACAUAUCAUUAGCAUGAAUAAUGCAAGGAAGCACUUUUCACAUGCAUAUCAUUUCCCAAUUCCUUUCACGGCGACGUCCACGCGCGUCCAUCCCCUCCCCACUCCGCCACCCACGUGUACGCGGCGCCGACGUCUCCGACCGCGUCUGCAUCUCCGACGACCCACCCGCGGAAUUGAUAAUGCUUAUAACGCCGUCAAUGACGGGUUUCGCCGCCAGUUGCAUGCAUGGCCGACUGGCUUCUUCUUGUCGGCGGCGCUAGGCAAAACCAUGCGCAACACGUACGACUGCAAGACGAGAAGAUACUCUGCUCCCGAUUUAACUCAGGUCAACUUAACUUUCUCUACCGGCCGUAACCGUAAGUGAUGAUGAGCAGGUCGUUGGAUGACACCGGGUGCAAGAUAUAUGCGUCAUGUACAACUUUCAACUGCACACGGCACACCAUACGCGUGGCUUCAGCCUCCAGAGAUGCUACUUGUUUUUUCUUUUUUUAAGCAGCAGAGAUGCUACUAGUGUCUCCAAUCAUCUAGAAGACGAAGAAUAACAGGCUAAUUCCUGGCCUCCUGGCGACGUCAAGACAAACGCGGUGUGGAAAUAUCAAGUCAGAUGUACAUCUAUCAGGAUCUACUAUCAUGUAGACUAAUAAGUAUACUUUCAGGCGGACGUCUUAUAUUGCGGUGUGGCAGAAAAAUCCGACUACAUACUUUCAGGUGCAGAAAAAUCAAAGAUUAGUGACGGUAGAUCAUUGCGCCAUCGCUUUCAGGUGGGCGAAUUAGUGGGCGCGCGAUGCUAAUCCUAUUCAGAUAAGCACAAAACACUGGAAUAUCAAGCUCCCAAAAGUCCGAUCAAUGAAAACUAUUUCCUUCGUUCUUGAAUAUAAGUCUUUUUAGAGAUUGCACUAAGGAUCUACAUAUAUACAGAUGUAUAUAGACAUAUUUUAGAGUGCAUAUUCACUCAUUUUACUACGUGUGUAGUUUUCUAAUAAUUUUUUAAAAAAUACUUAUAUUUAAGAAUAGAGGGAGUAUAUGACCACACAGUCGAUUGGCCCGCCAACAUCUCCAGGGAGCUACUUGCUCAGCUAGGGUGAACCUUCGUUAGUAAGGCAGGAUAUUACCAAGGAGCUACAAAUUUCAGCUUCUGAAUUGGAAUUUGACAGACAACCAUAAACGCCAAAAUAACGAGACCCCCAAAUGACCACAAAGGAUGAAACAAAAUCGCAUGAUCUGUUAUAACGACGCGAGAGCUUGUUUAGCAAGAACAAAGAUGAAAAAUGCAACAGACAAGUGUUAUAACAUUAACAAGUCGAUCAUAUCGACUGGUUGGAAAUCCAAAACAAAGUUUCGAAAGUGUCAUAACGUUAACAAGUUGAUCAUAUUGAAACCACAGUCCACAGGCACUGAAUUUGUGGAGGUGGCAAUAGCACAUCUGUCAACAGACAAUCGAUUAGCUCAGCCGGUAGGGACCUUCCAGAACAUUGGAAAAAAUCUACAGGGAGUCCAUGUGGAGCGUCUAGGAAUAUUUCAUGGAUUCUUUUAAAACAAGUCGGCAACAUAAUAUACAUAAAUAUUUUUUACCAAAAAAAGUCAACAAUACCAAAAAAAACUCCCAGACGUCCACACCAUGAAAGAAUAUACCGUAAUAUAUCUAAAUAUUUCACGAAUGUUCCUGAUAACCAGGAACACUAGAAUAACAAGCUCCCCAGAAGUCCACGCCAUGAAAUAAUAUAGCCACCAUAUGUCUGUGUCGCAAGAACAAUAACUGUAAACCUAUCGUCCAAGUGGGCAAAUGCGGUUUUCUUUUUCUUAGACAACUUGGCUAUAUUCAAACCACUGGCUGACACCUAUGUACUUUCUCCGUCCGGAAAUACUUGUCCUAAAAAUGCAUAUGAUGGAUGUAUCUAUAAUUAAAAUAAGUCUAGAUACAUUCAUCUCUAGGACAAGUAUUUCCAGACCGAGGUAGUAUUAUGUUAUGUCACGAUAAUUUGAAAAUUUGAAUUCGAUUUGUCAGCACGCAAGAAAACCACAGCUCGAUCUGCCACUUUGGAUUGAAGCUUUAUUUAUUUUUCCCAAGCAGCCAUAGAGCAUCGUCAUCAAGCCACACGAAGAAACUACAAUAGUACUACUAUCCACAGCUAUACGUGACGUGUCAUGCCAUGACACGUAGACUAUCAUACAGAUGCUACAUACUACUCCCUCCGUUCCCAAAUACUGUACUAUAUGAAUUUUUAGAUAUUUCACUAUAGAUUAUAUAUAGAUGUAUAUAAACAUAUUUUAUUUUAAAGAUUCAUCCGUUUUAUUUCGUAUGUACCACAAAGAAAUCUUUAAAAAGAUUUUACAUUUUGAAAUAGAGAGAGUAUAUGUCUAUCUCGCGCCAUCCGAUCUGAGGCCCUGUUUGUUUCAUAAGUCCUAGGACUUUUUUAAGUCCCAACUUAUAAGUCAUAAGUCCCUACCUGUUUGUUUACAGGGACUUAUAAGUCCCGAGUCCCUACCUGUUUGUUUACAGNGGGCGGCCGGCGACGAUUGGGGAAGCCGGCGGCGGGCGGUGCGAGCGUCCUGGAGUCCUGAGCGAUCGGGGCAUGGCGGUGCGAGCGUAAUGGGACCAGAAUAAGUCCCAAUAAGCUCAUAUUAGAGAGUCUUAUUUCAUAAGUCCCAAUUAACCAUAAUAAGUCCCAAUAAGUCCCUAGUGUUUGGUUUAGGUGGGACUUAUAGAGACUUUUUUAAGUCCCANNNNNNNNNNNNNNNNNNNNNNNNNNNNNNNNNNNNNNNNNNNNNNNNNNNNNNNNNNNNNNNNNNNNNNNNNNNNNNNNNNNNNNNNNNNNNNNNNNNNNNNNNNNNNNNNNNNNNNNNNNNNNACUUUUUUAAGUCCCAAAACCAAUAAGUCUCUGAAAACAAACACCCUCUGAAAUCUGAUGGCUCGAAAGUCCCUUUCAACCUUGUUGGGGAAGAGAAGUUGGCAGCACAAUUAGUGUCACGAAAGCAACCUCAAAGAGGCCGACAAGCAACUCGCACUGGGUGGCUGACUCAGCGGGAGCUCACACAUAAUAAUCUUCUUGGCUGCGGUGGAGAUAAGAUCAAGCGCUAGCUGGGCGUACGAGUGGAACCACAGACCCCUCCGUCCUCACCCCCUGUCCGCUCCGGAUUCCCUAUAAAACCAUCGGCGUCUCAGCUUUCCUCGACGAGGACGGACAACAGUGCAACGAAGAAAUACUCUGCUUUUGGUCUUGGAUAAAAGAAUCAAGAAUAGUGAUCGGAGAAUCCAUGGCUGCUGCGUUUGCGUCGACGCCGGCGGUGUUGGGGUCGGCUCGACCGGGACGGGUGGCCGGGGUUCGGCGCUCUGUGGUGGUGCGGGCGUCCUCCACGGUGGCGGUGGCAAUCGGGAGAACGCACUACGAGGUGCUCGGGCUGGGCGCCGGGGCCAGCAGGGGCGAGAUCAAGGCCGCGUACCGGCGUCUUGCCAGGGAGGUGCACCCUGACGCCGUCGGAGGUGGUGGCGACGAGGGGUUCAUCCGGCUGCACGCGGCCUACGCCACCCUCGCCGAUCCCGACGAGCGCGCUCGCUACGACCGGGACGUGACCUGCCGCGCCGCCGGGAUGACGAUGCGGCGGAGGGCGGCAGCGGCCGGACCGGCGUUCCGGCGGAGGACGUGGGAGACCGACCAGUGCUGGUAGGACGGGCGGACUCGCGCGGCUGCCCUCCCGGACCAUCGGAUCAGGCACGCCGUGUCAUGGCCGGCUGCCUUGGCCGGCAUGGUCAGAAUUGGACGACCCA
Molecule: long non-coding RNA, 105419 nt
Filed under: Hordeum vulgare
Lineage: Eukaryota; Viridiplantae; Streptophyta; Magnoliopsida; Poales; Poaceae
Description: long non-coding RNA (HVUL_LNC020633)
Rfam family: MIR1120/MIR1122 microRNA precursor family (bases 103493-103616)
Source: RNAcentral